UCCUUGACAUGCUUUAGUUAGCCUUCCCGGCAAGCUCCUCUUGCCGGGGCCUCGUCCUUCCCGGCAAGCUCCUCUUGCCGGGGCCUUGUCUUCUUAGUUAAAAUACUUUGUUCUUGAAUGGCUCCAAUAUGAACUACGGAGGAUCUUGGAAGGCACCCGGCGAGCCUUGCCGCGGGGUGCUGCGACUGCCCGUGCACAAGUUCGGGAUACUAAGGUACCCCUACUUUAGUACACCGACAGCACUAAUAAGUCAUACAUAUUUAGAGAGCAAUUUUUAUUGCUUGCAACAUGACAACUUACUUGAAGGAUCUUAGUCAAUCCAUAGGUAGGUAUGGUGGACUCUCAUGGUAAAACUGGGUUUAAGGAUAUUUGGAAGCACAAGUAGUAUCCCUACUUGGUGCAAGGAAUUUGGCUAGCAUGAGGGGGAAUGUCAUGCUCAACAUGUUGGACGAUCCAUGACAAUAUACUUUAACUAAGAUGUGAGAAAACAUAACCCAUUACGUUGUCUUCCUUGUCCAACAUCAACUCUUUAGCAUGUCAUACUUAAUGAGUGCUCACAACUAUAAAAGAUGUCCAAGAUAGUAUAUUUAUAUGUGAAGACCUCUCUUUCUUUAUUACUUCAUAUUAAUUGCAACGAUGACCAAAACUAUGUUUGUCAACUCCCAAUGACUUUUAUGCCUCAUACUCUUUAUAUGUGAAGUCAUUACUAUCCAUAAGAUCAAUAUGAGCUCUUUUAUUUCUGUUUAUUCUUUCUAUUUUCUCAAGAUCAUAGCAAGAUAGCAAAGCCUUCGACUCAAAACUAAUCUUUAUUAUAGAUAGCUCACGGACUCGAUUACAUAGAGAUAUCACAAAGCCAAGCAAAACUAAUUCAUGCCAAAACUUUAUUCUACUUGAUCAAGAUAUUACCUAAAGGAUCAAACUAAGUAAAACGGUAAAGAUAGGAGUGUGAUGGUGAUAUGAUACCGGGGCAUCUCCCCCAAGCUUGGCAGUUGCCAAGGGGAGUGCCCAUACCCAUGUGAUUAUGUCCUCGGAGGUGGUGAAGAAGGAGUUGUUGAUGAUGUAGGCUUGUCAUCCAUCUUCGAAGGCAUAAGCUCACCAUCAUAGAAGGAUGACCGAGUCUCCGAGAUCCUCAAAUCUGCAGCCAAACUCAUCCUCCAGAAUCUAUAUUCAUACUCACAGUUUUGGUAUUGCAGGUCAUAGAUCUGGGCUUGGAGGUGCUCGAUUUUCUCAUGAAGCUUGAAGAUGGUAUCCCCUAUGUUCUUGGCGUCAAGCUUGUGGUUGUUGGUGAAUUUCGCGAUCAUCAUCUGGUUGGCGUUGAGUCCACGCUCCACCAUCCCUUGGCACUUGAAAACUUGUUGUUCCAUAGCUUCGAGCUUCAUCUCCACGCUUACGGUAUGCCUUGGUCCCUCCACAUCGCGGAUGUGCAGCACCCCCUCACGCAUCUCAAUGGUUUGAGGGUGUUGCAGCACCUCCGCGAGAUAGGGGUUGACAACCCUCUUGAAAAACUUGUCCUUGGGAGCGCUUGGAGACAUCAUGGUGCUCUAGAUCUGUCAGAAAAAUAGCUCGAAACGAAAACAGAAGAUUUUUGCGUGAUAUGGUGGUCAAAACCUUCAGGAGAUUAUAUAAUGAAUUUUUACUGACCAAAAGAAGUAACGUGCAAGAAAACAGAGUCCAGGAGGUACACGAGGUGCCCACGAGGCAAGAGGCGCGCCUAGUAGGGGUGGGUGCACCCUCUACCCUCGUAGAGGUCUCGUGUCCUUCCUGGAUUACUUCUUGCUUUCCUAAAUUCUUAAAUAUUCCAAAACGUAGAAAAAAUGCCAUUAGAACUGUUUUGGAGUCGGUUUACUUACUGUACCACAUACCUAUUCCUUUUUGGAGUCUGAAACGUUCUGGAAAGUGUCCCUUAUGUAUUCCUCCGGGUUGAAGUUGUUGAUUUUUAUGGCACCGGAACGAUAGACCUCCUCGAUAACGUAAUGACCUUCCCAUUUAGAGAGAAGUUUUCCUGCAAAAAAUCUUAAACGAGAGUUGAAUAGCAACACAUAAUCACCUAUGUUAAACUCACGCUUUUGUAUGCUUUUGUCAUGCCAUCUUUUAACUUUUUCUUUGAACAGCUUGGCAUUCUCAUAUGCUUGGGUUCUCCAUUCAUCAAGUGAGCUAAUGUCAAAUAACCUCUUCUCACCAGCAAGUUUGAAAUCAUAGUUGAGCUCUUUAAUAGCCCAAUAUGCCUUAUGUUCAAGUUCAAGUGGUAAGUGACAUGCUUUUCCAUAAACCAUCUUAUAUGAAGACAUACCCAUAGGAUUUUUAUAUGCAGUUCUAUAGGCCCAUAAUGCAUCAUCAAGUUUCUUGGACCAAUUCUUUCUAGAUCUAUUAACAGUCUUUUGCAAAAUUAAUUUGAGCUCUCUAUUACUCAAUUCUACUUGACCACUAGCCUGUGGGUGAUAAGGAGAUGCAAUUCUAUGAUUAACAUCAUACUUAGCAAGCAUUUUACGAAAAGCACCAUGAAUAAAAUGUGAACCACCAUCAGUCAUGAGAUAUCUAGGGACUCCAAACCUCGGAAAAAUAACUUCUUUAAGCAUCUUAAUAGAGAUGUUAUGAUGAGCACUACUAGUUGGAAUAGCUUCUUCCCACUUAGUAACAUAAUCAACAACAACUAAAAUAUGUGUAUAUCCAUUAGAGGCAGGAAAAGGUCCGAUAUAAUCAAUGCCCCAGACAUCAAAUGGUUCAAUAACAAGAGAAUAGUUCAUAGGCAUUUCUUGACGUCUACUAGUAUUACCAAUUCUUUGACAUUCAUCACAUGACAAGACAAACUUACGGGCAUCUUUGAAGAGAGUAGGCCAAUAAAAACCGGAUUGUAAUACCUUAUGUGCAGUUCUAUCUCCAGCGUGGUGUCCUCCAUAUGGUUCGGAGUGACACUUGCGUAGGAUCUAUUUCUGUUCAUGCUCAGGUACACAACGUCUAAUAACACCAUCUACUCCUUUAUAAAGGUGUGGGUCAUCCCAGAAGUAAUGUCUUAAAUCAUAAAAGAACUUUUUCUUUUCCUGGUAUGUGAAACUAGGCGGUAUAAAUUUAGCAACAAUGUAAUUAGCAUAAUCAGCAUACCAAGGAGCAGUACGAGAAGCAUUAAUGACCGCUAAUUGUUCAUCAAGAAAGCUAUCAUCAAUUGGUAGUGGGUCAUCAAGAACAUUUUCUAACCUAGACAAGUUGUCUGCAACAAGGUUCUCAGCCCCCUUUCUAUCAAUAAUAUGCAAAUUAAAUUCUUGGAGCAAGUGGACCCAUCUAAUAAGUCUAGGUUUAGCAUCUUUCUUUUCCAUAAGAUAUUUAAUAGUAGCAUGAUCAGUGUGAAUAGUUACUUUAGAAUCAACAAUAUGAGGUCUGAACUUAUCACAAGCAAAAUACAACUGCUAAGAAUUUUUUCAAUAGUAGCAUAAUUUCUCUGGGUAGUAUCAAGAGUUUUACUAGCAUACUGGAUAACAUUUAAUUUCUUAUUAACUCUUUUCCCUAGAACAACACCUACAACAUAAUCACUAGCAUCACACAUAAUUUCAAAAGGUAAAUUCCAAUCAGGUGGCUGAACAAUAGGUGGAGAAAUCAAAGCUUUCUUUAGUAUUUCAAAUGCUUCUAAACAAUCAUCAUUGAAGACAAAAGGAAUAUCUUUUUGUAAGAGAUUAGUCAGAGGCCUAGAAAUUUUAGAGAAGUCCUUAAUAAACCUCCUAUAGAAACCGGCAUGACCAAGGAAACUUCUUAUACCUUUGAUGUCCUUAGGACACGACAUCUUUUCAAUAGCAUCAAAUUUAGCUUUAUCAACCUCAAUACCUCUUUUAGAAAUUUUAUGCCCCAAAACAAUGCCUUCAUUAACCAUAAAGUGGCAUUUCUCCCAAUUCAAGACAAGACUAGUAUCUUCUCAUCUGUGCAAAACUCGAUCAAGGUUGCUCAAGCAAUCAUCAAAAGAAGAUCCAUAAACGGAGAAGUCAUCCAUGAAAACGUCAAUAAUCUUUUCACAAAAGUCAGAGAAUAUAGCCAUCAUGCAUCUUUGAAAGGUAGCAGGUGCAUUACAUAAACCAAAAGGCAUACGUCUAUAAGCAAAAGUACCGAAAGGGCAAGUAAAAGUGGUCUUUUCUUGAUCCUCUUUUGACACGGGUAUUUGAGAGAAACCAGAGUAACCAUCUAGAAAGCAAAAUUUGUAUGUUCGGAUAAUCUUUCUAGCAUUUGAUCAAUAAAAGGUAAAGGGUAAUGAUCCUUUUUAGUAGAUUUAUUUAAUUUGUGGAAGUCAAUUACCAUCCUAUAACCUGUAACAAUUCUUUGCGGGAUCAAUUCAUCCUUAUCAUUAGGAACAACAGUAAUACCUCCCUUCUUAGGGACACAAUGGACAAGACUUACCCACUGACUAUCAGCAACGGGAUAAAUUAUACCUGCCUCCAGGAGCUUUAGUAUUUGUUUUCUUACAACUUCUUUCAUCUUAGGAUUUAACCAUCAUUGGUGAUCAACAACUGGUUUGAUGUCUUUCUCCAAUUUUAUUUUAUGUUGGCAUAGAGUGGAACUAAUGCCCUUAAGAUCAUCAAGGGUAUAUCCAAUAACAGCACGGUGCUUCUUCAGAGUUUUCAACAAUUUCUCCUCUUCUUGCUCUGAAAGGUUAGCACUAAUAAUAACAGGAUAUAUCUUCUUUUCAUCAAGAUAAGCAUAUUUAAGAGUAUCAGGUAAUGGUUUAAGCUCAAACAUGGGAUCACCCUUAGGUGGAGGAGGAUCCCCUAGGAUUUCAACAGGCAAGUUGUGUUUCAAAAUAGGUCCCUGUUUAAAUAAUACUUCAUCUAUCUCCCUUCUUUCAUUCAUAAACAUAUCAUUUUCAUGGUCUAGCAAAUAUUGUUCUAAAGGAUCAUUAGUAGGCAAAACAAUAGAAGCAGGACCAAUAAUUUCAUCCUUACUAGGCGAUUCUUUAUCAUGGGGUCGUCAACGAAAUUUAGCAAAAUUAAACUCAUGAGACAUAUCCCCUAAGCCAAUUGUAACAUUAUCUUUUUCGCAAUCUAUCUUAGCAUUAACAGUAUUCAAGACGGGUCUACCAAAUAUAAUGGGACAAAAGCUAUCUCGUGGGGAACCAAGAACAAGAAAAUCAGCAGGAUAUUUAACUUUCCCACACAAGACUUCAACAUCUCUAACAAUCCCAACUGGUGAAAUAGUAUCUCUAUUGGCAAGCUUAAUUGUAACAUCAAUUUCUUCUACCUCAGUAGGUGCAAUAUCAUGCAUAAUUUCUUUGUAUAAGGAAUGAGGUAUUGCACUGGCACUAGCACCCAUAUCACAUAAGCCAUGAUAACAAUGAUCUCCUAUUUUAACAAAAAUAACACGCAUGCCUACAAUAGGUCUAUGUUUAUUUUUAGUAUCGGGUCUAGAAAUUCUAGCAGCUUCAUCACAGAAGUAAAUAACAUGCCCAUCAAUAUUAUCAGCCAAGAGAUCUUUAACCAUAGCAAUACUAGGUUCAACUUUCAUUUUCUCAGGUGGUGUAGGUGUUCUAGUAUUACUGUUACGAACCACAGUUGAAGCUUUAUCAUGAUCCUUUAUCCUAACAUAGAAAGGUGGUUUCUCAAUAUAAGUAGUAGGAACAAUAGGAUCAUUAUAAGUGAUAGUAUUUUCUUCAACUAUAAUAGGUGCAACUACUUUUACUUCAGUGGGAGGAUUAUAUUUAAACCACUUGUCCUUAGGGAGGUCAACAUGAGUAGCAAAUGAUUCACAAAAAGAAGCUACUAUCUCAGUGUCAAGUCCAUAUUUAGUGCUAAAUUCACGAAAAGCAUCGGUAUCCAUAAAAGAUUUAACACAAUCAAACUUAGGUGUUAUACCUGACUCCUUACCUUCGUCGAGAUCCCAAUCUUCAGAGUUGCGUUUAAUUCUUUCCAAUAAAUCCCAUCUGAAUUCAAUAGUCCUCAUCAUAAAAGAACUAGUACAAGAAGUAUCGAGCAUGGAGCAAUUGUUGAGAGAAAGCCGAGCAUAAAUUUUUUGAAUAAUCAUUUCUCUUGGGAGCUCAUGAUCGAGGCAUGAAUAUAACAUUGACUUGAGCCUCCCCCAAGCUUGAGCGAUGAUUUCUCCUUCGCAAGGCCUAAAAUUAUACAUAUAAUUACGAUCACGAUGAACAAGAUGCAUAGGAUAAAACUUCUGAUGAAAUUCCAAUUUCAAUCGGUUGUAGUUCCAUGAUCCCAUAUCAUCACAUAGCCUAAACCAUGUCAAUGCAUAUCCCUUCAAAGAUAAAGGGAAGAACUUCUUCUUGAUAACAUCAUCGGGCAUACCUGCAAGCUUAAAUAAUCCACAAACUUCAUCCACAUAGAUUAGGUGUAAAUCGGGAUGCAAUGUUCCAUCUCCUGUAAAGGGAUUAGCUAGCAGUUUCUCUAUCAUACCUGAAGGAAUUUCAAAGUAAACAUUUUCAGUAGGUUCAGUAGGUUGAGGAGCAACUCUUUGCUCUACUGCUCGGGGUGAAUAUACUCCAAACAAGCCCCUCAAAGGAUUACGUUCCAUAGUAACAAGGGACAGUAAAUUUCAGCACACUAUAUAAAUUUUUCCUUACCAAGUUCCACUCACCAAAGGCGCUUCACUCCCCGGCAACGGCGCCAGAAAAGAGUCUUGAUGACCAAAAAGUGUAGGGGUUCUAUCGUAGUCCUUUUGAUAAGUAAGAGUGUCGAACCCAAUGAGGAGCAUAAGGAAAUGACAAGCGGUUUUCAGUAAGGUAUUCUCUACAAGCACUGAAAUUAUCGGUAACAGAUAGUUUUGUGAUAAGGUAAUUCAUAACAGGUAACAAGUAACAAAAGUAAAUAAGGUGCAGCAAGGUGGCCCAAUCCUUUUUGUAGCAAAGGACAAGCCUGGACAAAUUCUUAUAUGAAGGAAAACGCUCCCGAGGACACAUGGGAAUUAUCAUCAAGCUAGUUUUCAUCACGCUCAUAUGAUUCGCAUUCAUUACUUUGAUGUGGGUAGACCGGUGCUUGGGUACUGCCCUUUCUUGGACAAGCAUCCCACUUAUGAUUAACCCCUAUUGCAAGCAUCCGCAACUAUAAAAGAAGUAUUAAUGUAAACCUAACCAUAGCAUGAAACAUAUGGAUCCAAAUCAGCCCCUUACGAAGCAACGCAUAAACUAGGGUUUAAGCUUCUGUCACUCUAGCAACCCAUCAUCUACUUAUUACUUCCCAAUGCCUUCCUCUAGGCCCAAACAAUGGUGAAGUGUCAUGUAGUCAAUGUUCACAUAACAUCACUAGAGGAGAGACAACAUACAUCUCAUCAAAAUAUCAAACGAAUACCAAAUUCACAUGACUACUUAUAGCAAGAGUUCUCCCAUGUCCUCAGGAACAAACGUAACUACUCACAAAUCAUAUUCUUAUUCAUAAUCAGAGAGGUAUUAAUAUGCAUAUAGGAUCUGAACAUAUGAUCUUCCACCGAAUAAACCAACUAGCAUCAACUACAAGGAGUAAUCAACACUACUAGUAACCCACAGGUACCAAUCUGAGGCUUUGGGACAAAGAUUGGAUACAAGAGAUGAGCUAGGGUUUGAGAGGAGAUGGUGUUGGUGAAGAUGUUGAUGGAGAUUGACCCCCUCCUGAUGAGAGGAUUGAUAGUGAUGAUUUCCCCCUCCCGGAGGGAUGUUUCCCCGGCAGAAUAGCUCUGCCAGAGCCCUAGAUUGGUUCCGCCUCGUGGAGGCGGUGUUUCUUCCCGAAAGCUUGCUUAUGAUUUUUUUUCGGGGUAAAAGACUUCAUAUAGCAGAACAUGGUCACCGGAGGCCUGCCAGGGGGCCCAUGAGGCAGGGGGCACCUCGUGAUGCAAAAUGGACGUAUUAACUCCCCCAAGCUUAGACCUCGCUUGUCCUCAAGCGGAAGCCAAAAUCGAAAAAUAUGUCCACGUGUUUAGAGAUAGAGGUGUCGAUAAAAUAAAAUACGGACAUGAGGGCAUCAUCAUUCUUAUAACAGCAACAUAUAUGUAUUUUGUCAUAUGAUUUCUUAUGCUAAAGUAACAAUCUAUUCGCAAUGUCAAGUAUGAAUCAGAAACUUCAUUGAAAACUAACAAACUAUAAUCUGAGUCAUUGAAGCAAUUGCAAUUUAUCAUAACAUUGGAAAGAGUCAAUCCAAGAGCUUUUCAGCAAGUCCACAUACUCAACUAUCAUUUAGUCUUUCACAAAUGCUAACACUCACGCAAUACUUAUGGGUAUGGAGUUUUAAUCUGACACAGAGCAAGAUAGGGGCUUAUAGUGUUGCCUCCCAACCUUUUACCUCAAAGGUAAUGUCAAAAAAAAGUUCAUGCUAACUUACAUCCAAUUGGAUAAUAUAUAUCAGGAUCUUUCCAACACAGGGUGCUUGCCAAAGGAUAAAAUGUAAAAAGGGAAUGGUGAAGAUCACCAUGACUCUUGCAUAAUGUAUAAGACAAGAAUAAAAGAUAGGCCCUUCGCAGAGGGAAGCAGAGGUUGUCAUGUGCUUUUAUGGUUGGAUGCACGAAAUCUUAAUGCAAAAGAACAUCACUUUAUAUUGCCACUUGUGAUAUGGACCUUUAUUAUGCAGUCCAUCGCUUUUAUUGCUUCCAUAUCACAAGAUCGUAUAAAGCUUAUUUUCUCCACACUAAUAAGUCAUACAUAUUUAGAGAGCAUUUUUUAUUGCAUACAACAAUGACAACUCACUUGAAGGAUCUUAAUCAAUCCAUAGGUAGGUAUGGUGGACUCUCAUGGCAAAACUGGGUUUAAGGAUAUUUGGAAGCACAAGUAGUAUCUCUACUUGGUGCAAAGAAUUUGGCUAGCAUAAGAGGGGAGGACAAGCUCAACAUGUUGGAUGAUCCAUGACAAUAUACUUUAUUUCGGAUAUAAGAAAACAUAACCCAUUACGUUGUCUUCCUUGUCCAACAUCAAAUCUUUAGCAUGUCAUAUUUUAAUGAGUGCUCACAGUCAUAAAAGAGGUCCAAGAUAGUAUAUUUAUAUGUGAAAACCUCUCUUUCUUUAUUACUUCCUAUUAAUUGCAAUGAGGACCAAAACUAUGUUUGCCAACUCUCAACAACUUUAAUUCAUCAUCCUCGUUAUGUGAAGUCAUUACUCUCGAUAAGAUCAACAUGAUCUCUUUUAUUUCUUUUUGUUCUUUCCUUUUCUUUUAUUCCUUCAAGAUCAAAGUAAAAUAAUCAAGCCCUUGACUCAACACUAAUCUUUAUUAUAUAUAGCUCACGGACUCGAUUACAUAGAAGGAUCAUAAAGCAAAACUUCAAAACUAAAUCAUACCAAAACUUUAUUCUACUAGAUCAAGAUAUUACUAAAAGGAAUGAACCAAGAAAAAUGGUAAAGAUAGGAGUGUGAUGAUGAUACGAUACCGGGGCACCUCCCCCAAGCUUGGCAGUUGCCAAGGGGAGUGCCCGUACCCAUGUGAUUAUGUCUCCUUCUUCGGAUGUGGUGAUGAUGGAGUUGUUGAUGAUGUAGGCUUGUCGUCCAUCUUCCGAGGCAUAGGCUCACCAUCAUAGAAGGAUGACCGAGUCUCCGGGAUCCUCAAAUCUGCAGCCAAACUCAUCCUCUUGAAUAUAGAUUCAUACUCAUAGUUUUGGUUUUGCAGGUCAUAGAUCUGGGCUUGGAGGUGCUCGAUUUUCUCAUGAAGCUUGAAGAUGGUCUCCCCAAUGUUCUUGGCAUCUAGCUUGUGGUUGUUGGUGAACUCCGCGAUCAUCAUCUGGUUGGCGUUGAGUCCGUGUUCCACCAUCCCUUGGCACUUGAAAACUUGUUGUUCCAUUGCCUCGAGUCUUGUCUCCACGCUUCUGGUCCUCCUUGGUCCCUCAACAUCAUGGAUGUGCAGCACCCCCUCACGCAUCUCAAUGGUUUAAGGGUGUUGCAGCACCUCCGCAAGGUAGGGGUUGAUGACCUUCUCGAAAAACUUGUCCUUGGGGGCGAUUGAAGACGUCAUGGUGAUCUAGAUCUGUCAGAAAAACUAUUCCUUUUUGAAGUAUGAAACAUUCUGGAAAGUUCCCCUUAUGUAUUCCUCCGGGGUUACGGUUUCAAUAACAUUAGUUUCAACAUUUAUAGGAUUACCUGAGAUAUAAUGUUUAAUUCUUUGACUGUUCACCGCCUUCGGAUUUGUGCCUUCGAAGUUGUUGAUUUUUAUGGCACCGGAAUGAUAGACCUCCUCGAUAACAUAAGGCCCUUCCCAUUUAGAGAGACAUUUUCCUGCAAAAAUUCUUAAAGGAGAGUUGAAUAGCAAUACAUAAUCACAUACAUUAAACUCACGCUUUUGUAUCCUUUUGUCAUGCCAUCUUUUAACUUUUUCUUUAAACAGUUUGGCAUUCUCAUAGGCUUGGGUUCUCCAUUCAUCAAGUGAGCUAAUAUAAAAUAACCUCUUCUCACCGGCAAGUUUGAAAUCAUAAUUGAGCUCUUUAAUGGCCCAAUAUGCCUUAUGUUCUAGUUCGAGAGGUAAGUGAUAUUCUUUUUCAUAAAUCAUUUUAUAUGGAGACAUACCCAUAGGACUUUUAUAUGCAAUUCUGUAAGCCCGUAAUGCAUCAUCAAGUUUCUUGGACCAAUUCUUUCUAGAUUUAUUAACAGUCUUUUGCAAAAUUAGUUUGAGCUCUCUAUUACUCAGUUCUACUUGGCCACUAGACUGUGGGAGAUAUGGAGAUGCAAUUCUAUGAUUAACAUCAUACUUAGCAAGCAUUUUACGAAAAGCACCAUGAAUAAAAUGUGAACCACCAUCAGUCAUUAGGUAUCUAGGGACUCCAAACCUCGGAAAAAUAACUUCUUUGAGCAUCUUAAUAGAGGUGUUAUGAUCAGCACUACUGGUUGGAAUAGCUUCUACCCACUUAGUAACAUAAUCAACAACAACUAAAAUAUGUGUAUACCCAUUAGAGGAAGGAAACGGUCCCAUAUAAUCAAAGCCCCAAACAUCAAAUGGUUCAAUAACAAGAGAAUAAUUCAUAGGCAUUUCUUGACAUCUACUAAUAUUACCAAUUCUUUGACAUUCACCACAAUACAAGACAAACUUACGGGCAUCUUUGAAGAGAGUAGGCCAAUAAAAACCGGAUUGCAUUACCUUAUGUGCAGUUCUAUCUCCAGCGUGGUGUCCUCCAUAAGCCUUGGAGUGACAUUUGCGUAGGAUUUGUUCCUGCUCAUGCUCAGGUACACAACAUCUAAUAACACCAUCUAGUCCUUCUUUAUAAAGGUGUGGGUCAUCCCAGAAGUAAUGUCUUAAAUCAUAGAAAAACUAUUUCUUUUGCUGGUAUGUGAAACUAGGUGGUAUAAAUUUAGCAACAAUGUAAUUUGAUGGUUGUUCCUUAAAUUUGCAUCUUGCAGAUUCCACUAUCAAGAAUGGGAAGAAUUAAUGAUGUUCUUAUUGUUGCAAAUAGGAAUUAUGUGACCGUAGAUUUCAUUGUUCUUGAUAUAGAUUGCAAUCCUACAUGUCCUAUUAUUCUUGGUAGACCUUUCCUUAGAACUAUUGGUGCAAUUAUUGAUAUGAAAGAAGGAAACAUUAGAUUCCAAUUUCUGUUAAGGAAAGGCAUGGAACACUUUCCAAGAAAAAAAUUUAAAUUGCCUUAUGAAUCUAUUAUGAGAGCCACUUAUGGAUCACAUACCAAAUAUGAUAAUACUUAGAUCUAUUCGUGUUUUUAUGCCUAGCUAGGGGCUUUAAACAAUAGCGCUUGUUGGGAGGCAAACCAAUUUUAUUUUUGUUCAUUCUUGUUAGGUCCUGCUUUGCUUUGAAUAAAUCAUCUAGCCUCUAGUUAGAUGUUGUUUUGUGUUUUAAUUAGUGUUUGUGCCAAGUAAGACCUAUAGGAUAACCUACGGUGAUAGUUGAUUUGAUCUUGCUGAAAAAACAGAAACUUUUGUGUCCAGAGUUAGAAUUUUUAAAAAUCACAGAAGCGACGAAUUUGAACUCUCAAUUUUUUACAGUACAUUGAUAUACAAAUUGCCUAGGGCGUACUAUUUUUCAGGAUUUUUGAAGUUACAGAAGUAUUUGAACUAUUUAGAUUUCUACAAACUGUUCUGUUUUUGAGAGAUUCUAUUUUUCGUGUGUUGUUUGCUUAUUUUGAUGCAUCUAUGGCUAGUAUUGGGGGGGGGUAUGAACCAUGGAGAAGUUGGAAUAUAGUAGAUAAUACACCAAUAUAAAUAAAGAAUGAGUUCACAAUACUACCAAAAGUGGUGAUUUAUUUUCUUAUACUAAUGGAGCUUACGAGAUUUUCUGUUGAGUUUUGUGUUGUGAAGUUUUCAAGUUUCGGGUAAGGAUUUUAUGGACUAUGGAUAAGGAGUGACAAGAGCCUAAGCUUGGGGAUGCCCAAGGAACCCCAAGGUAAUAUUCAAGGAUGUCAAAAAGCCUAAGCUUGGGGAUGCCCCGGGAAGGCAUCCCCUCUUUCGUCUUCGUCUAUCGGUAACUUUACUUGAGACUAUAUUUUUAUCCACCACAUGAUAUGUGUUUUUCUUGGAGUGUCUUGUAUGAUUUGAGUCUUUGCUUUUUAGUUUGCCACAAUCAUCCUUGCUAUACACACCUUUAAGGUUUGUGAGUCCCGUAGCAUGCACGUAUGGUGAACCAUUAUGUAACGAAGUUGGAGCAUGAGAUGUUUUUUGAUUGUCUUCCUUAUGAGUGGCGGUCGGGGACGAGCGAUGGUCUUUUCCUACCAAUCUAUCCCCCUAUGAGCAUGUGCGUAGUACUUUGUUUUGAUGACUAAUAGAUUUUUGCAAUAAGUAUGUGAGUUCUUUAUGACUAAUGUUGAGUCCAUGGAUUAUAUGCACUCUCACCUUUUUCGGACAUUGCUAGCCUCUCUUGUACCCCGCAACUUUUGCCGGUACCAUAAACCCACCAUAUAUCCUUCCUCAAAACAGCCACCAUAUCUACCUAUUAUGGCAUUUCCAUAGCCACUCCGACAUAUAUUGCCAUGCAACUUUCCACCGUUCCAUUUAUUAUGACAUACAUCAUCAUUGUCAUAUUGCUUUGCAUGAUCAUGUGGUUGACAUCGUAUUUGUGGCAAAGCCACCGCUCAUAAUUUUUUAUACAUGUCACUUUUGAUUCAUUGCACAUCCCGGUACACCACCGGAGGCAUUCACGUAGAGUCAUAUUUUUGUUCUAGUAUCGAGUUGUAAAUAAGUUGAAUUGUGAUGAUUUUCAUUAUUAGAGCAUUGUCCCAUGUGAGGAUAUAAAAAAAGAGAAAGGCCAAAUAAAAAAGAGAAGGCCCAAAAAUGAGAGAAAAAGAGAGAAGGAACAAUGUUACUAUCCUUUUUGCCACACUUGUGCUUCAAAGUAGCACCAUGAUCUUCAUGAUAGAGAGUCUCCUAUGUUAUUACUUUCAUAUGCUACUGGGAAUUUUUCAUUAUAGAACUUGGAUUGUAUAUUCCAAUGAUGGGCUUCCUCAAACGCCCUAGGUCUUCAUGAGCAAGCAAGUUGGAUGCACACCCACUUAGUUUUCUUUUUGAGCUUUCAUAAACUUAUAGCUCUAGUGCAUCCGGUGCAUGGCAAUCCCUACUCACUUAUAUUGAUAUCUAUUAAUGCGCAUCUCCAUAGCCCGUUGAUACACCUAGUUGAUGUGAGACUAUGUCCCUCUUUUUUAUCUUCUCCACAACCACCAUCUAUUCCACCUAUAGUGCUAUGUCCAUGGCUCACACUCAUGUAUUGCGUGAAAGUCUAAAAGGUUUGAGAACAUCAAAAGUAUGAAAUAAUUGCUUGGCUUGUCAUCGGGGUUGUGCAUGUGUCGGUGUACUAAAGUAGGGGUACCUUAGUAUCCCGAACUUGUGCACGGGCAGUCGCAGCACCCUGCGGCAAGGCUCGCCGGGUGCCCGCCAAGAUCCUCCGUAGUUCAUAUUGGAGCCAUUCAAGAACAAAGUAUUUUAACUAAGAAGACAAGGCCCCGGCAAGAGGAGCUUGCCGGGAAGGACGAGGCCUCGGCAAGAGGAGCUUGCCGGGAAGGCUAACUAAAGCAUGUCAAGGAACAUUGCCGCGCCGCGCCACGCGUCCCGGCAAGACCCGGCGAGCGACAAGCUUCUGGGCGCGACUAGACAACGACCGCGGCAAGGCACUUGCCGCGGCGAAGCCACCACUCUGCGCCCACGCUCCAGCGCAUCCGUCAAUGUGUCGCCUCAGGACCAUUCCAGGCGCACGUGGCGGGGAGCUGUGCAGCCAAGCGCUGCGAGGUGGCGAGUGGAGAUGACGAGAAGGCCAUCGUGGCAAGCAGUGGCGCCCCUAACGGUCUCUUUUCUGCACUGUUUGGGCGACGCGGAUGGGCAUUCAAUGCCUUUGUCCCCUGCCAUCAGAGUUAGGUAGGAUCCACUGUAGAAGCAGUUGUACCAACCACACUUUUUACACUUUUACCGCUGCAUGCGUUGCCACCUGUCGGUGACCCCUUGAGCCUAUAAAAGGAGGCCCAUGCGCAAUGUAGGGGGGGUGUUCGACUCAUUCGAAACUACAACACGCUCUCGAGCAAGAAUGUAAUACAACCACAAAGCAACAGUAGGAGUAUUAUCUCUCCGGAGAGCUCCAAAGCUGGGUAAAAUCGCUCGCGCGCUUCGCCUCGAUCCGCUCUUCGUGCGCUCUUCGCUCCCUUGCCGGACCGAAAGGGGCCCUGCCCCAUAGGUGUUUGUUUCCCACGACAUCUUUGGCGCACCAGGUAGGGGGGCGUCGAGGUUGUGUGAACCCGAUCCGGCGUUCGCGCGGGCCAGAUCUUCAUCAUCUUCAUCGACAUGCCACCGAAGAAGAAGACUUCGGGGGUGGCUGCUCCGUCCACAUCGAUCCCACCGCCACCGGAGCAAACGGGUGGUGGGGUGGACGCCAGCGGAGGAGCGGGCGCCGAAGAAGGAACUCACGCUGUCGCCAGGUCCAAGGACAAGGCCGCGCAGACUUCGGCGUCUGUGCAUGCACCGCACCCGUCUCAGGAGGUGCGGGGCCAACAGCGUCAUGGUACUCGCGGUACCAUACGCUCGUUGGACCAAAAUCGAGCUGGCGGAUCCCGAGAUGCUCAAGACCAGCACGCACGCCAACCUGCUGGCACGAGCAAGACACGGUCGCCCGGACGGGAUCCUGCUCCUUCUAACAUAGUUAGAAGUCCGAGCAUAUCCCGCUCCUCGCACUGUUCGCCACCGCCACCGAAGACUCCAGAAGAAGCGUUGGCUCGAGCCCAACUGCUCCUGGAUUACCCUCCAGCACCGGACAAGAUCGACGGUUGGAGGGCCACCAUUUAGAGCCUCAUCGGUUUCGCCAACGGCGACACUCCCCGGCAACCGAGCACAUCGAAGCCGCGGAAAGACGCCCAGGCGCGAGCCGAUGGCGACAAGACCGGUGGGGGUGCAACCACCGUGCACUCCCCAGCCCGAAGGCCAAAAUCGCCGACUCGCCGGGUCAACCUUGACACUGACUCCACAGCGUCGUCGGACCCACGAGCCCGUCGUGAUCAGCGCCAAGUUCUUCAAGAACGGCAACAAGAGGACGCUCGUACUCGCAUCGAGCGUCGGAGAGAAGCGCGGCGUCAGUCAGACCAGCGCGCUGGGACCACUGUUGACAUGCAUGCGCCAGGGGAACCAGGCGACUUGCCAUACGCGGUAGGUUGCCCUGCAUUCACCCGUGAGCUGCGGCAGGUCCAGUGGCCCAGUACAAAAAACUUCAAGCCAGACGUACCGGAGAAGUACGAUGGCAGGUUGCAUCCGUCGGAGUUCCUCAGUAUCUACACCAUUGCGGUGCAAGCUGCUGGGGGGCGCGACGAGAAGAUCCUUGCCAACUACUUCCCGCUGGUGCUCAAGCCCAACGUUAGAUCCUGGCUCAUGCACUUGCCGGACGACUCCAUUUCUUCGUGGGCGGAUCUGUGCCAUCAGUUUGUCGGCGCCUUCACAGGCGGCCACAAGCCCCAUGGCCAGGAGAGCGAUCUUCAUCUGCUCGCCCAGAAGGAAGGAGAGCCUCUGCGCAAGUUCAUUCAAAGGUUCAGCCAAGUGCAGCGCAACAUCCCAGAUGUCCACCCUGCCGCGGUCAUCAGCGCGUUCCAUCAGAACAUGCGUAACCGCAGGAUGAGGGAGGAAAUGGCGAUGUCCAAGAUUAGAGACGUCAGUGAGCUAUAUGCCCUGGCCGACAAGUGCACAUGUGCUGAGGAGGGGAGGAAACUCCCCGGAGAGAAUGCAGAAGCAGGAGGAUCUGACAGUGAGGAUGCCGCCCCGGCAAAGAAAAACCGGCGACGAAACAACAGAAGAAGGAAAGGCAAAGAUGUGGUAGCUGUCGAGCAGUCCGGCAACGGAGGUGGCGCCAAGGAAGCAGAACCUGUGGCGGCCGCCGACAAGCAGGGCAGCUCCGACAAGCAGUACUGCAAGAUCCACCGUACCAAGGGCCACGAUCCCCAAAGUUGCAAGAAGGUUGAACAGCUUGUCGAGCUGCAGAAAGCUGAGUACGAGUGACGCGACAAGGAGAAGGCCCAGGAGGGUACUGGUGGAUCCGGCAAGAAGCGCCCCGGCCGGGGAGGACGCCGCGGCAAGGCCAAACAGCGGCAAGGAGACAGGCCUCCCCGCGGCCGCGACAAGGAUGAAGAUGAAGACGAAGAUGAGGACAUGGAUGAAGAUGAAGCCGACGAGCAGGAGUUUCAGAAAGCAACAGAUGUUCUUUGCAUUGACGGUGGUGCUUCCCUGCACACUUCGCACCGCCAGCUCAAGCAGUGGGUGCAGGAAGUUAAUGCAGCGGAACCAUCAGUUGAGUCACGCAAGCCUCUGAAGUGGUCCAGCACGCCCAUCAUCUUUGACAUUGAGGAUCACCCUGAUCGCAUAACUGCGGUCAAGUGCUUGCCGAUGUUGGUUUCACCAACUAUCCGCAACCUCAAGGUCACAAAGAUGCUGGUUGAUGGCGGGGCCGGCUUGAAUCUGAUUUCCUCCGCGGUACUCAAGAAGCUCCAGAUCCCCGACAGCGAGCUCGAAGAGUCCGGUACUUUCCAAGGAAUCAAUCCGGGAAGGAGCAAGCCGAAGGGGAAGAUCACGUUGCCGGUAACAUUUGGCAGCGAAUUGAACUUCAGGACUGAGAUGGUCACCUUUGACGUUGCUGAUUUUCCAUUGCCUUAUAAUGGGAUACUCGGCCGUCCAGCACUCGCCAAGUUCAUGGCAGCCUCUCACUAUGCCUACAACGUGCUCAAGAUGCCAGGUCCGAUAAGCGUCAUCUCUGUCCCUGGCGACAAGAAAGAUGCCCUUAUCUGCACCGACCAAAUUUACCGGGAAGCAGCAGCUGCAACAGAUCACAAGACACUUGCCGCUGAAGCUCCCGGGGGGAAGAAGAAGACCAAGUCCGGCAAGAGCUCUGAUGCCCACUCCGGCAAGCGCACCUCUUCGGAGUGUUGCGCUACCGUCGAGGACGCGCCAUCAAGCUCCACGGCAAGUGUAAGAAGGCGAAGGCAGCUCCGCCAGAAACUAAGAAAGUGGCCGCCAAGGAGGACGGCACUGGUGGUACCUUCACCAUCAGUGCCACACUUGACCCUAAAUAGGAAAGCGCGCUCGUUGCUUUCCUGCGGGCGAAUGUCGAUGUAUUUGCAUGGCAACCAUCUGACAUCCCCGGUGUUCCCAGGAAAGUAAUUGAGCACCACCUUGCCGUCUGUCCUCACGCGCGGCCCGUCAAGCAGAAAGUCAGAAAGCAAGCAGUGGAGCGCCAAGAAUUCAUUGCUGAAGAAAUCAAGAAGUUGGAAGCAGCAGGCCUUGUCAGAGGAGUGCUCCAUCCUACGUGGUUGGCCAAUCCUGUAGUCGUGCGUAAGGCAAACGGGAAAUGGAGGCUUUUCAUUGACUUCAUUGAUGUUAAUAAAGCUUGUCCCAAGGAUCCAUUUCCCUUGCCGCGCAUUGACCAGAUUGUCGACUCCACGGCAGUAUGUGAUUUGCUUUCAUUUCUUGAUGCAUAUUCAGGAUAUCAUCAGAUCUUCAUGGCAGAAGAGGAUGAGGAGAAAACCGCAUUCAUUACUCCAUGUGGCACAUACUGCUUUGUACGGAUGCCUUUCGGACUAAAGAAUGCUAGUUCAACAUUCGCAAGGGUAGUUCACGAAGCUUUUGAGCAACAGUUGCACAGAAAUGUAGAAGCUUACAUGGAUGACAUAGUGGUCAAGAGCAAAGACAGAGCAACUCUGAUCCAAGAUUUGGACGAAACCUUUGCAAAUCUGCGCAAGAUCAACCUCAAGCUUAACCCCGAGAAGUGCGUGUUUGGAGUCCCCUCCGGCAAGCUUCUCGGGUUCUUUGUGUCUCAGCGGGGGAUUGAAGCCAACCCCGACAAGAUCAAGGCCAUUGAGCAGAUCGAAGCACCGAAGCGCGUCAAGGAUGUGCGAAGGCUUGCCGGCUGCGUGGCUGCUCUAAGCAGGUUCAUCUCUAAGUCUGCUGAGCGCGCCCUGCCAUUUUUCAAAAUAUUGAAAAAGGCAGGUCCAAUGAAAUGGACUCCAGAAGCGGAGGCUGCGCUGCAGGACUUGAAGAGAUACCUGUCCUCCACUCCAAUACUUGUCGCACCUAAGCCUCAAGAGAAGUUGCUGCUAUAUCUAGCAGCAACCAAUCAAGUGGUUAGUGCUGCGUUAGUAGCGGAGAGAGAGGCAGAUGAUGAGCCAGCGGCCGCGGCAAGCGCAUCCAGCGACAAGCAGGGGGCUUCCCCGACAAGCUCUGGUCCCGACAAGAAUGGAUCUGCGCAGGAGGAGGUGCAGAAGAAAAUGGUGCAGCGCCCAGUCUACUUUGUCAGUUCCCUUCUACAGGGAGCUAGGUCAAGGUACUCUGGUGUGCAGAAAUUGCUUUUCGGCCUUCUCAUGGCCUCGAGAAAGUUGCGCCAUUACUUCCAAGCACAUGAGAUCACAGUUGUCACUCGCUUUCCGCUGAAGAGGAUAUUGCGGAAUCCAGAAGCGAUAGGCAGGAUUGUCGAGUGGGCAUUGGAGCUGUCGAGCUUUGGCCUCAAGUUUGAGAGUACCUCAACUAUCCAGAGCCGAGCAUUGGCAGAAUUCGUAGCAGAAUGGACGCCAACGCCUGAUGAAGAAAUUCCAGAAAAGAGCAUCCCCGUCAAGGAAGCAAGCAAAGAAUGGAUCAUGUACUUUAAUGGUGCCUUCUCGCUGCAAGGCGCCGGUGCGGGCGUGUUACUUGUCGCACCCACCAGAGAGCACCUCAAGUACGUAGUCCAGAUGCACUUUCCCAAGGAGCAAGCAACAAACAAUACUGCAGAGUAUGAAGGUUUGCUUGCCGGACUCAGGAUUGCAUCAGACCUUGGGAUCAAGAAGCUUAUUGUUAGGGGUGACUCGCAGCUUGUCGUCCGCCAAGUUAACAAAGAUUACCAGAGUCCAUUGAUGGAAGCCUACAUUGAUGAAGUGAGGAAGUUGGAAGAGCACUUUGACGGCUUGCAGAUGGAACAUGUUCCGAGAGCUCAGAACGACAUUGCAGAUGGCCUGUCAAAGUGCGCCGCGCUCAAGUUACCUGUGGAACCAGGGAUCUUUGUGCUCAAGCUGACUCAACCAUCUGUAACACCAUCAACUGGACUGAGCAAGAAGAGGAAGUUGGUUUCCGGUGACUACUUUCCGGCAGAGCUCCCCGAAGCCGCCGCCAAGAAAGUCCCCAAAGUCAACACAAAGAGUGCUGAGGGGCAGUCUGCUCCGACAAGCCCUAGGGUUUGCUCCGUUGAAGCAGACGCUCCCGACAAGUUUUGCCCCGGCAAGCUUGCCGGGGAACAUCAAGCUCCGGCAGAACCUCAGGUUCUUGCUGUAGAAGCGGAUGUUCCCACAGCAGCAUAUGCACCUUUAGUUCUUGUUGUCGAGCCGCAAGCUCCAGCAUGGGCAUAGCAGAUCGUCCAUUUCCUUCAGAUAGGAGAACUUCCCGAAGAGCAAGAAGAAGCGGAGAGAGUAGCCCGGCAAUCGAGUAUGUACCAGUUUGUCGAUGACAUUCUGUACAGAAGAAGAUUCAACGGAGUGAAAUUGAAGUGCAUUCCCCGGGAAGAUGGACAGAAGCUGUUGGUAGAGAUACAUGGAGGCAUAUGUGGUCACCACAUUGGCGCAAGAGCACUUGCCGGCAAAGCAUUCCGGCAAGGUUUCUUUUGGCCAACAGCCCUCCAGGAUGCAACUGCACAAGUAACCAAGUGUGGAGCGUGCCAGUUCCAUUCCAAACAGAUACACCAGCCAGCUCAAGCUCUCCAGACGAUCCCUUUAUCCUGGCCAUUUUCGGUCUGGGGGCUCGACAUCCUCGGCCCCUUUCCCCGAGCUAUCGGGGGCUUUGAGUACUUGUACGUAGCAAUCGACAAGUUCACAAAGUGGCCGGAAGUGGAAGCAGUGAGAAAGGUGACAGCACAGUCAGCAGUCAAGUUCUUCAGGUCGAUUGUUUGCCGUUUUGGAGUCCCUAACAGGAUCAUCACCGACGACAACACGCAAUUCACGAGCCGCACCUUCAUGCCGUAUGUCCAAGAUCUUGGCACCAAGGUCUGCUUCGCUUCUGUUGCUCACCCGAAAAGCAACGGUCAAGCGGAGAGGGCAAACGCUGAAGUGCUAUGCGGGCUCAAGACCAGAAAUUUCGACAGGCUGCACAAGUGCAGAAAGAACUGGAUUGAAGAGCUGCCGGUGGUUCUUUGGUCGAUCAGGACGACGCCAAAUCGAGCCACUGGCCAGACACCUUUCGCUCUAGUCUAUGGAGCAGAGGCAGUUCUCCCCACGGAACUCGUAUACGGAUCGCCUCGAGUGCUCGCUUAUGAUGAUCUUGAGCAAGAGCAGCUGCGGCAAGAUGACGCGCUGCUCCUUGAGGAAGAUCGUCUUCAGGCUGCUGUACGAGCUGCUCGAUACCAGCAAGCUUUGCGUCGCUAACAUAGCCGCAAAGUUAAUGCCAGAAGUCUCGAGGAAGGCGACCUUGUUCUUCGGCGCGUUCAAUCCGCCAAAAAUUCCAACAAGUUGACGCCGAAGUGGGAAGGCCCUUAUCGGGUGAAGCGAGUCACUAGGCCUGGCGCUGUCCGCCUUGAGACCGAAGAUGGCUUUCCGGUGAGCAACUCCUGGAAGAUAGAGCAUCUUCGUAAGUUUUACCCGUAAGGCGCGGUUGUCGGAACCUGUUCCGGCAACCACCUUUUGUACAAGCCUUGCCGCUGUUGCAUGUAACACUUUGUACAAAGCCGGGCGCAGAUCCCGUGCAUGAAUAAAGAUCAUAUGCUCCGCACAUCAUGUCAAAUUUCAUGCUUUUUCUUUUUUGCAUGCAUUAUCUGACAAUUUGUGCAGCACUUGUCCCCGGUAAGCAAUAACGAGCCUUAAGGCUCCAUAUCUUUAUUUUUUUUCUUUCUUUUUUCUCAANNNNNNNNNNNNNNNNNNNNNNNNNNNNNNNNNNNNNNNNNNNNNNNNNNNNNNNNNNNNNNNNNNNNNNNNNNNNNNNNNNNNNNNNNNNNNNNNNNNNNNNNNNNNNNNNNNNNNNNNNNNNNNNNNNNNNNNNNNNNNNNNNNNNNNNNNNNNNNNNNNNNNNNNNNNNNNNNNNNNNNNNNNNNNNNNNNNNNNNNNNNNNNNNNNNNNNNNNNNNNNNNNNNNNNNNNNNNNNNNNNNNNNNNNNNNNNNNNNNNNNNNNNNNNNNNNNNNNNNNNNNNNNNNNNNNNNNNNNNNNNNNNNNNNNNNNNNNNNNNNNNNNNNNNNNNNNNGACCAGGCGUCGUUCAAGAAAAGUAUCACCUUGCCGGGACGCGAACGACAGAAAAGCUAAGUUGCCAAAGUUUGAGCAUAAUCAGUUUUAAUUUUUUUUUAAGUUAUCUUCCUUGAAGGACCGCACUUUGUAUGGAAAACCUGCGCGCGGAGGAACCAACUCGUAGCUAGUUGCGCCCUUACUUUGUUUCGAGUCCGCUUAACAACUUAAGUGUGCUGCGACUAGUUGCGACAAGGUUUCUUGCCGGGGGCAACACCGCCAGCAGGCUGCUGAUGUUCCGCACUCAGCGCUCGCGGCAAGGGUGCCUGCGCCGGCAAGUUCCCUAAAAGCGUAGGGCGAAAACAUACAAAGGAAGGAAUCAAGUAAAGGGAAUAACAUAGCAAAUACUACCCAAAAUAAAGUUAUAUUACAGAGAUAGCUUGCCGCACUCUAACAGAUUGUUCCCGCAAUGUGUCUAGCAGUGGCAAAAGAAGGAGAAGAUGGGCGGCCUAAUCCAUGCGUUCGCCGUCGAUCCUCCUAACUUCAUUCACCUUGUCCACAAUGGGUGCGACAAGGGCCUUGAGCUCUUCAAGAUCAGCACCCGCCGGCAGCUUCUUAAGGACGUUGGUGAGUUUGAGGCCCGGGUUGCGGAAGAGCACCUUCACCAACACCUUCUCCAGAACUCUGGCGCAGAUUGCGCACGACUCGUCGGCCAGCUGCUUUGGGAUCCUUUCCCGGAGUUGCUGGAGAGCCGUCGCCACGCCCUUGAAGAACAGAGUGAGCUUGGCGCUAGGCUGGAGGUUCUCAUCAGAAGAGUACCCGAAGCCCUCCAAUUCCAGCUGCGCCAGCUCCUCGUCAAUGACUGCGGCGAUGUUGACGAGGCCCUCCGUCCAGAGCUCCACAGUAGCCCUGAAGGUGUUCUGGGUUUCGGCGGCCCUUGUCAGCAGCUCCUCGUUGGCCUUGAUCUCUCCCUUCAAGUCCUCCUCCCGCUUCUUGGCGCCGUCCAGCGUCUCCGUCAGCGUGGCCAGCUUCAGCUCCAGAUCAGCUUUCGAAUCCUUGGCGGCGCUCAGCUCUUUGCCCCUCUCGAGGAGACGACCCUGUAGCUCACCAUGAGCAAGGGCGUCCUUCUCGCGCUCGCGCUGGAGCGCGGCAAGAUCUUCAUUCUUAUCCUUGAGAGUGGCUUCUAGCUGCGUCACCCUCACUUCUAGCUCCUUCUUGGCGGCCUCAGCAGCUGCAGCAGCAUCUUUCGCCUCUUUGAUGGCCCCGCCAAGUGUCCCCUCGCGCGCAGCGAGCUCCUCUUCAUAGCUGUCCAGUUUAACCUUCCUCUGCGUCAAUUCGCCUUCCCGCGCGGAUUGCUCCUCGGCGGCAAGCCGCUGUUGCUCUUCGGCUUCUGCUUUCUCGAGGAGGAAGGCCUCCCGCGCCUCGACAAGCUGCGCCCUCUCCUCUGCAAUGGACCGGAGGGCCUCUUGGUUGCGGCUCUGGAGCUCCUCCGCAUGCUUCUCUACGUCCACUCCCGCCUGCGCGACAAGCGCUUCCCGGGACUCCAGUUUGGCUUGUCGGGCGCGGUAGAGCGACAACAGCCUCCGCAGCAGUUGUUCCUCCUCAGGCUCACCGCUGCUGCUGCUUGGCGCGUCAACCACUGUCAGCCCAGCGGAGGCGAGCACUUCUCCGUCAAAAGUUUCUCCCUCGACCGGCGCCCUGGAGCUUGACGCCCAGGGAAGCUUGAUGAAGACACCGUCGCCGGCCUUCAAGUAGACGCCGGGCUGGGGCUCUUCGAAGCCUGGCGCUGCGUCAGCGGCGGAGGAAUCGGCGGUCGGCGUAGCGCCUUGCGCUCCUGCGGUCCCCGGGUCGUUAGUGCGAUCGCCAGACCCCUCGCCAGCUCCUGCGCCGGCAGACUUGGCGGCCUCCUCGUCGGCGGGAUCAUCGGCGCCGGCCUCCUCCUCGGUGGAGGCGGCAUCAUCAGUGUUGCCACGCACGUUCUCUUCGCCGGUGGUUUCAGUCUCCAUCGGCUCCGGGGAAGGAGGAUCUGAAAACAGGAAGAGAGAGAAAGAGUCAAGCAAAUAUCCAAAAAAAGAAGAUCAGAAGAAGAAGAACACAAGGGAAGUUUUUUGACAAGAAGGAUUACCUGUGCUGGGCUCUGUGACCAUGGGCUCCACCACCGGGGGAUCACUGGUCCCGUCCCUUGUUGGAGAACUGCCCCUUGCCGGGGAUCUCUCCCUUGCCGGAGAGCGCUCCCUUGUCGGAGAAUCAUCCCUCGGCGGCGUAGUCGAAGCAGAUAGCACCUCAGGGGCAGCUUCCGGUUGUUCCUGGUGAACUUGUUCUGCUCCUACACAAGCGAACCAACAAUCAAGAUAUCAGCAAGGAAAGAGCACCCACGCGCGCCCCACAACAGGAAGUGAACAAAUGCUUACGCUGGGGGCUGUGCCGGGGGCUGCUUCGAGGAGUAGUUGCCGGGUCCGACAAGGUGGUCUCGGACAUAUCCUCUGUCGUCACAGCAGGAUCGUCCGUGAUGACAACCACGGGGACCUUGGCCCUCUUCACCGCUCUCUGGGCCAGAGUCCUAGGAGGGAACAAGGUUCAGAAGGAAGCAGAUCAGAUACAAGACAAGAAUCAACAAGAAUUGAAGAAAAAUAAGUACAACAGAGAAACUUACUCCUCUUCUUCCUCCUCGUCGGAGCUGAGCGCGGAGAGGUUGAAGUCCGGUACCCUUUCGGCGCGACGAGGCGGGGGAGUAGGCUCCCUUGGCCGCUUGGCGGGAGCUGCGGCAGGGUCAGAAGCGGCGGCACGAGAGGACCCCGCUCCGGUUGCCGGCGCGGCGUGGGGCGCUCCCGCGGCAACGGUGCUUGCCGCGGUGGAGCGUGUUCCGCAGCGCUGCGGCUGUUGACCCGCUUGCCGCCCUGCUAUGUCUCCGGUCCUGUGGAGGCGCCUUCUUGGAGCUGGGGGCUACGCUUGCGGCAGGUUGCUUGAAGACGGCUGGCCGCUUGCGCCCUCGGCGGGCUUGCUCGCAUCGGCUUCGGGCUCUCCCUCGCCGACGACCUCCCCGACAAGCUCCUCUUGGUCGGCAAGGCUUGCCGCCUUGGCCGCCUCUGCCUCCUCCAAAGUAAAACCAAACUCGCCCGCAGCGGCAGCCGCCGCCGCCUCCUCCGCCCUGGUGGUGAUGCGCUGCAUCUCGUCAUCACUGGUGUCGCGGGUGAGGAGCCUCUGCUCGUCGACACGGACCGCCACCUCCACCAAGUCGUCGAAGAAUUGCUGCACGACGUCGUCGGCGGGCUCCUGCCAAGUUGGGAUAAUCCCAUGCGAGUUGCACUCCAGCAUCAUUGCGCGGAUGUGAUCGAGCGCGGAGUUGUUGCACAAUGGGACAACGCCCGGUGGCAGCCUGAACCACUCGGGAUGGUUGGGGUCGUGCUUGAACAGCUCCUUCAGCGUUCCAUCCAGCUCCAUGACAGUAAAAUUAAAAUUGAGGCCUGGGCGCAUCCUCAUGAUAUCCGCCAGGCCCCCGAACAGCCAGGCGGGUCUCCCCCUCUCUUGGAGAGGGGCGAUGCGACGGCGAAGAAAGUCCGCGCCAACAGCCCCGACCGUGAGUCCGGCAAGCCUGAGCCGCAAGAUCCGGGUGGUGGCGAUCUUCAAUCUAGCAUCGUCCGCCGCCAGGGCGCUCCAGUCGCCGCCGCGCACUACUCGGGUUUGGCGCAAGUUGGUGAAUGGCUGCGGGUUCUCAUCAACAAUCCAACACCACUCCGCUCUCCACUCCUCCCAUUUGCUACGGAGCUCCCCCUCCAGAUAAACCUCCUUCAUACCGGCUCUCGAGAUCCAGGCGAUCUCGCCAGACAUGGGCUCUCCUUUCUCGACCCGGGGCAUGAAGUAGUGGCGGAGAAGGGCUACAUUUGGGUGGAUCCCGACGAAGUUCUCGCAAAGGUGUGCAAAAACCGCCAUGGUCAGAAUGGCGUUGGGGGUGAAAUCAAGGAGAUGGAGCCCGUAUGUGUUCAUGAUGUCGCAAAAGAAAUCGGAAAAGGGCGGGCAGAGCCCGCAAUAGAAGAACAGUGGGCAGAAAUAGUAUCCUUUCAGACACUUUUUUGAAGUGGAAGCUUCGGCGGAGAGUACCUGCGUGCGCGGAUGCGCCCGCGUCUCCGUCGACCAGAAGAGGUAGAACCAUUCCCUCAGCUCCUUUGCAGAGAGAUCAGGGGGGAAGAGCGCCCGCUCCUUCCGCAGCGCCUCAAGCCGCAGCGCCUCGGCCGACUUCGCACCCUUCCCGGUCGUCGGAGCCAUGGCGGAGGCGGUGGGGAGAGCGAGGGCGUUGGCGGCGACGGCGGCGACAGGGGGCGGAGCGCUGCUCUCUUUCGGCUUUGGGAAGCGGAGGGGAGCGGCGGAGAUUUCUGAGGAAGCAACCGCAAGUGGCGAAGGUGGGGGAACGACCUCUGUUUCCCCUGCUUAUAAAGAGGAGGAGGCGAACGUUACGCUUUUUCCGAAUAAAGAAUCACCCACGAUCUCUCCCACGACGCCGCGUUCGACGCGUGCUGUUACGGGAGGGCGCAGUGGAUACGGAGUUAGAUACAGUGUGGACCCAGGCCGCGCGUGCCCGUGCCCUGUUUUGGGCCUGGCCCAACAGCGCUCGGCACCGUGUAUGGCCCAGGCCCGGGGGCUCCUGUCGGUGUACUAAAGUAGGGGUACCUUAGUAUGCCGAACUUGUGCACGAGCAGUCGCAACACCCCGCGGCAAGGCUCGCCGGGUGCCCGCCAAGAUCCUCCGUAGUUCAUAUUGGAGCCAUUCAAGAACAAAGUAUUUUAACUGAGAAGACAAGGCCCCGGCAAGAGGAGCUUGCCGGGAAGGACGAGGCCCCGGCAAGAGGAGCUUGCCGGGAAGGCUAACUAAAGCAUGUCAAGGAACAUUGCCGUGACGCGUCGCGCGUCCCGGCAAGACUCGGCGAGCGACAAGCUUCUGGGCGCGACUAGACAACGACCGCGGCAAGGCACUUGCCGCGGCGAAGCCACCACUCUGCACCCACGCUCCAGCGCAUCCGUCAAUGUGUCGCCUCAGGACCAUUCUAGGCGCGCGUGGCGGGGAGCUGUGCAGCCAAGCGGUGCGAGGUGGCGAGUGGAGAUGACGAGAAGGCCAUUGUGGCAAGCAGUGGCGCCCCUAACGGUCACUUUUCUGCACUGUUUGAGCGACGCGGACGAGCAUUCAAUGCCUUUGUCCCCUGUCAUCAGAGUUAGGUAGGAUCCACUGUAGAAGCAGUUGUACCAACCACACUUUUUACACUUUUACCCCUGCAUGCGUUGCCACCUGUCGGUGACCCCUUGAGCCUAUAAAAGGAGGCCCAUGCGCAAUGUAGGGGGGUUCGACUCAUUCGAAACUACAACACUCUCAUGCUCUCGAGCAAGAACGUAAUACAACCACAAAGCAGCAGUAGGAGUAUUAUCUCUCCGGAGAGCUCCGAAGCUGGGUAAAAUCGCUCGCGCGCUUCGCCUUGAUCCGCUCUUCGUGCGCUCUCCGCUCCCUUGCCGGACCGAAAGGGGCCCUGCCCCAUAGGUGUUCGUUUCCACGACAGCAUGAUUUGAAUAUUUUGUGUGAUGAAGAUGGAGCAUAGCCAGACUAUAUGAUUUUGUAGGGAUAAGAUUUCUUUGGCCAUGUUAUUUUGAGAAGACAAAAUUAUUUUGUUAGUAUGCUUGAAGUAUUAUUGUUUUUAUGUCAAUAUAAACUUUUGUUUUGAAUCUUACGGAUCUGAACAUUCUUGCCACAAUAAAGAGAAUUACAUGGAUAAAUAUGUUAGGUAGCAUUCCACAUAAAAAUUCUAUUUUUAUCAUUUACCUACUCGAGGACGAGCAAAAAUUAAGCUUGGGGAUGCUUGAUACGUCUCCAACGUAUCUAUAAUUUUUUAUUGUUCCAUGCUAUCAUAUUAUCUGUUUCGGAUGUUUAUAUGCAUUACUAUGCUAUUUUAUAUGAUUUUUGGGACAAACCUAUUAACCUAGAGCCCAGUGCCUGUUUCUGUUUUUCCUUGUUUUACAGUUUCACAGAAAAGGAAUACCAAACGGAGUCCAAAUGGAAUAAAACUUUCGCGAUGAUAUUUGUUGGACCAGAAGACACCCAGGAGACUUGGGAUGCAAGUCAGCAGAUCCGCGAGGCGGCCACAAGGGUGGCGGGCGCGCCCCCCGACCUUGUGGGCCCCUUGUAGCUCCCCUGACCUAAUUCUUCCUCCUAUAUAUACUCUUAUACCCCCAAAACAUCCAGGGGCGCCAUGAAACAACUUUUCCACUGCAGCAACCUUCUGUACCCAUGAGAUCCCAUCUUGGGGCCUUUUCCAGCAUCCUGCCAGAGGGGGAUUUGAUCAUGGAGGGCUUCUACAUCAACAUCAUUGCCUCUCCGAUGAAGCGUGAGUAGUUUACCUCAGACCUACAAGUCCAUAACUAGUAGCUAGAUGGCUUCUUCUCUCUCUUUGAUUCUAAAUACAAAGUUCUCCUCGAUGUUCUUAGAGAUCUAUUCGAUAUAAUACUCUUUUGCGGUGUGUUUGCCGAGAUCCGAUGAAUUGUGGAUUUAUGAUCAGCUUAUCUAUGAAUAUUAUUUGAAUCUCCUCUGAAUUCUUAUAUGCAUGAUUUGAUAUCUUUGCAAGUCUCUUCGAACUAUCGAUUUGGUUUGGCCAACUAGAGGGACUAUCCAAAGUACUAAAACUCUGGAAAGAACACUUAGUUCUUGUUGAUUCGGCCAUGGCAAAGAGAAGGCAAACGGUAAAGAGAGGGCAAAUAAAACGGCAAGGGUAAAGUGGGGGAGAGGAAAACGAGAGGCAAAUGGCAAAUAAUGUAAUGCGAGGGAGAUGAGUUUGUGAUGGGUACUUGGUAUGUCUUGACUUGAGCGAAGACCUCCCCGACAACGGUGCCAGAAAUCAUUCUUGCUACCUCUUGAGCACUGCGUUGGUUUUCCCUUGAAGAGGAAAGGGUGAUGCAGCAAAGUAGCUUAAGUAUUUCCCUCAGCUUUUGAGAACCAAGGUAUCAAUCUAGUAGGACGCUCCACGCAAGUGCCUCAUACCUACACAAAUAAACAAGAACCCCGCAACCAACGCGAUAAAGGGGUUGUCAAUGCCUUCACGACCACUUGCGAAACUGAGAUCUGAUAGAGAUAAUAAGAUAAGAUAAAUAUUUUUGGUAUUUUUAUGAUAUAGAUUGGAAAGUAAAGAUUGCAAAAUAAAGCAGAUCGGAAACUUAUAUGAUGGAGAAUAGACCCGGGGGCCAUAGGUUUCACUAGUGGCUUCUCUCACGAUAGCAUAAGUAUUACGGUGGGUGAACAAAUUACCGUCGAGCAAUUGAUAGAAAAGUGCAUAGUUAUGAGAAUAUCUAGGCAUGAUCAUGUAUAUAGGCAUCACGUCCGCGACAAGUAGAUCGAAAUGAUUCUGCAUCUACUACUAUUACUCCACACAUCGAUCGCUAUCCAGCAUGCAUCUAGAGUAUUAAGUUCAUAAAAACAGAGUAACGCAUUAGGCAAGGUGACAUGAUGUAGAGGGAUAAACUCAAGAAAUAUGAUAUAAACCCCAUCUUUUUAUCCUCGAUGGCAACAAUACAAUAUGUGCCUUGCUGCCCCUGCUGUCACUGGGAAAGGAGACCGCAAGAUUGAACCCAAAACUAAGCACUUCUCCCAUUUUAAGAAAGAUCAAUCUAGUAGGCCAAACCAAACUGGUGAUUCGAAGAGACUUGCAAACAUAACCAAUCAUACAUAAAAGAAUUCAGAGGAGAUUCAAAUAUUUUUCAUAGAUAAACUUGAUCAUAAACCCACAAUUCCUCGGAUCUCGACAAACACACCGCAAAAAGAGUUACAUCGAAUAGAUCUCCAAGAAGAUCAAGGAGAACUUUGUAUUGAAAUUCAAACAGAGAGAAGAAGCCAUCUAGCUAAUAACUAUGGACCCGAAGGUCUAUGGUAAACUACUCACAACUCAUCGGAGAGGCCUUAGCGAUGAUGUAGAAGCCCUCCGUGAUCGAUUCCCCCUCCGGUGGAGCACCGGAAAAGGCUCCAAGAUGGGAUCCCGUGGAUAGAGAAGGUUGCGGCGGUGGAAAUAGGGUUUCAUGGUGCUCCUGGAUGUUUUCGGGGUACGUAGAUAUAUAUUUACGUGAAGGAAGUCCGUUAGGGGAGCCACAAGGGGCCCACGAGGGUGGGGGGCGCGCCCACCCCCCUAGGGCGCGCCUUGCACCCUCGUGGCCGCCUCGGCUGCUUCUUGACGUCCACUCCAAGUCUCCUCGAUUGUGUUUGUUCCAAAAAGAUCGCUCCCAAAGGUUUCAUUCCGUUUGGACUCCGUUUGAUAUUCCUUUUCUUCGAAACACUGAAAUAGGCAAAAAACAACAAUUUGGGCUGGGUCUCUAGUUAGUAGGUUAGUCCCAAAAAUGAUAUAAAAGUGUAAAGUAAAGCCCAUAAACAUCCAAAACGGGUAAUAUAAUAGCAUAGAGCAAUCAAAAAUUAUAGAUACGUUGGAGACAUAUCAAGCAUCCCCAAGCUUAAUUCCUGCUCGUCCUCGAGUAGGUAAAUGAUAAAAACAGAAUUUUUGCUGUGGAAUGCUACCUAGCAUAUUUCUCAAUGUAAUUUUCGUUAUUGUGGCAUGAAUGUUCAGAUCCAAAUAAUUCAAGAUAAAAGUUCAUAUUAACAUAAAAAUAGUAAUACUUCAAGCAUACUAACUAGUAAUCACGUCUUAUCAAAAUAGCAUAGCCAAAGAAAGCUUAUCCCUACAAAAUCAUAUAGUUAGGCUAUGCUUCAUUUUCAUCACACAAAAUACUCCCAUCAUGCACAGCCCCGGUUUCAGCCAAGCAAUUGGUUCAAACUUUUUAACGCGCUUUAGUUUUUUCAACUCUCACGCAAUACAUGAGCGCAAGCCAUGGAUAUAGCACUAUAUGUGGAAUAGGAUGGUGGUUGUGAAGAAGACAAAAAGGGAGAAGAUAGUCUCACAUCAACUAGGCAUAUCAACGGCCUAUGGAGAUGCCCAUUAAUAGAUAUCAAUGUGAGUGAGUAAGGAUUGCCAUGCAACGGAUGCACCAGAGCUAUAAAUGUAUGAAAGCUCAACAAAAGAAAUAAAGUGGGUGUGCAUCCAACUUGCUUGCUCACGAAGACCUAGGGCAUUUUGAGGAAGCCCAUCAUUGGAAUAUACAAGCCAAGUUCUAUAAUGAAAAAUUCCCACUAGUAUAUGAAAGUGACAACAUAGGAGACUCUCUAUCAUGAAGAUCAUGGUGCUACUUUGAAGCACAAGUGUGGAAAAAGGAUAGUAACAUUGUCCCUUCUCUCUUUUCUCUCUUUUUUGGUGGGCUUCUUUGGCCUCUUUUUAUUUUAUUUUAUUUGGGCUUCUUUGGCCUCUUUUAUUUUUAUAAAGUCCGGAGUCUCAUCCUGACUUGUGGGGGGAAUCAUAGUAUCCAUCAUCCUUUCCUCACUUGGGACAAUGCUCUAAUAAUGAAGAUCAUCACACUUUUAUUGAUUUACAACUCAAGAAUUAAAACUCAACACUUAGAACAAAAUAUGACUUUAUGUGAAUGCCUCCGGCGGUGUACCGGGAUAUGCAAUGAAUCAAGAGUGACAUGUAUGAAAGAAUUAUGAAGGUGGCCUUGCCACAAAUACGAUGUCAACUACAUGAUCAUGCAAAAGCAAUAUGACAAUGAUGGAGCGUGUCAUAAUAAACGGAACGGUGGAAAGUUGCAUAGAAAUAUAUCUCGGAAUGGCUAUGGAAAUGCCAUAAUAGGUAGGUAUGGGGGCUGUUUUGAGGAAGGUAAAUGGUGUGUAGCGACCAGAACUCAAACAGUCUGAUCUCUGUGCAUCAGUGUCAUCCUUGGAUCGGUAAUGCUGACACAGACAGUACUUGAAGGAUUUAUAACAGAGUAGCAAUCACACACUUAUUACAUCGAAUGUCUCAAAAGAGAACUUAUUACAAUAAAUAUGGCUUAAGGCCAUCUAAUUACGAUAACAACGGAAGGCUUGGAAGAUAAAGCGAGUCCAUCAACUCCAACGGCAUCACUGAGUGAAAGAUCAUGACCUAAGGCACCUUACUCGUUGUCUGAAAAGUCUGCAACAUGAACAUUGCAGCCCAAAACGGGUCAGCACAUGGAAUAUGCUGGCAAUGUAACACAUAGAGAGUAAUGGACAGAAUAAUGCUAUCACUACAUGCAUAUAUGGCUGGUGGUAAGCUCUAUGGUUACAGUUUUGCAUAAAGCCAAUUUUCCCCUACAACAAAGGAAUACAUUUAUUUAACUAUCAUGGUGGUUGUUAAACAUUGAGAAGGUUCCUCCAACUCAAUCCCAAUUAAGCAUCAUCAUUAACCCAAUCAAAUUAGUUUAAGUAACAUGACGAGAUUCACAUGAUAAUCCAAGAAACAAGAUACUCAAAACAUCCAUAACCGGCGACACGGCUAACUAUAAUUAGUUUGUACACUCUCCAGAGGUUUGCGCACUUUUCCCCGAAAGACUCGAUCUCCUCCGUUGGAUUUCUUGCACUACAAGGUGUUUGAGAAACGAAUGAUCAAGACACAGUCUUUCAAAAGCAUUAACUCUUUACUCUGGGUAGACAAUACCAACCUACAUCCCCUACAUCUGCUAGCCUUCCACUGAAAGAGGUCAUGCAACAUACUCAACUAUGCUAGAGCCCAUAGUAGCUUGUGGCUGCACAUGGAAGUUUCUAGCAUGAAUAAUAUUAUGAUCCCUUUGAGCCUGGGUGGCAGUCCAUAGGAGAAUCACACGGUACCCCGGGAUUUCCAAAAGUACAGGCAACAUUGGGUUCCCCAGGUGCCUCAAUCCACCCAGAUGUGAAUUAAAGUUGCCACCUUAAGUUAACCAUUAAUUAACAAUCUCACAUCUGUCAUGGAUACACUCACCCAAUCCACGUCUACAAGCAUAGCACAACAAUAUAAGCAAACGUAGAAGUAACUCCCAAAGGUUUGAUAAUAAACAGGACAAUAGGUACUAGCUCAUCUACUUCCCCAAACCCACAUGUUAAUCAGAUCCUAAUCAUGCAAUUGUUUGAGGAUUGAUCUAAUGCAAUAAAGCUGGGUAGUAAAGAGGUAUGAUCAAAGUGUUACUUGCCUUGCUGAUGAUCCGUGAAACCUAGAGACUCGUAGUAGCAAGCUGCGCACUCCGGGUACUCUAUCGCAAACAAACAAGCAUAAAAUAAGCACUCAUCUAGAAGCACGGGUAAAACUCAAAUAAGAGAUCUAACCAAAAAGUUCAGCUUAAGGACUUCGGUUUGCAAAAAGAAUCAACUCAAAUGAAGCAACGAAACUCAAACGGCGAAAGAAACAAGCUUCAUUUACUAAUCUGGACCUAAGUCAAAUUUUACAGUAGCAAAAACUUGUUUGAGUUGGUUAAACAGAAUGAGGGUUUCGAGACAAAACUCUAGGUGCUUGAAUUGCCUGAUUCUGAUAAAUGAGCGAAUAGAUAAACUAAAACGAAAAUCAGGGCAGAAAUCGCGAUCGAAAAUAAUCGCGGAAAAUCCCUAGAAAAAGAAAAACUGACGAACAGGCUAACGAACGAACGUUCGUUGUCUGCGGCUAAACGGUGAAAACCAUUCGUUAAGACUAAUGAACGAACGAGCAUUCGCUAAUUAACUAAACCGGAAAAAAAUAAAACCAAUCUAUAAAAAAAUAAACCGGGGUUCCUAAAAANNNNNNNNNNNNNNNNNNNNNNNNNNNNNNNNNNNNNNNNNNNNNNNNNNNNNNNNNNNNNNNNNNNNNNNNNNNNNNNNNNNNNNNNNNNNNNNNNNNNNNNNNNNNNNNNNNNNNNNNNNNNNNNNNNNNNNNNNNNNNNNNNNNNNNNNNNNNNNNNNNNNNNNNNNNNNNNNNNNNNNNNNNNNNNNNNNNNNNNNNNNNNNNNNNNNNNNNNNNNNNNNNNNNNNNNNNNNNNNNNNNNNNNNNNNNNNNNNNNNNNNNNNCGGCGCGGCGGCAGCUAGGGUUUGUGGCGGCUCGGGCUGGUGAGUUGGGGCGGCUCGGGGUGCUAUAUAAAGAGGUCGGCCGGGUGGAGUCCUGGCCGGUUACGGCCCGAAGUCGGUUUGACUUUUUUCUAAUAAUUCCGCGUAGAAAAACAAAUAAAAGAAAUACUAAACAGACUCCAAAAAUCUUGAAAUAAAUUUUCUCUGUCCUCUAAAAAUAUAGCGGACAAAGUGAACAUUUAUUUAGGCCCUAAAUGCAAUUUUGAAAAACGCACAUUUUUCCUAAUUCAAAUAAAAUGGCGAUAAAACUCCAAAAUAAAAUCUUAUUUUAUUUUAAUAUUAAAUCUCCAAUAUUUCUUUAUUUUGGUAAAGUCAUUUUAUUCCCUCUUUUUUAUUUUUAUAAAAGAAAUAUACGAAUAGAAAAUAAUUAAAAUCAAACGAUCUCUUUUCAAAAUUUGAGAAAACUGAAAUAUGAAAAUAACGAAAUCCCCAACUCUCCCGUGGGUCCUUGAGUUGCGUAGAAUUUCUAGGAUCAAACCAAAAUUCCAUAAAAUAUGAUAUGCAAAGAUGGUCUAAUGUAUAACAUUCCAAAUUCAAAAUUUGGGAUGUUACAGGUGUAUGAUACCGGCGGAAGUUGCGCGGCAUAAUAAAGGCUAGCAAUGGUGGAAGGGUGAGAGUGCGUAUAAUCCAUGGACUCACAUUAGUCAUAAAGAACUCAUAUACUUAUUGCAAAAGUUUAUUGGCCCUUGAAGAAAAAUACUACUACGCAUGCUCCUAGGGGAAGGGUUGGUAGGAGUUAACCAUCGCGCAAUCCCGACCUCCACACAUAAGGAGGGUAAUCAAAAGAGCACCCCAUGCAACAAAUUUGUUACACAACUUUUACAAUACGUGCAUGCUACGGGACUUGCCAACUUUAACACAAGUAUCUCUCAGUUUCAUAAUUACCUAACUAGCAUGACUCUAACAUUACCACCUUUAUAUCUCAAAACAAUUAUCAAGCAUCAAAUUGAUCAUAGUAUUUAAUGCACUCUAUAUGAUAGUUUUUUAUUAUACCCCACUUGGAUGCCCAUCAUUCUAGGACCAAUUUUAUAACCAUAGAAAAUACCAUGCUGUUCUAAAAGACUAUCAAAAUAAUUUAAAUGAAGCAUGAGAUAUCAAUAAUUUCUACAAAAUAAAGCCACCGCCAUGCUCUAAAAAGAUAUAAGUGAAGCACUAGAGCAAAAUUGCGUAGCUCAAAAGAUAAGUGAAGCACAUAGAGUAUUCUAAUAAAUUCUGAAUCAUGUGUGUCUCUCCCAAAAGUUGUGUACAACAAGGAUGAUUGUGGUAAACUAAUGGCGAUAAAACUCCGAAAUAAAAUCUUAUUUGAUUUUAAUAUUAAAUCUCCAAUAUUUCUUUAUUUUGGGAAAGUCAUUUUAUUCCCUCUCUUUUAUUUUUAUAAAAGAAAUACAUGAGAAAUAAUUAAAAUCAAACGAUCCUCAUUUCAAAAUUUGAGAAAACUCAAAUAUGAAAAUAACGAAAUCCCCAACUCUCUCCUUGGGUCCUUGAGUUGCGUAGAAUUUCUACGAUCAAGCCAAAAGGCAAUAAAAUAUGAUAUGCAAAGAUGAUCUAAUGUAUGACAUUCCAAAUUGAAAAUUUGGGAUGUUACAAACCUACCCCCCCUUAAGAUGAAUCUCGCCCUCGAGAUUCGGGUUGGCUAGAAAAUAGGUGAGGGUGAUCCUUCCGUAGGUCUUCCUCUCGCUCCUAGGUGGAUUCAUCCUCGGUAUGGUGGCUCCACUGAACUUUGCAGAACUUGAUAACCUUGCUGUGUGUGACUCGGCUGGCAUACUCGAGAAUCUUGAUUGGUUUCUCCUCAUAGGUCAAAUCACUAUCCAACUAAAUCGCUUCUAGUGGCACUGUAUCUCUCAAAGGGAUAUCAGCCAUCUCUGCGUGGCACUUCUUCAACUAGGAAACGUGGAACACAUCAUGAACUCCUGACAAUCCUUCAGGCAAUUCCAACUUGUAAGCAACAUCUCCCAUACGUUCCAAAACAUUGUAUGGUCCCACAAAACGUGGUGCUAGCUUUCCCUUAACUCCAAAACGCUUAACUCCUUGAAGUGGGGACACACGAAGAUAAAAUCUGUCUCCGACUCCGUAAACUAUCUCCUUGCGUUUAGAAUCCGCAUAGCUCUUCUGCCUGGGCUGGGCUACCUUGAGUCUGUCGCGAAUCAGCUUAACCUUCUCUUCAGACUCUUUGACCAAAUCUGGUCCAAACAACUGACGGUAUCCAACUUCAUCCCACAACACUAGUGUCCUGCACCUCCUUCCGUACAAAGCUUCAAAAGGGGCCAUCUUCAAACUGGAUUGAUAACUGUUGUUGUAAGAGAACUCUGCCUAUGGCAAAUUGUCGUCCCAACUAGAUCCAUAAUCUAGUGCACAAGCUCUCAACAUGUCCUCCAGAAUCUGAUUGACUCUCUCAGUCUGUCCAUCUGUCUGUGGAUGGAAGGCUGUACUGAACUCUUGCCUGGUACCCAAAGUUUCGUGCAAUUGAUUCCAGAACUUUGAGGUAAACUGGGUUCCUCUAUCUGAUACAAUGGUCCUCGGAACUCCAUGCAGACAUACGAUCCUGGUCAUGUAUAUCUUUGCCAACUUAGCACUGGUGUAAGUGGUCUUCACUGAGAAUGAAAUGAGCUACCUUCGUCAAAUGAUCUACUACAACCCAUAUCGAGUCAGAGCCUGAACGGGUCCUGGGCAAUCCCGUGAUAAAAUCCAUGCCUAGCUCAUCCCACUUCCAUUCGGGUAUCGGCAAUGGCUGUAGCAAUCCCGCUGGCUUCUGAUGCUCCGCCUUUACUCUCUGACAUACAUCACAAACUGCUACAUACUCCACAAUGUCCUUCUUCAUUCCGGUCCACCAGAAGUUGUCCUUCAAAUCCAGAUACAUCUUGGUAUUUCCUGGGUGAAUCGAAUACGGUGAAUCAUGGGCCUCUUGCAGAAUCAACUCCCUGAUCUCCGGGUCAUUAGGUACAUAAACGCGGUCCUCAAACCAUAAGGUAUCGUGCUCAUCUUCAUGAAAUCCUUUAGCUUUUCCUUUCCUCAUCUUCUCCUUUAUCUCGGCAAUCUCCUUGUCGGUCUUUUGAUCUUCUCUGAUCUUAUCCAUCAAAGUAGACUGAAUCUCCAAGGCUGCUACAUAGACUUUCGGAACUAUCUCGAAAUAUAGUUCGCGAAGAUCAUCUGCUAACUCCUUGGGUAACUCUCCGGUCAAGAGGGUGUUGACAUGACUUUUGCGGCUCAAUGCACUGGCUACUAUGUUAGCCUAUCCUGGAUGAUAAUGCAACCUCAUAUCAUAAUCUUUAAUGAGCUCCAACCAUCUCCUUUGCCUAAGAUUUAACUCCUUCUAUGUGAAGAUAUACUUCAAACUCUUAUGAUCCGUGUACACCUCACAAUGGUUGCCGACGAGAAAAUGUCUCCAUGUCUUCAACGCAUGCACUAUGGCUGCUAACUCCAAAUCAUGGGUGGCAUAAUUCAACUCAUGGAGUUUAAGCUAUCGUGAGGCAUAAGAAACAACUCUUCCCUCCUGCAUAAGCACCGCUCCAAGUCCUCGACGAGAAGCGUCACAAUAUACUUCAUAAUCCUUGCACUGAUCUGGAAGAAUCAACAUCGGUGAUGUAACAAACGUUUCUUCAACUCCUGGAAACUGGCCUCACAAUCCUCAGUCCAUUUAAUAUGGUGUCCUUCUUCAACAACUCCGUCAUGGGUUUUGCAAUCUUCGAGAAAUUCUCAAUGAAUCUCCGGUAGUAUCCUGCGAGUCCAAGAAAACUCCGAAUCUCUCCAACUGAUGUGGGUGCUUCCCAAUUCGUCACAGUGACAACCUUGGUGGGGUCUACUGCUAUUCCUUCUCCGGAUAUAACAUGUCCGAGGAAUCCAACUUCCUUCAACCAAAACUCACAUUACUGAACUUGGCAUAUAAUUGAUGUUCUGUGAGCUUCCCAAGUACCAAAAAUAAAUGGUCCUUAUGCUCCUCUUCGUUCUUCUAGUAGACCAAAAUAUCAUCAAUGAACACCACGAUGAACUUAUCCAUAAACUCCAUAAACACCUUGUUCAUCAUGUUCAUAAAAUAGGCAGGUGUGUUAGUCAGACCAAAUGGCAUAACAGUAUACUCAGAUAGCCCGUACCUUGUGGUAAAAGCUGUCUUAGGUAUAUCCUGCUCUCGAAUCUUUAGUUGGUGGUAUCCUGAUCACAGAUCGAUCUUGGAGAAUACUUUAGCUCCUUGCAACUGGUCAAACAAGUCAUUGAUCAUCGGCAGUGGGUACUUGUUCUUGAUCGUCACUUCAUUCAAUCCACGAUAAUCAACAACCAUCCUCAACGACCCAUCCUUCUUCUCCACUAGAAGCACUAGUGAUCCCCAAGGUGAUGAACUUGGGCGAAUAUAGCCUUUGUCCAGUAACUUCUUAAUCUGCUUCUUAAUUUCCUCAGAAUCCUUUGCAGACAUCCUGUAUGGUCUCUUAGAUAUUGGCCAUGUGCCUGGCAAAAGUUCAAUCAAAAACUCAAUGUCUCUAUCCGGUGGCAUGCCUGGCAACUCUUCUGGAAAUACGUCUAGGGAAUCCUUCACCACUGGUACUUCCUCCUGUACAACUCCUGAUAAGGAAUUCACUUGAGUCCUCUUCGGCACAUGCCGUGAUACAUACUUGAUCCUUCUUCCUUUUGGGGUGGUGAGCAAAAUCGACUUACUAGCGCAUUCAAUAUUCCCUCCAUACUUCGAUAACCAAUCCAUGCCUAAUAUCACAUCCAGUCCUUGCGACUCCAAUACUAUUAGGUCUGAGGGAAACACGUAGUUACCAAUCCUUAAUGGUAACCGAUCACCAUAGACUAGCCAUAUACUCUGAUCCUGGCAAGGUUACUAACAUGGGUGACCUAAGGGCUUGGGUUGGCAGUUUAUACUUAUCCACAAAUCCCCUUGAUAUGUAUGAAUGCGAUGCACUAGUAUCAAAAAGAACGAUUGCAGUAAAUGACUUAACCAAAAACCUACCUAUUACUGCAUAUGACUGGGCUUCAACCACCUCCACGUUAACGUGGUUCACCUGUCCCCUGUUGAAAGGGUUAGGCUUCUUCCUAGAGCUUCCAUUGCCAUUUCCAUUCUUUGCUUCAGGACAUUCAGUGGCAUAAUGUCCAGUCUUCUGGCAUUUGAAACAUGAAAUGUGGCUUAGAUCCCUCUUGGCUGGUGUUGAUGGGUUGGUACCGUUCUGUCCGUUGCUUCCUCCAUUUCCAUUGCCAUUCUUGGGGCCAUUAUGGUUGUGCAAACUCCCUCCAUUAUGAUUGUGACCUCCAUGGUUAUGCUAAAAAGGUCCUCCCGAGUUUGGGGUAAAACGAGGCUUCUACUGAGCUCCAGAAUUGUACUUCCUUUGUCCAUACUUCCUCUUGCGGCUGUCCAUGCUGCUUCCCUUCAAUCGUGAGGCUCUAUCUACCAACUCCUUGUAGUUGUUGAAGGUUGCCACCAUCAACUGCAUGCUCAGCUCAUCAUUCAGUCCUUCUAGAAACUUCUCCUGCUUAGCUGCAUCUGUAACAACGUCAUCUGGGGCGUAACGUGCUAGCUUACUAAAAUCAUCCACAUACUGGCCAACAGUACGUCCUCCUUGGCGUAAGUUGCGAAACUCACGCUUCUUCAUGGCCAUAGCUCCUGCUGAAACAUGGGCAGUAUGAAAAGCCUGCUGAAACUGGUCCCAUGUGACGGUGUCGAUGGGGUAAGUGGCUGUGAAAUUCUCCCACCAUGAUGAUGCGGGUCCAUCAAGCUGAUGUGCGGCAAACCACAACCUCUCCGCAUCUGUGCAUCCUAUAGUGGUCAACUCCCUUCCAAUCUUGUGGAGCCAAUCAUCUGCAACUAUCAGCUCGGUCCUACUGGAGAACACCGGCGGAUUUAGCCUUAAGAAACGGGCUAAUUGAUCAACAUGUGGUGGUGGUGGGUUGUUGCUGUUCCCCUGAUUCUGAUUCUGGACUAGUAUCAGCAUCAAUGCAUUCUGCUGUUGGAUCAACUGAGUGAGCUCCGGUGGGAAAGCAAAUCCAUUGUCACGUCUCGGAGGCAUCUGAGGGUUUAGAAAAGAUGAGAUAAUGGAAUAGAAUGAGGUCUAGAGGGAAAACACUACCCAUAUGCACAUGAGACAAACACAAUCAUAUCACUCCAAUCAAUUCAAACAAGGGCAUACAUCGGUCUAACUAUCAUUUCAAAAGUGCUCGGACUAUGCUAUAUACAUGGGGGAAUACUACCACUGUUAUGGUGGUCGACUAGAAAAAUUGAUCGGUCUAAGACUCCAUGAUAUCUGCUCCAGCUUCAUCUACAAAGUCAUCAUCACUAUCAUCAGGGUCUAAGUCGGUGUCGUUGAUGAUGAUGUAGUUCUCCGGUUAGGUAGAAUCAUCGUCAUCUCUUCCAGGCGCGGGGUCUCCCAUGAAUACUCCGAUCUUCUUUACCAGGUCGUCGUUCUUCUCCAAUAAUGUUGCAAUUUCCUCCUCAUAUCCAUCGCGUGUAGUCUUGAGUUCUUCUUCCAGCUCCGUGAGAGCUGGUCAUAGCCUUCUUCAGAUCUAUCAUGCCUGCGCACAUCUGGUUCUCCUGGCGACGAAUGUGCUGGUUUAACUCCUGGAUGAAAGCGGCAAUAGAUCUAUCCUUCCUGGUGCUGAUCAUCUCCCAUUGCUCAUCUCGGCGCCCACAAAUCUGGUAGAUAGUAUCCUUGAGAUCCUUGUGGUAAACUUAUCCAAUGCGUCCCAUGGUGAUGUGGGCUGCCAUGCUCUUUCCUAGACUCCAGGUUGGUGCAUCAAAAGAAAACUAUAUGGGCUCAGUGACUGGCAUGAACGUCCUUCCUGGAACUUGAACUUGAAUCAUCCAACGCUCCUCUUCUGGUAAAGUGGUGAUGUAGGUCCGGUGAAGCUUGGUACUCUGAUGUUCAGGUAUCUAGUGACUUCCUUCAAGUGGCGUCUGAAGGGUGUAUCUUCAUCCGGUUGCGUGAACUUUUUCCUUACAUCCGCCAUCCUAAAGAGUAGAAAAGGAGAGGAGUUAGAAAUGAGAAGAGAGUAGUGUUCUAGGGCUUUAGCUUAGUGGUCAUGUCCUACAAUCAGCGUGUGUGCUGAUACCAUCUUGUCGCGACCAGACCUCAAACAGUCCGAUCUCCGUGCAUCAGUGUCAUCCCUGGAUCGGUAAUGCUGACACGCACAAUACUUGAAGGAUUUAUAACAGAGUAGCAAUCACACACUUAUUACAUCGAAUGUCUCAAAAGAGAACUUAAUACAAUAAAUAUAGCUUAAGGCCAACUAAUUACGAUAACAACUGAAGGCUGGGAAAAUAAAGCGAGUCCAUCAACUCCAACGGCAUCACUGAGUGAAAGAUCACGACCUAGGGCACCUUACUCGUCAUCUGAAAAGUCUGCAACAUGAACGUUGCAGCACGAAAUGGGUCAGCACAUGCAAUAUGCUGGUAAUGUAACACAUAGAGAGUAAUGGACAGAAUAAUGCUAUCACUACAUGCAUAUAUGGCUGGUGAUAAGCUCUAUGGUUACAGUUUUGCAUAAAGCCAAUUUUUCCCUACAACAAAGGAGUAAAUUUUAUUUAACUAUCAUGGUGGUUGUUAAACUUUGAGAAGGUUCCUCCAACUCAAUCCCAAUUAAGCAUCAUCAUUAACCCAAUCAAAUUAAUUUAAAUAUCAUGACGAGAUUCACAUGAUAAUCCAAGAAACUAGAUACUCAAAAAACACAUAACCGGGGACAUAGCUAACCAUGAUUAGUUUGUACACUCUGCAGAGGUUUGCGCACUUUUCCCCGCAAGACUCGAUCUUCUCUGUUGGAUUUCUCGCACUACAAGGUGUUUGAGAAACGGAUGACCGAGACACAGUCUUUCAGAAGCAUUAACUCUUUACUCUGGGUAGACAGUACCAACCUACAUCCCCUACAUCUGCUAGCCUACCACUGAAAGAGGUCACGCAACAUACUCAACUAUGCUAGAGCCCAUAGUAGCUUGCGGCUGCACACAGAAGUUUCUAGCAUGAAUAAGCUUAUGAUCUCUUUGAGCCUGGGUGGUAGUUCAUAGGAGAAUCACAUGGUUCCCCGGGAUUUCCAAAAAUACAGGCAACACUGGGUUCCCUAGGUGCCUCAAUCCACCCAAAUGUGAAUUAAAGUUGCCACCCAGGGUUAAUCAUUAAUUAACAAUCUCACAUCUGUCAUGGAUACACUCACCCAAUCCACGUCUACAAGCAUAGCAUAGCAAUAUAAUCAAACAUAGAAGUAACUCCCAAAGGUUUGAUAAUAAACAGGACAAUAUGUACUACCUCAUCUACUUCCCAAAACCCACAUGUUAAUCAGAUCCUAAUCAUGCAAUUGUUUGAGGAUUGAUCUAAUGCAAUAAAGCUGGGUAGUAAAGAGGUAUGAUCAAAGUGUUACUUGCCUUGCUGAUGAUUCGUGAAACCUAGAGACUCGUAGUAGCACGCUGCGCACUCCGGGUACUCUAUCACAAACAAACAAGCAUACAAUAAGCACUCAUCUACAAGCACGGGUAAAGCUCAAAUAAGAGAUAUAACCAGAAAGUUCAACUUAAGAACUCCGGUUUGCAAAAAGAAUCAAAUCAAACAAAGCAACGAAACUCAAACGGCGAAAGAAACAAGCUUUGUUUACUAAUCUGGACUUAAGUCAAAUUUUACAGUAGCAAAAACUUGUUUGAGUUGGUUAAAAAGAAUGAGGGUUUCGAGACGAAACUCUAGGCACUUGAAUCGCCUGAUUCCUAUAAACGAGCGAAAACAUAAACCAAAAGAAAAAUCAGGGCAGAAAUCGCGAUCGAAAAUAAUCGCGGAAAAUCCCUGGAAAAGAAAAACUAACGAACAGGCUAACGAACGAUCCUUCGCUGUCUGCGGCUAAACGGUGAAAACCAGUCGUUAAAACUAACGAACGAACGGGCGUUCGCUAAUUAACUAAACCGGAAAAAAAUAAAACCGAUCUAUAAAAAAUAAACCAGGGUUCCUAAAAAAAACCAGGGUUCCUAAUUAACGAACGAACGACGGCAGUGGCUACCUCCGGCGGUCAACGGCGGUGGCGGGGGAUCAACGGGCGGCAGCGGCGCGGCUCCGGCAAGGCGGCGGCGGACGGCGCGUCAGGCGGAGUGCGAGGCGACGGCGGCAGCGGCUAGGGUUUGGGGCGGCUCGGGCUGGUGGGCUGGGGCGGCUCGGGGUGCUAUAUAAAGAGGCCGGCUGGGCAGUGUCCUGGCCGGCUACGGCCCGAAGACAGUUUGACUUUUUUUAAAAAAAAAUCGCGCAGAAAAACAAAUAAAAUAAAUACUAAACGGACACCAAAAAUCCCAAAAAUAUAGCGGACAAAGUGAACAUUUAUAUAGGCCCUAAAUGCAAUUUUGAAAAACGCACAUUUUUCCUAAUUCAAAUAAAAUGGUGAUAAAACUCCGAAAUAAAAUCUUAUUUUAUUUUAAUAUUAAAUUUCCAAUAUUUCUUUAUUUUGGGAAAGUCAUUUUAUUCCCUCUCUUUCAUUUUUAUAAAAGAAAUAUACGAAGAGAAAACAAUUAAAAUCAAACGAUCCUCUUUUCAAAAUUUGAGAAAACUCAAAUAUGAAAAUAACGAAAUCCCCAACUCUCUCCGUGGGUCCUUGAGUUGCGUAGAAUUUCUAGGAUCAUGCCAAAAUGCAAUACAAUAUGAUAUGCAAAGAUGGUCUAAUGUAUAACAUUCCAAAUUCAAAAUUUGGGAUGUUAUAGGUGUAUGAUACCGGCGGAAGUUGCGCGGCAUAAUAGAGGCUAGCAAUGGUGGAAGGGUGAGAGUGCGUAUAAUCCAUGGACUCACAUUAGUCAUAAAGAACUCAUAUACUUAUUGCAAAAGUUUAUUAGCCCUCGAAGAAAAGUACUACUACGCAUGCUCCUAGGGGAAGGGUUGGUAGGAGUUAACCAUCGCGCGAUCCCGACCUCCACACAUAAGGAGGGUAAUCAAAAGAGCACCCCAUGCAACAAAUUUGUUACACAACUUUUACAAUACGUGCAUGCUACGGGACUUGCCAACUUUAACACAAGUAUCUCUCAGUUUCAUAAUUACCCAACUAGCAUGACUCUCACAUUACCACCUUUAUAUCUCAAAACAAUUAUCAAGCAUCAAAUUGAUCAUAGUAUUUAAUGCACUCUAUAUGAUAGUUUUUAUUAUACCCCACUUGGAUGCCCACCAUUCAAGGACCAAUUUUAUAACCAUAGAAAAUACCAUGCUAUUCUAAAAGACUCUCAAAAUAAUAUAAAUGAAGCAUGAGAGAUCAAUAAUUUCUACAAAAUAAAGCCACCGCCGUGCUCUAAAAAGAUAUAAGUGAAGCACUGGAGCAAAAUUGCCUAGUUCAAAAGAUAUAAGUGUAGCACAUAGAGUAUUCUAAUAAAUUUCGAAUCAUGUGUGUCUCUCCCAAAAGGUGUGUACAGCAAGGAUGAUUGUGGUAAACUAAAAAGCAAAGACUUAUAUCAUACAAGACGCUCCAAGGAAAACACAUAUCAUGUGGUGAAUAAAAAUAUAGCUCCAAGUAAAGUUACCAAUAGACGAAGACGAAAGAGGGGAUGCCUUCCGGUGCAUCCCCAUGCUUAGGAUCUUGCCACUCCUUAUUCCAUAGUCCAUCAAAUCUUUACCCAAAACUUGAAAACUUCACAACACAAAAUCAACAGGAAAUCUCAUAAGCUCCAUUAGUGCAAGAAAGAAAAACCACCACUUAAGGUACUGUAAUGAACUCAUUCUUUAUUUAUAUUGGUGUUAAACAUACUGUAUUCCAACUUCUCUAUGGUCCAUACCCCCCGAUACUAGCCAUAGAUUCAUCAAAAUAAGCAAACAACACACGAAAAACAGAAUCUGUAAAAAACAGAACAGUCUGUAGCAAUCUGUAACUUUCGAAUACUUCUGAACUCUAAACAUCCUACCAAAAUAGUAAGUCCUAGGCAAUUUGUCUAAUGAUCUACUUCAAAAAGAAUGAACUAAAAAUCAAGUUUCUGUGAUUUAUUAAAAUUAUUCUCGUGCGCGCAAAAAUUUCUGUUUUUCAGCAAGAUCAAAUUAACUAUCACCAUAGGUUAUCCUAUAGGUUCUACUUGGCACAAACACUAAUUAAAACAUAAAACCACAUCUAAACAGAGGCUAGAUGAUUUAUUUAACACUAAACAGGAACAAAAAGCAAGGAACAAAAAUAAAAUUGGGUUGCCUCCCAACAAGUGCUAUCGUUUAAUCCCCCUAGCUAGGCAUAAAAGCGAGAAUAGAUCUAAGUAUUCCAUCUUUGGUAUUGGGAAAGAAAAGAGAAAAUUUCCUUUCUAUAGUAUUAGUCCUUCUAUUUUGGGAAAGCACAUUGCCAUUAAUGGAGGAAGAAAGAUUAAGCACAUUACAGAAAUUUGCAUCUAAGCUAGCCUUCAUUUCUUUGAUAAUUUCGUUUUGAUAAAAGCAUAAGAGAGUGGUGGAUUCAACCUUAUCAUUCAUGGGGUGCCCAAAUAUAGUUUUCAUUUUUUCAUAGGUAUCUAUAGCAUCCCCUUCAAGAAAACCUUCUUCAAAAAUAGAAUCUAGAACUUGCUUGAAAGAAGCGGGUAAGCCAACAUAAAAGCUUUUUAAAUAUAUCUCAAUUUGAUAUUGUGGCACAUAGCUAGCUCGAAUCCUUAAUAGCCUAUCCCAAGCAUCUUUUAAAGUCUCAUCAAGUAAAUAACGAAAAAUUCCAGAGUCAUCUUCAUCGAAAUUACUCGAACUUUCAUUGAUAACCCCGGUAGGUAUUUCCGUAGCAUCGUUAUUUAUGAGCUUAGAGAGGACAGAGGGACUAUCCAAAGUACUAAAACUUUGUGAAGAACCCUUAGUUCUUUUUGGUACGGCCAUGGCAAAGGGAAGGCAAACGGUAAAGAGAGGGCGAAUAAAAUGGCAAGGGUGAAGUGGGGGAGAGGAAAACGAGAGGCAAAUGGAAAAUAAUGUAAUGCGAGGGAGAUGAGUUUGUGACGGGUACUUGGUAUGUCUUGACUUGAGCGAAGACCUCCCCGGCAACGGUGCCAGAAAUCCUUCUUGCUACCUCUUGAGCACUGUGUUGGUUUUCCCUUGAAGAGGAAAGGGUGAUGCAGCAAAGUAGCAUAAGUAUUUCCCUCAGUUUUUGAGAACCAAGGUAUCAAUCCAGCAGGAGGCUCCAUGCAAGUCCCUCGUACCUACACAAACAAACAAGAACCUCGCAACCAACGCGAUAAAGGGGUUGUCAAUCCCUUCACGGCCACUUGCGAAAGUGAGAUCUGAUAGAGAUAAUAAGAUAAGAUAAAUAUUUUUGGUAUUUUUAUGAUAUAGAUUGGAAAGUAAAGAUUGCAAAAUAAAGUAGAUCAGAAACUUAUAUGAUGGAGAAUAGACCCAUGGGCCAUAGGUUUCACUAGUGGCUUCUCUCAAGAUAGCAUAAGUAUUAUGGUGGGUGAACAAAUUACUGUCGAGAAAUUGAUAGAAAAGUGCAUAGUUAUGAGAAUAUCUAGGCAUGAUCAUGUAUAUAGGCAUCACGUCCGCGACAAGUAGAUUGAAACAAUUCUGCAUCUACUACUAUUACUUAACACAUCGACCGCUAUCCAGCAUGCAUCUAGAGUAUUAAGUUCAUAAGAACAGAGUAACGCAUUAGGAAAGAUGACAUGAUGUAGAGGGAUAAACUCAAGCAAUAUGAUAUAAACCCCAUCUUUUUAUCCUUGUUGGCAACAAUACAAUAUGUGCCUUGCUGCCCCUGCUGUCACUGGGAAAGGACACCGCAAGAUUGAACCCAAAGCUAAGCACUUCUCCAAUUGCAAGAAAGAUCAAUCUAGUAGGCCAAACCAAACUGAUAAUUUGAAGAGACUUGCAAAGAUAACCAAUCAUACAUAAAAUAAUUCAGAGGAGAUAAAAAUAUUUCUCAUAGAUAAACUUGAUCAUAAACCCACAAUUCAUCGGAUCUCGACAAACACACCGCAAAAGAGUUACAUCAAAUAGAUCUCCAAGAAGAUCAAGGAUAACUUUGCAUUGAGAUUCAAAGAGAGAGAAGAAGCCAUCUAGCUAAUAACUAUGGACCCGAAGGUCUGUGGUAAACUACUCACAACUCAUCGGAGAGGCCUCGACGAUGAUGUAGAAGCCCUCCGUGAUCAAUUCCCCCUCUGGCGGAGCGCCAGAAAAUGCUCCAAGAUGGGAUCCCGUGGAUACAGAAUGCUGCGGCAGUGGAAAUAGGGUUUCGUGGUGUUCCUGGAUGUUUUCGGGGUACGUAGAUAUAUAUAGGAGAAGGAAGUCGGUCAGGGGAGCCACGAGGGGCCCACGGGGGUGGAGGCGCGCCCACCCCCCUAGGGCGCAUCUUGCACCCUCGUGGCCACCUCAGCUGCUUCUUGACGUCCACUCCAAGUCUCCUGGAUUGCGUUUGUUCCAAAAAGAUCGCUCCCGAAGGUUUCAUUCCGUUUGGACUCUGUUUGAUAUUCCUUUUCUUCGGAAGACUGAAAUAGGCAAAAAAACAGCAAUUCGGGUUCGGCCACCGGUUAGUAGGUUAGUCCCAAAAAUGAUAUAAAAGUCUAAAGUAAAGGCCAUAAACAUCCAAAACGGGUAAUAUAAUAGCAUGGAGCAAUCAAAAAUUAUAGAUACGUUGGAGACAUAUCACCAUCGAGGAUAAAAAGAUGGGGUUUUCAUCAUAUUGCUUGAGUUAAUCCCGCGACAUCAUGUCAUCUUGCUUAUUGCGUUACUCUAUUCUUAUGAACUUAAUAAUCUAGAUGCAGGCAGGAGUCGGUCGAUGUAUGGAGUAAUAGUAGUAGAUGCAGAAUCAUUUCGGUCUACUUGAAACGGACGUGAUGCCUAUAUUCAUGAUCAUUGCCUUACAUAUCGUCAUAAGUUUGCGCUUUUCUAGGAAUUGGUCGGCAAUAAUUUGUUCACCCACCGUAUUAAUUCCUAUCUUGAGAGAAGCCUCUAGUGAAACCUAUGCCCCCCGAGUCUAUUUUACAUCAUAUUAGUUUCCCGUCAACUUGCAAAUUUCCGUCAUCGUUUCUUUAUUUUGCAAUCUUUACUUUCCGUUCCAUAAACCAAAAAUACCAAAAAUAUUACUUUAACGUUUAUCCAUCUAUAUCAGAUCUCACUUUGCGAAUAACCGUGAAGGGAUUGACAACCCCUUUGUCGCGUUGGUUGCAAGUUGGUGUUUGUUUGUGCAGGUAUUCGAUGGCUUGUUGUGUAGUCUCCUACUGGAUUGAUACCUUGGUUCUCAAAACUGAGGAAAAUACUUACGCUACUUUGAUGCAUCACCCUUUCCUCUUCAAGGGAAAAAUCAACGCAUGCUCAAGAGGUAGCAGUACCCCCAACUAUCCUUCUCUAUUUCGCAAUAGCUUGCACUGUAGAUUACCUGACUUCUCUCCUCCAUGUUGAAGGAUUUGUUCCCCUCACGUGCGGCUUCUAAUCAGGAAUAGGCUAUGUGUACAUUUGUUCUUUUUUGCCACCAGAAUAUGGACGCAUGCCCGUGACUCUUACCAACACAACUCUAACACAUCACUCUCUUCAUUUUCAGGCCACAAGUUCCAUGGACAAGGCCCGAGGCGGCGUUACCAUGGUGAUAGAGCAUCGUAGUGAGGACACCAUCCCGCCGGACGACCGUACCUGCAUUAUUUGGAUAUAUGGGAUGGACUUGAAUCUGAUUUUGCUCUCUGCCUCCCGUCUGAUGGACCUUUCGAGAAGAUUACUGAUAAAAACGUAAAUAACUCUCGAAAUUGCACCAAAAAAAUCAAUAUCAGACGGGGGAGAACGUUUAGCGCAAAAAUCCCACCGCCAAAAAUGCACUACCAAAUCAAGGAAUACAUAUUUACGUGAUACCCCAUUUCGAUAUUUCGGUGUCAAAAAUUGUUGUCGGCGGUGCACGGUUACGUCCCCGGCCGCAGACAUAGACGAGCGGCUGAUUCCUUUCCUUCUCCUUGUCCGACAACUGAUCUGUUUCUUCUUUGUACUCCCCCAAAUAUGAUCAUUGUCGCCGCCGCUGCACAUGCUCCUUGUGCGAGCGUGAAGGCCUCCGAGUGGUGGUAUUAAGACACGAGUGGCCUGCAGUGUGAUACGUCUCCAACAUAUAUAUAACUUUUGAAUGUUUUAUAUGCAUUAAUAUGCUAUUUUAUAUCAUUUUUUGGAACUAACCUAUUAACCUAGUGUCCAGUGACAGUUGCUGUUUUUCCUUGUUUUGCUCUAUAAUAGAAAAUCAAUACCGAAGAUAUUUCUUGGACCAGAAGACAACCACAAAGCUUUUGGAGGAGGCCAGGAGAGCCACAAGUGGGCCGCAAGCUCACAGGGCAUGCCCCAGGGGGCGCCCAACAAGCUUGUGGGCCCCGCGUAGCCCCCCUAACCCUAAUUUGAGCUCUAUAAAUACCCAAAUAUUCCCCCGUACGCUAGGGGGCACACCAAAAAUACUUUUCCGCCAACGCAAGCUUCUGUUCUUGUGAGAUCCCAUCUUGGGGCCUUUUCUGGCACUCUGCUAGAGGGGGAUUCGAUCACAAAGGGGCUCUACAUCAACCUUGUUGCCCUUUCGAUGAUGCGUGAGUAGUUUACCACGGACCUAAGGGUCCAUAGCUAGUAGCUAGAUGGCUUCUUCUCUCUCUUUGAUCUUCAAUACAAUGUUCUUGGAGAUCUAUUUGAUGUAAUCUUCUUUUGCAGUGUGUUUGUUGAGAUCCGAUGAAUUGUAGGUUUAUGACCAGUUUAUCUAUAUGAAUAUUAUUUGAGUCUUCUCUGAACUCUAUUAUGCAUGAUUAAGAUAGCUUUGUAUUUCUCUCCGAUCUAUUGAUUUGGUUUGGCUAACUAGAUUGAUCUAUCUUGCAAUGGGAGAGGUGCUUUGUGAUGGGUUCAAUCUUGUGGUGCCCUCACCAGUGACAGUAGGGGUAGGGAGGCAAGUAUUUGUACUGUUGUCAUUAAGGAUAAAAAGAUGUGGUCUUUACCAGAUUGCUUGGAUCUAUUCCUCUACACCAUGUCAUCUUGCUUAAGGCGUUAUGCUACUUCUUGAGUUUGCGUUGAUUUUUUCCUUGAAGAAGAAAGGGUGAUGUAUCAAGUAGAGAUAAUUAUUUCCCUUAGUUAAGAACCAAGGUAUCAAUCCAGUAGGAGGCACAAGCAAGUCUCCAAUUUAUGCACCUACAAAAACUAACAAACACUUGCGCACAACACGAAAAAGGGGCUAUCAAUCCUUUCACAGUCAUGAACAAGGGUGAGAUCUAAUAGAGAUAGGUAUAAAAGAUAAAUAAAAGAGCAAACUAAAGUAAAUCUAAAUAAAUUGCAGCAAGGUAUUUUUGGGUUUUUUGGUUUAUAGAUCUGAAAAUAUAUGAUGGAAUAUAGAUCCGGGGGCCAUAGGUUUCACUAGAGACUUCUCUCUUGAAAGAAAACAUAUGGUGGGUAAAUAAAUUACUGUCGAGCAAUUGAUAGAAAAGAGCAAAGUUAUGACGAUAUCUAAGGAAAUGAUCAUGAAUAUAUGCAUCACGUCUGUGUCAAGUAGACCGAAACGAUUCUGCAUCUACUACUAUUACUCCACACAUCAACCGCUAUCCAGGAUGCAUCUAGAGUAUUAAGUUCAUAAGAACGGAGUAACACCUUAAGUAAGAUGACAUGAUGUAGAGGGAUAAACUCAAGAAAUAUGAUGAAUACCCCAUCUUUUUAUCCUUGAUGGUAACAAUACAAUACAUGCCUCGCUACCCCUACUUUGUCACUGGGUGAGGACACCACAAGAUUGAACCCAAAACUAAGCACCUCUCCCAUUGCAAAAGUACCAGUUUAGUUGGCCAAACCAAACUGAUAAUUUGAAGAGAAAUACAAAGAUAUUUUAUCAUGCAUAAAAGAUUUUAGAAAAGACUCAAAUAAUAUUCAUAGAUAAUCUGAUCAUAAAUCCACAAUUCAUCAGAUCUCGACAAACACACCGCAAAAGAAUAUUACAUCAGAUAGAACUCCAAGAACAUCGAGGAGAACAUGGUAUUGAAGAUCAUAGAUAGAGAAGAAGCCAUCUAGAUACUAGCUAUGGACCCUUAGAUCCGUGGUAAACUACUCACGCUUCGUCUGAAGGGCAGCAAGAUUGAUGUAGAUGCCCUCCUUGAUCGAAUCCCUCCGACAGCGUGCCAGAAAAGGCCCCAAGAUGGAAUCUCACGGGAACAUAGGCUUGCGGCGGCGGAAAAGUAUUUUGGUGGAUGCCUCUAAUGAUUUGGGAAUAUUUGGGAAUUUAUAGUGCAAGAAUUAGGGUUGGAGGACUCCCGAGGGGCCCACAAGCCCUCUGGGCGCCCCCUUGGGGCGCGCCUAGGAGACUUGUGGCCUCCUCGGGAGGCUUCUGGGCCCCUCUCCAAGUCUUCUGAAUGUCUUCGGGUCCAAGAAAGAUCAUCGCGAAAGUUUUAUUCCGUUUGGACUCUGUUUGAUAUUCCUUUUCUAUAAAACUCAAAAAACAGGAAAAAACAGAAACUGGCAUUGGGCUCUAGGUUAAUAAAUAGUCCAAAAAUAAUAUAAACUAGCAUAUUAAUGCAUAUAAAACUUCCAAAAUAUAUAAUAUAAUAGCAUGGAACAAUAAAUAACUAUAGAUAGGUUGGAGACGUAUCACGUUACUCCGUUCUUGUUAACUUAAUACACUAGAUGCAUGUUGGAUAGCGGUCGAUGUGUGGAGUAAUAGUAGUAGAUACUGGCAGGAGUCGGUCUACUUGUCAUGGACGUGAUGCCUAUAUUCAUGAUCAUUACCUUAGAUAUCGUGAUAACUAUGUGCUUUUCUAUCAAUUGCUCAACAGUAAUUUGUUUACCCACCAUAUGCUUUCUUCAAGAAAGAAGCCUCUAGUGAAACUUAUGGCCCCCGGGUCUAUUUUUACCAUAUUAUUUUCAGAUCUAUAAAACCAAAAACCCAAAAAUACCUUGCUGCAAUUUGUUUAUCUUUACUUUAUUUUACACUUUUACUUAUCUUUUAUACCUAUCUAUAUGAAAUCUCACUCUUGCUAGUGACCGUGAAGGGAUUGACAACCCCGUUUUUGCGUUGUGUGCAAGUGUUUGUUAGUUUGUGUAGGUGCAUCUAUUGGAGACUUCUGUGUUCCUCCUACUGGAUUGAUACCUUGGUUCCUAACAAAGGGAAAUACUUAUCUCUACUUUGCUGCAUCACCCUUUCCUCUCACUAUUGCAGGAUUCUGCUAACGCGACACUACGAUCAGAGACCCUUUGACGAAACUGCGUGGGAUGCAUUAAUCGCAAAUCGGGAUGUAUAAAAACCAUCAAAAAAGAUGCAAAACAUUUGUGAUGGCGGAGACAUCAAACACGGUUCAGAUUUUAGUUACGUGUGUGAUGCGGGGCCUAUGUGAUCCAGAAGAACUGUUUGAGAUGAGGCGGAACAACAGAUACAGGCAGCCAUAUCAAUAUGUGUGCGAUAUAUACGACAUAUAGUUCGCUAUGAUGAACUGUGUGUUAUUAGGGAAUGCAACAGAAACGGUCAACCAGAUCAAGGUGUGUGUGAUAUACGACAUACGGUUCACUCGGAUGAAUUGUUUUUGAUCAUGGAAGAGAACAGAAAUGGUUCAACUUAACAAGAUGUGUGUGAUAUGCGGCAUACAGUUCACAUAGAUGAACUAUUUGCGAUGAGCCAAAAGAACACAAAUGAAUCAUGUAAACAAGAUGUGUGUGGUUUGAAACAAACAGCCCACUCAAGCGAGCAACCACGUGAUCAACCUUCUGGCACCCCGUGGGAGGGCGCAACCAUAGGACACGAUGGUGAUAUCUUGACCUUGUGUGAUAGUGGGCAGACACGUACACGUACAUCCAAGAAAGCGGGCCCACAUUUCGGGCUUCCGAUGUGUGGCAUAUAGUUGAUCAAAAAGAAUUGUUUGUGAUGAACUAGAACAACAGAAAUGGGCUUUGUAUGCCCAGAACUAUCAAUAAAUUUUGACCUUGUUUCUCGUCACAUUGCAGAUUACAACGUAAUAAGUAAUUGCAAAUCUGUUCACACCUAUCAAACUAAUAUGUGUUCACACUUAGCACCGAGCUAUAAAAACUACCCACUCGAAAAGUACUUCACAAUUCUGAGGGAGUCCUGGAUUAGGGGGUAUCCAGACAACCGGACUAUAUACUUUGGCCAGACUAAUGGACCAUGAAGAUACAAGACUCAAGACUUCGUCCCGUGUCCGGAUGGGACUCUCCUUUGCGUGGAGGACAAGCUUGGCGAUCCGGAUAUUAGAUCUCCUUCUUUGUAACCGACUCUGUGUAAACCCUAGCCCCCUCCAGUGUCUAUAUAAACCGGAGGGUUUAGUCCGUAGAGGAACAAUCAUAAUCAUCAUAGGAUAGCUUCUACGGUUUAGCCUCUACGAUCUCGUGGUAGAUCAACUCUUGUAAUACUCAUAUCAUCAAGAUAAAUCAAGCAGGAAGUAGGGUUUUACCACCAUCGAGAGGGCCCGAACCUGGGUAAAACAUUGUGUCCCCUGCCUCCUGUUACCAUUAGCCUUAGAUGCACAGAUCGGGACCCCCUACCCGAGAUCCGCCGGUUUUGACACCGACAUUGGUGCUUUCAUUGAGAGUUCCUCUAUGUCGUCGCUGCAAGGCUCGAUGGCUCGUCUCGUUGUCAAGGACGACAUCACCUCUAGGGGAGCUCUGGCGGCAGGCCAUACUCUCCGACUAGUGGCUUCGUCAUGGUCGCCCGAUCGGCUGCCACACCGAUGAUGACCUCUCGGGUCAUCAAAAACAGCCUCCACGUCAAUUCGAAACUCGCCGAACAGAUGGAUCCAAUGGAGCUCUCCUCCCUUAAUGAGCUCUUGGAUCGCAUCGCCGCUUUGGGAGUCGCUACAGAAUAUGAUCUAAUUGGGCUUAAACCCAACUAAAGGGAUAUUAAAUCCCCGCCGGUCACCCACGAGAUAGCGGUAGUGGAAGAGCCACACAUGGAUUAUCCCUCUACUUUGAGGACAAACUAUGUCCGGAUUACCGAGCUCUCUGAGCCGGAUACCUCUUCACGAGAGGACACGACCCAGACCCCAAACCCAGAAUCGGGCAACGGGCCAGAAAAAUCGGGCAACAUCCCAGAGCCCGAGCUGCCAAGCCCGGAAGCCCCUCUGCCCCUGGGUGUUAGAUCGGAUCAGAAUCUAGAUUUAACUACACCCGCCCACCCAGACUUAAGCCGUCUCUCCCAUAUCAGACAAGAGCCCCAAGAGAUAGUACAUCGCUACUAGGCCAGAUUCCUCCUUGUGAUAAACAAGGUCAAGGACUGUCGCGAGGAAGACGCAAUCUCACUCUUCUACAAAAAUUGCCCGAACAAAGGGAUCCUUAAUGCUAUAAGUCGCCGCGACAUAGUACACUUCGUAUACCUAGCAGCCAUGGUACAGAGGUACUGUGCGAUGGAAAGCGCCUGGAAAACCCAAACAGACUUUUGGGAUAAUCCGGCUCUCACUAAACCCUUUGUCCGAGCUAAAAGGGCAAACUCUCGUAAGUUACCCAAUCUAAUUCCCAAAAAACCAAAGCCCACUCCAAGGCGUGGAACCGUAUUGGAAGAAUGGCUCAAUGGGCCAUGCAAAAUUCACAGCACGCCGGAUACUGUGCCAACGCAUAGCCUUAGAGCAUGUUGGAUACUCCGGCAGGUAGCAACAAGCGACGCAGAUCUUCUUGUAAACCAUAAAGCAGGGCAACAUCCCGCCGAAGACAACAAUGCAGUACUGAUAGUCUUCGAGACUUUCGCCUCGAAUAAUAGGCGCAAGCGAGCUCAUCAAAAUUUUGCUGAAAUCUGCCACCUGGCAAAAAUAGAUCCAUGGAACGACACUACUAUAACUUUCAGUGCCAGUGACGAACCGCAAUUCCAGACAGUCCGGGCACCAGCCGCUUUGGUCCUUAGCCCAAUCAUGGACGGCUUUCAGCUCACUAAAGUACUCAUGGAUGGCGGAAGCGGAUUAAACUUGAUCUAUGAAGAAACACUCAACAAUAUGGUAAUUGAUAAAAGCCGCAUUGAGAAAAGCGGCACGACCUUCAGGGGAAUCAUCCCUAGUCAGGAGGCACGGUGUGCGGGAAAAAUCACACUCGAUGUGGUAUUCAGCACCCCGGAGAAUUACAGGUCUGAAGAAAUCACAUUCCAAGUGGCUCCUUUCAGCAGCGGAUACCAUGCCCUUUUAGGGCGGGACGCAUUCACGAGCUUUCAAGCUAUACCCCAUUACGGGUACAUGAACCUGAAAAUGCCCAGACCCAAUGGAAUCAUCACUCUAGCUAGUGAUCCGGACGUCGCACUCCGCGCCGAAAAUAAAACUGCAGCACUAGCCCUGGAAGCAUUAUCCGAAGCCCUAGCGGCCGAAGAACUAACAACGCUGCGUGCCACAGUGGACAGGGACGACGUGAUACUCGACAAACGACCCAAGUCCACCUCAUUUAAACCCGCAGACGAGAUAGUCAAAUUCCAGGUCCAUCCAACGGGCCCCACAAAGAUAGCUUCCAUCGGGACACAGUUGAGCCCCACAAUGGACGCCGCACUACGAGACUUCCUACGCGAGAAUUGGGACAUUUUCGCCUGGCAUCCUUCAGACAUGUCGGGCAUCCCACGCAGGCUGGCCGAACACAGCCUCAAUAUACUGAAAGGAUACAAGCCAGUCAAAUAGACUCUUAGGCGCUUCUCAGAGCCUAAACGGCAAGCCAUGGGAGAAGAGCUAGCCAAGCUACUCAAGGCCGGAUUCAUUAGAGAUACCAAGCAUCUGGAUUGGCUGGCAAAUCUGGUAAUGGUACCAAAGAAGGACGAGUCCUGGUGCCUAUGCGUCGAUUUCAAAGACCUCAACAAGGCUUGCCCCAAGGAUCCAUUCCCCUCCCUCGCAUCGCCCAAAUCAUCAACGCCACCGCCGGGCACAACUCACUAUGUUUCCUCGAUGCAUACUCCGGAUACCAUCAAAUAAAGAUGGCAGAGUCCGACCAAGCCGCAACGGCCUUCUUUACGCCAUAUGGUCCCUUAUGCUUCAACACACUACUAGGGAAAACCUUAUACAUAGAACUUUACCAGUAGUGAAGGUCAAAAAAGCACGUUGGUGCUAAGUAGUAGUAGCGCGCCUGAGAAUACCGCGCUGCAGAUAAAGUUCUAGCAGUAGCGCGUCUUGCUCUAAACACGUUACUACUAAAAUUCCCACGGCUUAGCCGAUAGGCUACACAUAGUAGUAGCGACCUAUAACGAACCGCGCUACCGCUACUUUAUUUGUAGCAGCGCGUUUUAAACUAAACUCGCUACUACUAAAGGAUAUAAAAUUAAAUGGAAAGAAAAUAGAAAGGUAAUUGAAAAUGAAAGAAAUAGAAUAAGGUGAAAGGAAAAAAAUAAAAUGUGAAGAAAACUAAAUGAAAAAGGGAAAAAAAGAGAAAGGAGUAGCAGUAGCGUGUAUCCUAGAACGCGCUGUAGCUAACGUAGCAGCAGCGUUCUUCCUGGAACGCGCUACUGCUACUUCUGACUUAACCUCGGGGUUCGUCCUUCCCCACGGCCACUUCCCCCAAAUCCAACUCUUCACUCUCGCCGUCGCCGCUGCCGUUGCCCGUCGGCCGCCACGCGCUCUCCGCACACCCUCUACGCUGCCCCGACCCCAGAUUCAACGUCGCCCCCGCCCCGACCUCAACGCCGCCCGGACGCCGCCCCCGACCCCGACCUCGACGCCGCCAUCCGCCGCGCGCCCGAGCCCCGACCCUGACCUCGACGCCGCCCUGCCCCUCCCUCGUCGCAGGAACCUGAGGUGAGCACGCCUGCUCCUCCCUCUCCCCUACCUUUGCCUAGGGUUUCUUUAUAUUUUAGUUGCAUCAAAUUAAUUAGUUAGGGUUCAUGUAAGAGUGGAAACAAAUCGGAUGCAGAUGCGGCUCAAAUGAGUUAGGGUUCAUGUAAGGGUGGAAACGAAUCAAAUUUCUAAGAUGAAUCAUAAAAUGAGUAAAAUUUGACCACUUAUUUCACUUUAUAAUUGGAUAAUUGGAAUAUCCGCUACCACUUUCCACCCCUAUAGGUUCAUCAAAUUAGAUGGUAAUUAGGGCAGUAGUUCCUAGGUACUAAUUAGUUAGUAAGAACUAGGUACUAAUUAGGUACUAGAAUAUUUUUAUUUAUAGUAAGUUUAUUUUUAGUAAGAACUAGUUGAAUUAAUAUAACUAGUUAGUAAGACUUGUUGCUAUUUUUUAGUUAAAGCAAUUUUUCCCGCCUCAACGUGGACGAUGCCUAUCCCGCAUCCUCGUCAUCGAGUCGGCGGAGGACGACACCUGCUUGACCAGGUGGGCCAUGUCCGGGACUGGGCUCCGCCGGGGUGGUACUGGGAGGCGCUACCUAACGGGGAGCGCAGGUUGGUGAGGAGCCAGCCUGUCGUUGACCCGAACCUUCUUUGGUGGCGGUCGCGUGGGCCAGUGACAGUCCAGAGGCUCGAGGACUCCGCGGAGGUGGUGCGUCACCGUGUCAGUGAGGAGGACGCGCACGUCCGUCGCUACUUGUUUGCGUUGGAGCACAGGUUCUCCAAUACCUGGCAGGUUCUCCAGGGAUUUCACUGGAGCUAUGAUCCCGUGAUGGUUCCUUUUCUGCGGGUGUCCACUGCCCGCGCCGGUACCCAUCGUGUGCUAGGGUUUUAGUUGUAUUAGUGAUGUUAUAUGUAUGACACUAUUCGUGAUGUAUUAGUGAUAAUAUUUGACGAUGUACGAACACAUGAGAUGAUUUACUUUUGCUUAUUGAAUGCAUGUUAAUUUGAGUCCUAUAAGAUAUUUUGAAAUGUAUAUCUUGUGUUGCUCAAUAUCAAAGUGGCCGGUCAUGUUUGCAGGUUACUCCUCCGAGUGGCCUAUGUUUUGCCGGAGUGUUGAUUCAUUUCCGUUCCGGCAAAUUUCGGGCGCUCGAUAUGUGCUAUUUUUGCAAAGGUCAUGCCGGAUUUUUCCGUGAAUUUUGGCAUGAUUUGUGCCAGAAUAUGUAGGAAAUAUCGAGUGCCCCGGAUUUGUGUGUUGAGUAUCCUGGUAGUUGUUUUCGAUCGGUUUUCAAUUAAUGUUUUAACUGUGAACAUAGGAAAUGUCUGACGACGAAAAGGAUUUCGGUAUUUGCAAAUACUGCGAAGACGAGCGCGGCCUGUGCGACGGAAUCUUCCUAGAUGAUGAUAGACACUUCAGCAUCAAGCUGGACGAGAACUUCGAAGUGGAUACAGUAAGUCACAACGACAAGUCUUUUUUCGUAAUUAAGCAUGACAUUUGCUUCAUUUGCUUCAACUUAUAAUUUAAGCAUGACAUUAAGCAUGACAAGUCUUUUUUUACUAUUCUACUAGCGUAUCCCCUGCCAUGCAAGAGUUUUUGUAUUGGAUAAGAUAGGUUUCAGUCGUACUAUGGAGGAAAAGAAAAUUUUACUUGAAGACCGAGCAUGGUUAUAUUUUCAACGUAAAAUUAUACAAUUCAGACGACUACACCUAUUUUGGAUGCAAAACAUGGCGAGCACUAUGCAAGACUUAUGCAUUUGAGCCUGAUAUGGUUAUCACCUUUGAUAUUCGUCCGGAAGAUGAUAUUGAAGGUAAUACCGACAUCUGGGUCGAUGUGCAGACGCUUCUAGUUAUACCAUUAUGUAAGUUUCUCAACCAUAUUUAUGUCUCUGAUAUUGUUUAUUCAAAAAUAGUUGACAACUAAUUUGUAUUGUCAGCUUAUUUUGGUGCAAGCAAACAUGUCCAGCGCUUGAUAGACAGGACCGUAUACUGUCCCGGAGCUGAACUCAACUACGAGGAGCUCAGUCAUUAUGUUUCAUGGCUUGAGGAUCUUGAUACUGUCAAGACAAAUUUUCUUCCUGCAUUUAGAAAUGUUAGUACUGAAAAUGUGCGACCAAUAGUGUUCGUAAUGAACUACGGUCACAUCUAUUUAGGAAGGAUGGUAAGAUUUUUACUAUUUGUCCACAGUGCAUCUUUUCCAUACAUUAUUUGAAGGUAAACUUCAUUGCUAAGUAUGUUACCAUACGAUGUUCUUCAACAGGGACUCCCGAUGAAUGUUGUGCCUUAUGGGAUCGAGACUAAAGGUAACAUGAGUAUUAUCAGCUUACGGCCAAGAUAUCCUACAGAUUACUUUAGUUCAUUCAAGAUUAGCGACGGAUGCUUAAUAGUGCAAGACUGGACCAAAUAUGUGAUGGGGGAGCGUAGAGAAGUACUAGGGGGCAGCAAACAGAUGCGCUACCCAUGAUUAGGAGACAGGUUCAUCUGCAUGCUCCAACUUGAUCAAGGAGGAGAGCUAUACAUGUUUUAUGUUAUUUUACCUAAGAGAGAGCAGCAGGAGUGCUUAGCUAGCUAGAAAUGAGUUUGAGGAUGAUGAUGUGCUACACUAUUACUAUGAUGAUAAAAUAGCUAGUGUUGGUGGUAAUGACUAUGAUGAUUAUUAUUAGCUAGUGUUAGUGGUGAUUAAAUAAAUAUUGUUGGUGGUAAUGACUAUGAUGAUGAUUAAAUAGCUUGUGCUGGCGGAUUAGAUUCAAGUGGAAGCAACAUGUGGUGCACAUCAAAAGUACUACUAGUCCAAACUAGAUCAAGUUUGGAUUAGUAGUAUACUUUUGACAUGCACCACAUAUUGCCUCCACUUGAACCUAAUCCACCUUCAUUUGGCACAUUGUUAUGGACAUAAUGAUGUAAACCUCAUAAUUGGUAUUGUACCAAUAUUUGUACGAUGGCGCAUAAAUACACUAAAAAUAAAAAAUUAAAAAAGAAUACUAGUAGCGAUGGAGAGAAAACACGCUGCCAGUAGUUACAUUAGCAGUAGCGUGGGAGUGAACAAACGUUGCAGCUAUUUAUACUAGCAGUAGCGCGUGCGGGCACGCGUUACUGCUAAGCAAUAGCUGUAGCGCCUUAUUAGUAGCGCGCCUACCCGCGCUACUAGUGAGCACAAAACCAGCGCUACUGCUAGGGUUUUCCCUAGUAGUGACACUAUGCCUUUCGGGCUUAAAAAUGCCGGCGCAACCAAUCAACGCAUGAUUCAAACAUGCCUGGAGAAGUAAAUCGGCAAAACAGUGGAGGCAUAUGUGGACGACGUGGUCAUAAAAACAAGACACGUCGAAACCUUAAUAGAUGACUUGAGACUUACAUUCGACAACCUCCGAACAUACGACAUCAAGCUAAACCCGGAAAAAUGUGUUUUUGGGGUACCCUAUAGGAAGUUGCUCGGCUUCAUCGUUUCCAAUAGAGGAAUCGAAGCAAGUCCGGCAAAAAUCCAAGCUCUGUCACUGUUGGCUAUCCCAACAGACCUCAAGCAUAUCCAGAAACUAGCUGGAUGUGUGGCUACCUUAAGCCGCUUUAUCUCCCGAUUAGGAGAAAAGGCACUACCUCUUUACCGCCUUCUUCGACGCACCGAACACUUCGUGUGGACGGAUGCAGCUGCGGCCAGACUGGAUGAAUUAAAGACCCUAUUGGCUAGUAAUCAUGUGCUGACAGUGCCAAAUAUUGGCGAACUUAUGCUACUGUACAUAGCUGCAACACAUCAAGUUGUCAGCGCAGUGCUCGUCGUCGAACGAGAAGCAGACGGAUACAAAUUCCCGCUCCAAAAGCCGGUAUAUUACGUGUCCACUCUCCUCACCCCAUGCAAAUCCCGAUACCCACACUAUCAAAAGAUAGCAUACGCGGUCUUCAUGGCAUCCCGGAAGCUACGACACUACUUCCAGGAGUGUUCAAUUACGGUGACCUCCGAAGUACCACUCAACGACAUAAUAAACAACCGUGACGAAACAGGAUGGAUUGCUAAAUGGGCCAUCGAGCUCCUUCCGUUCGACAUAACAGACAAACCACGGCGGGCCAUUAAGUCGGAAGUAUUGUGUCACGCCCAAUAUGCGACCCUAUCCAAAAGGAACUCGAAGGUCCCACCAAGGAUAGACCCGCAUAUUGAGACGCUUUUGCAAGGUGGAUAUCAUUACAUCAACAUUACAUAAUAGAUGGGGAUACAUCCAAAACAUACAAUGUCACAUGAAUACAACAAUACAACAUACAAGAACAACAUCCGACUACGGAUGAAUCAUAAACAGAAACUCAAACAAUAUCCACCCUGCUAGCCCAGGCUGCCGACCUGGAACCUAUCCCCUGAUCGAAGAAGAAGCAGAAGAAGAACUCCAAACAAGCAAACAUCGCUCUCGCGUCAAGAACAUCACAUAACCUGUACCUGCAACUGUUGUUGUAGUAAUCUAUGAGCCACGAGGACUCAGCAAUCCCAUUACCAUGGGUAUCAAGACUAGCAAAGCUUAAUGGGAAAGGAAGGGGUAAAGUGGUGAGGUUGCAGCAGCGACUAAGCAUGAUAUGGUGGCUAAGCAUACGCAAAUAAGAGUGAGAAGAGAAGCAAAGGAAUGGUCGUGAAGCUAGCAAUGAUCAAGAGGUGAUCCUGAACUCCUACUUACGUCAAUCAUAACACAGAAACCGUGUUCACUUCCCGGACUCCGCCGAGAAGAGACCAUCACGGCUACACACGCGGUUGAUGCGUUUUAUUUCGGAUCUGGUGUCAAGUUAUCUACAACCGGACAUUAACAAAUUCCCAUCUGCCACAUAACCGCGGGCACGGCUCUCGAAAGUUUAUACCCUGCAGGGGUGUCCCAACUUAGCCCAUGACAAGCUCUCGCGAUCAACGAAGGAAUAGACCUUCUCCCAGGAAGACCCGAUCAGUCUCGGAAUCCCGGUUUACAAGACAUUUCUACAAUGGUAAAACAAGACCAGCAAAGCCGCCCGAUGCGCCGACAAUCCCGAUAGGAACUGCACAUAUCUCGUUCUCAGGGCAACACCGGAUAAGUCAAGCUACGAGUAAAACCAGACUUCGAGUUUCCCCGAGGUGGCCCCGCAGGUUGCUCGUUUCAGACCAACACUUAGAUAAGCACUGGCCCGGGGGGGGCUAAAAUAAAGAUGACCCUUGGGUUAAUUACUCCCAAGGGAAAGGUAGGUGGUGGUGAGGCAAAUGGUAAAACCAAGGUUGGGCCUUGCUGGACAAGUUUUAUUCAAAGCAAACUGUCAGGGGGGUCCCAUAAAUCACCCGACCGCGUUUGGAACGCAAAUCCGGGAACAUAACACCGGUAUGACGGAAACUAGGGCUGCAAGAGUGGAACAAAACACCAGGCAUAAGGCCGAGCCUUCCACCCUUUACCAAGUAUAUAGAUGCAUUAAUAAUAUAAGAGAUAUUGUGAUAUCCCAACAAAACCCUGUCCACCAUGGAGAAAUCUUCAACUUCACCUGCAACUAGCAAUGCUAUAAGAGGGGCUGAGCAAAAGCGGUAACAUAGCCAAUCAAUGGUUUGCAAAGGAAAGGUGUCAAAGGUUAGAGGUUCAUGGCAAUAUGGGAUGGCUUGCAGAGCAAAUGAUAGGUUACGCAGCAUAGCGAUAGAACGAAGCAACUAGCAUAGCAAUGAUAGUAGUGAGAUCCAGGGUAGCAGUCAUCUUGCCUGAAAUCCCGCAAGGAAGAAGAACGAGUCCAUGAAGAAGAUGAAGCCACGAAGACGAACCAAGCGUAGACGAACGCAUCCUCACGAUCGCAACGAAACGGGAACUAUCGAGAAGAAGCACACAACAUAGUAAACACACCACACAUGAACAAGACAUGAUGCACAACAAGCAUGAUGCAUGACAAAGCUACAUGAAGCUACUCAUGGCAAGAGAUGAUGCAAACAAGAACAACACAUCAAGGCAAGUUUGAAUGAGGCCGGAAACAACAUAUAACAAUUCCGGUAAGUCCUCAUAUGCAAAUUUCGAAAUUGGUCCAGAUCUGAACAAACCUUAUGUUCAAGUAGUUAAACAUCAAGUUAAGAUGCACCAAGAUGAUCUACACGAAAUUCUAAUCAAGUUACAUAUGAAGUUCAUUAGAUUCGGAGCUACGACCUAGAAGAUAUGAGCAAAACAAGUUAGGCAUGGCAUUGAUGCAAAAUGCAUACAAACAUCAAGCAAACACACCAAAACAAGGAUGCAACAUGGUAAUAUGAAACUACAUGCAAAAUCAAGCAAGUUUCAUAUAGAGCACACUCAAAACGGAGCAACGGUGCAACACAUACACACUAUGCAAGUCAUAACAACAAUCUGUCCAAAACAGCAACUAGGCAUAUUGCAAGCAUCAAAACAAUAUGCUACAGCACCCCAACAUAAUAACAAAAGGCAUGGGCAUGAAGUACUGGUAAAGGACAACAAAACAUGAACACUGAGCUAUCUCCAGAAACAACUAGAACAUGCUCAAAAAGACAUGGUAAGAUUGCAAAUAAUAACAGUUUCAGACGUUAGCAGAAAUAACAUCAGGUUGCAAUGUUUAGAGCUAUCAAACAACAUGUUACAGGAACUUAUCAUGGCAAACAAAGACAUGGCAUGAAUCUACUAAAAGCAUAGAUCAAAAGUCCCUUACUGGCCAUGAGCCAAAAAGGAUCAGAAAAUAUGAUGGCACCCAUGUAAACAGCGCAAGUUAUAUUACAGAUUCAUACAUGGUAGGAACAACAAUAAGUAGGCAUGUUGGUGAGCUUGAACCACUCAUCAAAGAGCAAUACAUGGCAUGGCAAGGCAACCAAUAGUAAUAAGACAUGCUUAUGAAGCUAAGCAUGGCAAUAGCAAGUUCAUAGGGUUCAUGGAUCACUAGGAAACAAUCAUGGAAACAUUGAACUUAAUGUUAACAGGCUGACAGCAACAUUUUCAAGCAACUUUGGAGCAAGAUAUGAACAAUCUACAACAAGCUAUAAUUGCAACCAAGGGCAUGAAUGGAUAUAGUAAGACAUGUAUAUCAAAACAUGUUUAUAGAACAUCUUCAUAUUAUGCAUAGAAUGAUUAGUAGAAGCAUGUUAACAUAGCAACAAAAUAUAACAGAAUCUGUCAGGAAAACAGCAACAGCAACUACCCUACUUAGCAAGCUUGAUACACUCAGCACACAACUCACAAAAAUACAUGGUUAACACCUCUGGAAAGAUGGCAUAGCAUAGAUCAACAUACAUGUAGACAUCAACCUCAUAGGAUGCACACAUCAAUCAUGGCAAAAAUGAUAAAUGAGCAACUUAUAAAAGUUUCAGCAGGUUAACAUCAACAUGCACUCUUCCAACAGCAUUUCAGGCACCAAGAUGAGCUCAAAUGAAAAUGAUGCAAUGGAAUGAAAUGAAGCACUCUUCGAGGCGAACAAUUUGACAUAUUAUAUGCACGAAACGGAGCUACGGAUGCAGAGAUGCAGCAGGUCAAACAUGGCAUGAAAAUAUUACAGAAAUCCGGGGACUUAGGCAUUUUUUUACUUCCUGGAAAAGUCAACCCGGGACGGAGGCGUUCCGGGAUGGAGCGGAUCUGGACACGCGGGAGUGUUUGAUUCAGGGGUCGGGUGGAUCUGAUCCAGAUCCGGACGGAGAUGGGUCCGGCGGCGGCGGCUCGCCGGAGUUUCGCCGGAGACGGGGCGGCACGGCGAGGGGGCGCCGGAGCUUGAGGGGACGGCGCGGGGCGGCGCCGCUCGGUGCGGGGGCACAGAGGAGAGCGCGGGCAGCGGCUCGGGCCGGUGCCNNNNNNNNNNNNNNNNNNNNNNNNNNNNNNNNNNNNNNNNNNNNNNNNNNNNNNNNNNNNNNNNNNNNNNNNNNNNNNNNNNNNNNNNNNNNNNNNNNNNNNNNNNNNNNNNNNNNNNNNNNNNNNNNNNNNNNNNNNNNNNNNNNNNNNNNNNNNNNNNNNNNNNNNNNNNNNNNNNNNNNNNNNNNNNNNNNNNNNNNNNNNNNNNNNNNNNNNNNNNNNNNNNNNNNNNNNNNNNNNNNNNNNNNNNNNNNNNNNNNNNNNNNNNNNNNNNNNNNNNNNNNNNNNNNNNNNNNNNNNNNNNNNNNNNNNNNNNNNNNNNNNNNNNNNNNNNNNNNNNNNNNNNNNNNNNNNNNNNNNNNNNNNNNNNNNNNNNNNNNNNNNNNNNNNNNNNNNNNNNNNNNNNNNNNNNNNNNNNNNNNNNNNNNNNNNNNNNNNNNNNNNNNNNNNNNNNNNNNNNNNNNNNNNNNNNNNNNNNNNNNNNNNNNNNNNNNNNNNNNNNNNNNNNNNNNNNNNNNNNNNNNNNNNNNNNNNNNNNNNNNNNNNNNNNNNNNNNNNNNNNNNNNNNNNNNNNNNNNNNNNNNNNNNNNNNNNNCGGGCCCAGCUUGGGCCCCGCGGGCCGGCGGCGGUGGGAGGCGGCGGCGCAUCACGUGGCGGACGCCGGUUCGCCGGGCACGGCGGCGGACGUGUCCAGCGCGGAUCGGACGUGUCCGGCGGCGCGGAGAGGAGCGGGGCUAGGGUUAGGGUGGAAAUGAUCCGGGAUUUUUGGAGGGGGAGACCUAUUUAUAGGUAGAGGGAGCUAGGAGAGUCCAAAUGAGGUGCGGUUUUCGGCCACGCGAUCGUGAUCGAACGACCGAGAGCAUGGAGGGGGUUAAGAUGGGUUUUGGGCCACUUUGGAAGGGGUGUUGGGCUGCAACAAAAGAGGCUUCUACGGUUACCCGGUUAACCGUUGGAGUCUCAAACGACCUCCAAAUGGCACGAAACUUGACAGGCGGUCUACCGGUGCUAUACCAAGGCCGCUUGGCAAACCUCGGGCCAUUCCGAGAAAGUUUAACACCAGCACACGAAAAGAGACAAGAGGGGGACGCCGGAGGACAUAGAAGUGCCGGAUUGCAAAACGGACAACGGGGAAAAGGCUCGGAUGCAUGAAACGAACACGUAUGCAAAAUGAAAUGCACAAGAUGACAUGAUAAAAUGCAACACGCAAGCAAAUGGCAUGGCAAUGACGGCGAAUAACUGGCGGACACCUGGCGCAACGAAUCCGGGGCGUUACAACACUCCUCCACUAACAAGAGAUCUCGUCCCGAGAUCUUAGGACCGAGACGGAAGAGAAAAAGGAUGAGGUGAAACAAGAACUCAAGAGAAGAAGCCAAGAAUUGAGAGCACUUGAGAAGAAGAGAGGAACAACGAGAAUGACGAGAAUCGAAAGCUCACGGAAUCAGAUAGACUAUGAAAUCACUCGUGACAUACUCCGGAUGGAUGAAAAAGAAUUGCACGACUGGAAACAAUUUGAUAGGAUAACAUCGUGCUAGCACCGCGAAUCUCCGGGGAACAGACAAGAUUUAGAGGAAAAACUCUUCUUCGGUCUUCAAACGACGACGAGAAACACCGCCAAAAUUACUGAGGUACUCCGGGAGAAUGAAAAGCGAAGAGGUUGAGCCAACAAUGAAAAGAAUUUGAAAGCGAUCUUGGAGAAGGCAUGUGACUGAUGAAAUUUAUUCUUACGUCACACUUGAAAAGAAUUGAGAAUAACUCCGGGGAAUUAGAAGAGUCAGGUAAGAUCCUGGAAAAAGACCUGUGGGUUAGGGCCCACUAAAGGAACACCGAUGGAAAGGAUUGUUGAACAGAUAGAUGAUGCACCGGAACAAUUGAAAUAUUUGAAUGAGGUGACAACCUCGAAUUAAUUGGAACACAGACGAAUCUCCUGAGAUGUCUUGAACACUCCAGAAGGAUAAACUGGCGAGAGGCGAACGAGCAAGGGGAAAACAUUUGAGCCGAGGAAAAGAAUACGAUCAACACCGAAAAACUUGAAUUGAGUCCACCGGAGAAGAAAAAGAGAUGAAGAAUGACGAACGAGACGAGAAUUCACCGGUAGAAAUAAUUGAGGGAAGACUGAAGAGACUCCGUACGAAUGAAAUAGAUGGUCGAGAGGGAGUCAGACUCCAGGAAGAAGAGGGUGGGAGGGCGGGAAAAGCAGAGGCAACUUGGAAGGGGAAAUCGACGACUAUCUUGAAGAGAAAACAGUGGUUGAAAUAAUUGAGGAAAGGAAGCAAAGACUUCGCACGAGUAGGAUGGAUACUCGAUUACGGACUCCGGCUCCGAGAAGGAAAAGGUGUGGGCGGGUGGGAAAAACAAAGACAACUUCGGACAGGGAAAAACAACGAUGUCGAAAAGAGCCGAGGAUUGAUCUCGCGAAAGACAAAGAGGUUCGAGUCGACUUGACGAGAGAUGCACCGGAUGAAAAGAGCUGAGAACCAACUAUCGGAAAACCAACUGCGUGAUCCUAAAGAAAAAUUUGAAGGGGAAGAGGAGUAGUUCAAAACACCUACGUCAAGAUUCCUCACCAGAGCGACGAAGGGGCAGAGGAAUAAAAAGAAUUCCUACUCUCCGAUAUAACUAGACUCAGAAAACAGUUUUCUUCUAGACUCAACAGCAGCCAAACUACACGAUCAAUCAAGGGGGGCUCCUAAGGUCGGUCGAGGCUCUGAUACCAACUUGUCAUGCCCAAUAUGCGACCCUAUCCAAAAGGAACUCGAAGGUCCCACCAUGGAUAGACCCGCAUAUUGAGACGCUUUUGCAAGGUGGAUAUCAUUACAUCAACAUUACAUAAUAGAUGGGGAUACAUCCAAAACAUACAAUGUCACAUGAAUACAACAAUACAACAUACAAGAACAACAUCCGACUACGGAUGAAUCAUAAACAGAAACUCAAACAAUAUCCACCCUGCUAGCCCAGGCUGCCGACCUGGAACCUAUCCCCUGAUCGAAGAAGAAGCAGAAGAAGAACUCCAAACAAGCAAACAUCACUCUCGCGUCAAGAACAUCGCAUAACCUGUACCUGCAACUGUUGUUGUAGUAAUCUGUGAGCCACGAGGACUUAGCAAUCCCAUUACCAUGGGUAUCAAGACUAGAAAAGCUUAAUGGGAAAGGAAGGGGUAAAGUGGUGAGGUUGCAGCAGCGAGUAAGCAUGAUAUGGUGGCUAAGCAUACGCAAAUAAGAGCGAGAAGAGAAGCAAAGGAACGGUCGUGAAGCUAGCAAUGAUCAAGAGGUGAUCCUGAACUCCUACUUACGUCAAUCAUAACACACAAACCGUGUUCACUUCCUGGACUCCGCCGAGAAGAGACCAUCACGGCUACACACGCGGUUGAUGCGUUUUAUUUCGGAUCUGGUGUCAAGUUAUCUACAACCGGACAUUAACAAAUUCCCAUCUGCCACAUAACCGCGGGCACGGCUCUCGAAAGUUUAUACCUUGCAGGGGUGUCCCAACAUAGCCCAUGACAAGCUCUCGCGAUCAACGAAGGAAUAGACCUUCUCCCAGGAAGACCCAAUCAGUCUCGGAAUCCCGGUUUACAAGACAUUUCAACAAUGGUAAAACAAGACCAGCAAAGCCGCCCGAUGCGCCGAUCAUCCCGAUAGGAUCUGCACAUAUCUCGUUCUCAGGGCAACACCGGAUAAGUCAAGCUACGAGUAAAACCAGACUUCGAGUUUCCCCAAGGUGGCCUCGCAGGUUGCUCGUUUCGGACCAACACUUAGACAAGCACUGGCCCGGGGGGGGGGCUAAAAUAAAGAUGACCCUUGGGUUAAUUACUCCCAAGGGAAAGGUAGGUGGUGGUGAGGCAAAUGGUAAAACCAAGGUUGGGCCUUGCUGGACAAGUUUUAUUCAAAGCGAACUGUCAGGGGGGUCCCAUAAAUCACCCGACCGCGUUUGGAACGCAAAUCCAGGAACAUAACACCGGUAUGACGGAAACUAGGGCUGCAAGAGUGGAACAAAACACCAGGCAUAAGGCCGAGCCUUCCACCCUUUACCAAGUAUAUAGAUGCAUUAAUAAUAUAAGAGAUAUUGUGAUAUCCCAACAAAACCCUGUCCACCAUGGAGAAAUCUUCAACUUCACCUGCAACUAGCAACGCUAUAAGAGGGGCUGAGCAAAAGCGGUAACAUAGCCAAUCAAUGGUUUGCAAAGGAAAGGUGUCAAAGGUUAGAGGUUCAUGGCAAUAUGGGAUGGCUUGCAGAGCAAAUGAUAGGUUACGCAGCAUAGCGAUAGAACGAAGCAACUAGCAUAGCAAUGAUAGUAGUGAGAUCCAGGGUAGCAGUCAUCUUGCCUGAAAUCCCGCAAGGAAGAAGAACGAGUCCAUGAAGAAGAUGAAGCCACGAAGACGAACCAAGCGUAGACGAACGCAUCCUCACGAUCGCAACGAAACGGGAACUAUCGAGAAGAAGCACACAACAUAGUAAACACACCACACAUGAACAAGACAUGAUGCACAACAAGCAUGAUGCAUGACAAAGCUACAUGAAGCCACUCAUGGCAAGAGAUGAUGCAAACAAGAACAACACAUCAAGGCAAGUUUGAAUGAGGCCGGAAACAACAUAUAACAAUUCCGGUAAGUCCUCAUAUGCAAAUUUCGAAAUUGGUCCAGAUCUGAACAAACCUUAUGUUCAAGUAGUUAAACAGCAAGUUAAGAUGCACCAAGAUGAUCUACACGAAAUUCUAGUCAAGUUACAUAUGAAGUUCAUUAGAUUCGGAGCUACGACCUAGAAGAUAUGAGCAAAACAAGUUAGGCAUGGCAUUGAUGCAAAAUGCAUACAAACAUCAAGCAAACACACCAAAACAAGGAUGCAACAUGGUAAUAUGAAACUACAUGCAAAAUCAAGCAAGUUUCAUAUAGAGCACACUCAAAACGGAGCAACGGUGCAACACAUACACACUAUGCAAGUCAUAACAACAAUCUGUCCAAAACAGCAACUAGGCAUAUUGCAAGCAUCAAAACAAUAUGCUACAGCACCCCAACAUAAUAACAAAAGGCAUGGGCAUGAAGUACUGGUAAAGGACAACAAAACAUGAACACUGAGCUAUCUCCAGAAACAACUAGAACAUGCUCAAAAAGACAUGGUAAGAUUGCAAAUAAUAACAGUUUCAGACUUUAGCAGAAAUAACAUCAGGUUGCAAUGUUUAGAGCUAUCAAACAACAUGUUACAGGAACUUAUCAUGGCAAACAAAGACAUGGCAUGAAUCUACUAAAAGCAUAGAUCAAAAGUCCCUUAAUGGCCAUGAGCCAAAAAGGAUCAGAAAAUAUGAUGGCACCCAUGUAAACAGGGCAAGUUAUAUUACAGAUUCAUACAUGGCAGGAACAACAAUAAGUAGGCAUGUUGGUGAGCUUGAACAACUCACCACAGAGCAAUACAUGGCAUGGCAAGGCAACCAACAGUAAGAAGACAUGCUUAUGAAGCUAAUCAUGGAAAUAGAAAGUUCAUAGGGUUCAUGGAUCACUAGGAAACAAUCAUGGAAACGUUGAACUUAAUGUUAACAGGCUGACAGCAACAUUUUCAAGCAACUUUGGAGCAAGAUAUGAACAAUCUACAGCAAGCUAUAAUUGCAACCAAGGGCAUGAAUGGAUAGAGUAAGACAUGUAUCAAAACAUGUUUAUAGAACAUCUCCAGAUUAUGCAUAGAAUGAUUAGUAGAAGCAUGUUAAUAUAGCAACAAAAUAUAACAGAAUCUGUCAGGAAAACAGCAACAACAACUACCCUACUUAGCAAGCUUGAUACACUCAGCACACAACUCACAAAAAUACAUGGUUAACACCUCUGAAAACAUGGCAUAGCAUAGAUCAACAUACAUGUAGACAUCAAACUCAUAGGAUGCACACAUCAAUCAUGGCAAAAAUGAUAAAUGAGCAAGUUAUAAUAGUUUCAGCAGGUUAACAUCAACAUGCACUCUUCCAACAGCAUUUCGGGCACCAAGAUGAGCUCAAAUGAAAAUGAUGCAAUGGAAUGAAAUUAAGUACUCUUCGAGACGAACAAUUUGACAUAUUAUACGCACGAAACAGAGCUACGGAUGCAGAGAUGCAGCAGGUCAAACAUGGCAUGAAAAUAUUACAGAAAUCCGGGGACUUAGGCAUUUUUUUACCUCCGGGAAAAGUCAACCCGGGACGGAGCGGAUCUGGACACGCGGGAGUGUUUGGUUUGGGGGUCGGGUGGAUCUGAUCCAGAUCCGGACGGAGACGGGUCCGGCGGCGGCGGCUCGCCGGAGUUUCGCCGGAGACGGGGCGGCGCGGCGAGGGGGCGCCGGAGCUUGAGGGGACGGCGCGGGGCGGCGCCGCUCGGUGCGGNNNNNNNNNNNNNNNNNNNNNNNNNNNNNNNNNNNNNNNNNNNNNNNNNNNNNNNNNNNNNNNNNNNNNNNNNNNNNNNNNNNNNNNNNNNNNNNNNNNNNNNNNNNNNNNNNNNNNNNNNNNNNNNNNNNNNNNNNNNNNNNNNNNNNNNNNNNNNNNNNNNNNNNNNNNNNNNNNNNNNNNNNNNNNNNNNNNNNNNNNNNNNNNNNNNNNNNNNNNNNNNNNNNNNNNNNNNNNNNNNNNNNNNNNNNNNNNNNNNNNNNNNNNNNNNNNNNNNNNNNNNNNNNNNNNNNNNNNNNNNNNNNNNNNNNNNNNNNNNNNNNNNNNNNNNNNNNNNNNNNNNNNNNNNNNNNNNNNNNNNNNNNNNNNNNNNNNNNNNNNNNNNNNNNNNNNNNNNNNNNNNNNNNNNNNNNNNNNNNNNNNNNNNNNNNNNNNNNNNNNNNNNNNNNNNNNNNNNNNNNNNNNNNNNNNNNNNNNNNNNNNNNNNNNNNNNNNNNNNNNNNNNNNNNNNNNNNNNNNNNNNNNNNNNNNNNNNNNNNNNNNNNNNNNNNNNNNNNNNNNNNNNNNNNNNNNNNNNNNNNNNNNNNNNNNNNNNNNNNNNNNNNNCCCUGCUCGGGGCCCGCGGGCCGGCAGCGGUGGGAGGCGGCGGCGCAUCACGUGGAGGACGACGGUUCGCCGGGCGCGGCGGCGGACGUGUCCAGCGCGGAUCGGACGUGUCCGGCGGCGCGGAGAGGAGCGGGGCUAGGGUUAGGGUGGAAAUGAUCCGGGAUUUUUGGAGCGGGAGACUUAUUUAUAGGUAGAGGGAGCUAGGAGAGUCCAAAUGAGAUGCUGUUUUCGGCCACGCGGUCGUGAUCGAACGACCGAGAGCAUGGAGGGGGUUAAGAUGGGUUUUGUGCCACUUUGGAAGGGGUGUUGAGCUGCAACAAAAGAGGCUUCUGCGGUUACCCGGUUAACCAUUGGAGUCUCAAACGACCUCCAAAUGGCACGAAACUUGACAGGCGGUCUACCGGUGCUAUACCAAGGCCGCUUGGCAAACCUCGGGCCAUUCCGAGAAAGUUUAACACCCGCAUACGAAAAGAGACAAGAGGGGGACGCCGGAGGACAUAGGAGUGCCGGAUUGCAAAACGGACAACGGGGAAAAUGCUCGGAUGCAUGAAACGAACACGUAUGCAAAAUGAAAUGCACAAGAUGACAUGAUAAAAUGCAACACGCAAGCAAAUGGCAUGGCAACGACGGCGAAUAACUGGCGGACACCUGGCGCAAUGAAUCCGGGGCGUUACAUAUUGGCUAACUUUGUCACCGAAUGGACAGAAGUCAAACUCCCUAAAGAGUACGGCGCGUACUCUAAUUGGAUCAUGCAGUUUGAUGGCUCUAAAAUGCUGGCCGGAUUGGUAGCAGGUGUAGUCCUGACUUCCCCCACCGGAGACACGGUCCAAUAUGUACUCCAAAUAUUAUACACAGACUCCAACAACGCAGCCGAAUACAGGGCUCUGUUGCAUGGUCUUCGGAUGGCAGUCUCUAUGGGCAUCCAAUGCCUGGAGGUGCGAGGGGACUCAAACCUCGCAAUAUCACAAAUAAAUGGAGAUUUUGAUGCCAAGGAUCCGAAAAUGGCGGCCUACCGCAACACCAUCCUCAAAAUGUCAGCUCGGUUCGAGGGGCUCGAAUUCCACCAUGUGGCUCGAGAAAACAAUCAAGCAGCGGACAUCCUCACCCGCCUCGGCGCUAAACGCGACCCCGUCCCACCAAACAUAUUCCUGGAAAGGCUGUUCAAGCCAUCCAUGGUAUGGGAAGGGGAGUCCGGCAACAUUUUCCCAGAUCUGAAUACAACCCCAGAUUCCAAACCAUCUGAUGUAAUCGGCGGCUCCGCCACCGAAAUAACACCUUUGGCCAACGAAAUCAUGGCUGUAAUCUCCUCGUGGACCGAGCCUUUCAUGGCCUACCUAAAUAGGCAGGAGCUCCCCGAGGACCAAAAUGAAGCACGUUGUAUUGUGCGGCGUUCCAAGGCCUACAAAGUCCAUGAGGGAGAACUCUAUAAUAAAAGUGCAACCGGAGUGCUCCAAAGAUGCAUCUCCGAAGAGGAAGGGCGACAACUCUUGGCUAAAAUCCACGCCGGACUCGGCGGGCACCACGCUACGGCUCGGGCACUUGUCAGCAAGGCCUUCCGUACAGGUUUUUAUUUGCCGACAGCCCAAGCAGAUGCACAAGACCUUGUCCAACACUGCGUCGGUUGCUAGCUCUUUGCCAAUCACAGCCAUAUGCCCCCUAUCGCUCUCCAAACAAUCCCCAUUACGUGGCCCUUCGUGGUAUGGGGGCUGGAUAUGGUCGGACCCCUUAAAGGGGCAAGCCAUAAGAAAAAAUACUUAUUCAUCAUGGUGGACAAGUUCACCAAAUGGAUAGAAGCCAAACCAGUUAAAACGGCCGAAUCUGGCCAGUGAUAGACUUCAUAUCAGGGGUUGUACACCGUUACGGUGUCCCACACAGCAACAUCACUGACAAUGGCUCAAACUUCACAGCCGAUGAAGUGAAAACUUGGUGCGGCAACAUGGGCAUUAAGCUCGAUUACGCCUCCGUCUACCAUCCCCAAACAAACGGCCAGGUCGAACGUGCAAACGGUCUCAGCAUGAGCGGCAUCAAACCCAGACUAGUGCGGUCCUUGACAGAAUCGGACACGCCCUGGGUCGAGGAGCUCGACUCCGUACUUUGGGGGUUGCGGACCACGCCGAAUCGCACCACCGGAUACACACCAUUUUUUAUGGUGUACGACGCAGAAGCAGUACUACCCUGCGACAUAAUCCACGACUCACCUCGCGUGCGCAUGUACGAAGAGAAGGAAGCCGAGUUAGAUCGGCAGGACAACUUAGAUUCCCUAGAGGAGGAGCGCGAUGUUGCAAAAGCCCGUUCCGCAUUCUAUCAGCAGCAGGCUCGACGGUAUCAAAGUAGAGAAGUGCGGGCCAAAACUUAUAAUGUUGGCGAACUCGUUCUAUGCCUACCGGACAAGAAGAAGGACAAGCUCAAACCUAAGUGGGAGGGUCCCUUCAUUGUUGAUAAAGUUCUCACCGGAGGAGAGUACCGCCUGCGUAAUGCAUCCGAUAACAGACUCGAGCCGAACCAUGGAACGCGGCCAGACUCCGGAGAUUCUAUGCCUAGUGCCGAACUCAGUUUUCGUCUCCUUACCCCCGCUCUUUUAAUUAUGUUCCUCCCCUUUUUCCUUUCUCGCCCUUUUUCCCUUCUUCACACAAAGUAUUCAAUACAGUGCGGAUGCUUGGAUCACUCCGGCUGCACCAUGUGUGUAAACCAUACCUGGGGGCUUCCUAUACGGAAGCUAAAUAUAAUUACUUUCAUGGCUUCUUGCCUAUCACAUAUGCGUUCUUUUUCCAUAUAUGCCUUUUCUUCACCAUUAUAUGCAUCGAUAUGACUUAAGAUGUGGCCAUGCUGGGUUGCUUGGCUCUUGUGUUUAUGCCCUACGUUCCCGUUAAUUCGGCUAGGGCAAAGGGGAGCACCUCUACGAUUGUUACUGACGGUUCAGCCGGAUGUGUACCUCAGACUAGGUGAAGCAGAAAGCUAGCGUUCUUAAGGGCAUAUUCGGUCGGUGAACAAAAGAUAUUUCUUUCAUUUAUUACAACGUGAACCCCCAGAAGUUUUUUAUCCUGCGUUUCUGUUCGUAGCCCGGACAUGUAUAUCGGUGCAUGCAUACCCAGGGAAAGGAACCCCUAACGGAACUAUUCUCCCUGGAAGACGUUUCUUACUAUCCAUGUAAUAUAACAUAGCUAGUUGGGUACUUGUCUGUUCAAGCACUUAUGACCCCUAUGCCUGGUUUCCACGCAUAUCCCGGUUCUGCAUAACUGAGCGGGUAUUCGGAUACACCCUAGACUGUUGGAUCCAGGCGCUGAAGCAAAAAGGUCCGCCAUGACAAAUGAUUUUUAAUCCGGCUAGGGACUACAUAUAUCCAUUGAAUUACAUAGUCACUUGGACUGACUAUAUUCUUCCUCUAUACCGUCCAACAGGCUAUCUAGCUUGCAAUCCUGUUGGGAAUACUUUGCGGCUAACGCUACCUGGUCAUACACCAGACUCACGGGAAUUUCUUGCCCAUCUGGCCCCGCCGGUCCUACUUCGGCCAUAUGGUUCGGGUCAAGCUUGGUGUAGCGCGUCUUCACCAUGGCCCAGGCUUCCCUUGCACCUUGUCAGCAGGCUGACAUCUUCCACAACCGGAAGCAUCGCGGUGCUCCUUGGAGCAUAUCCACGAGCUCCCCCAUGCCUCUUGGAAGGGAAGUGGAUGGCAACAAGGCCUGGGCAAUACCCUGCAUCACCUGCCGAACUCGUUCGUGCAGCUGUGAGAGGUCUUGCAGUAAAUCGCCUGCGGACCCGAGCAUCUCCUCUUCAGGACGGCCCAUCAACAUACCUACAGAUAUAAACUCUUUUAAUAUGCUUCCUCACCUAGUUGUACUACAAUUCGUUUAGGCACUUACCAUAAAUGCCGCGAUGAAGCCUUCGGUUCUCCUUCAUGGAGUCCGCCAGCUGAGCUCGAACAUCUGAUAAUUCGACGCCCAGCCGGACAUUGGCAUCUUGGAGAUUGUUUUUCUCCCGCCUAACCUGCGUAAGCACACGCUCGCCAGCCUUCAGCUGUCUUUGGAGAUGCGACUCGCUAUCUCUUACGAUCUCCGGAUUCGUCCCGAGAUUGUCUGCAGAAUUUUCUGUUAGACUUAUGAUGCAAGCCAAUUGCUAACUGGUAUAUUCCUUUAAGAUUUCUCUAUUGAGACAAAUGUUACCAGAUGAGGCUUUCUGGGAUUCCCCUAGUUUGGCAACUGCGUCCCUCAGCUGGGUCUUGCACUCCUCCAACUCUUGAGACAAUUGGGUAUUCUUCUCUACAAGAAACUAUGCAUAAAAUGAUCCUUAAAUUAGUUGUUCCAACCGUUUCAAGUCCCAGGGGCUACUGCUAUACAUGCUUAUCAAAUUUCCUUACCCGUAUAUCUUUUGCAUACUGGUCCGUCGCUCGGGCCAGCCCGCCUUGAGCAGCUCGGAUGUAUGCAUCUCCCGAAUUGAAAGCAUUAAAUGCCUCUUCGGAAAAGAUGCUAUUGCAAAGUACGGCCCGUCGGCGCCGGUGAUUCAUGGCACUCUCUACUUCGGAAUUUGUGGCGGAGUGCAUAUCCACAUCCUCUAUCGGAGGACAAUUCCGCAUCGGCCCCGCAUCAGCCUCCUCUCUCGAAGCCGGUUCUGCAAUCCGGCUGGUAGAGGCGUGACCGGCAGGAUCUCCGGAUAUAGUCCGGCGACUCCUCUUUCUGCCAGAACACGAAGGACGCUGUUACAUUUCAAACACGAUAAUCACAGAGCAGGUUUUUGCCAUACCUCUGUAAUGGCAUUUUGGCCCUAACUGCCUUCCUCUUAAGCCUGCCUGACCCGGACGCCCUUUGCCGACGAGCCCCCAGGGGCUCGGCACCACGUUCCGAUGGUCGUCUCUAUAAAAAUACGAUAUUUUAUGCAUAAGGCAUGGUAUAAAAAGGAGUCCUCUUCAGAGGAUAAGGUUUCGGAUUUGCUUACACGCGAUGCAGGUAGCAGUCCGGGAUAGUCGGCGAUAAUAGCCACCGAGGCGCCAUCGCAGCCGGCCUGAUAAAAUGUCUCGUUGACAAGCUCCAUAGAUAUAUCCGGAUCUUCUUCAAGUCCUGGAUUGAAGGCCCUUCCAGGGUCCUCUGGCUGCGGGGAGGGGCUGUUGAAUCCUUCCACGGCCCUCCUCAGUUCCUGCCCAGAAAUAUCAAGGUGAAUGAUUGUGAUGAAGGGCGCCAGAAUGAAUAGAGUGGGGGAAAGAGUGAUGACUUACCAAGCUUGGGGGGUUGUACAUGGAAAAUCCAUCCCACGGUUUAAUACAAAGGAAUUCUUCUUCUUCUCCUUUAUACAAAUUAGACAGUAUUCUCGCCAGAGCAGUGGCGGAGUCCGGACCUUUACGACCACAGCGGGUGGCAUAAUCUUCCCCAUUGAAGUGCCACAUGGGCUACCCCUGAUAUUGAAGUGGCUGCACCCCCCGCAUUAUGCAUAUUGCUAUAACCUGGACUAUUGUCAGCCCUGAUUUGGCCAGUGUCUUUAUCCUGCUUAUCAAGAAGUGGACUUCUCUGGUAUCUUCCUAUUAGGGGCCCCGAGGGCGCCAACUUCGGCGUGUCUUCGGUGAAGCAUUAUUGAACUCAGGGAGGCCCGUCCAGAUUGGAUCCGGAAGGGGAAUGUCAUCAACAUAAAACCACUCCGAGGGCCAGUUUUCAGAUGCCUUCUUGGGAGUACUGGACAGGUAUCUGGUCUCGGCGACGCGCCAUAUUUCGGCUCCGCCCACUUGACAUAUGGAUUCCCCCUGGUUGCGAGGGACGAGGCAGAAUAACUUCUUCCAUAACUCGAAGUGAGCCUCGCAACCCGGAAAUAAUUCACAAAGGGCAACGUAUCCUGCGAUGUGCAGCACGGAGGCGGGGGUGAAGUUGUGCAACUGGAGGCCAUAGAACUCCAGGAGCCCGUGAAGGAAUGGGUGGAUUGGAAACCCGACGCCUCUUAGCAAAUAUGGGAUGAGGCAUACUCGCUCCCCCUGAGAUGGGAUAGGAAAUCUCUCCGCUUUCUCCCCGCCAUCAUAGGUGGCUAGUCCGGCUCGGACGGGGACCAUGAACGCCGGUGGAAGAAACCCUUGGGUCUGCAACUCUACUAAACGGCUAUAGGGAACAGAAGACUCUUCCCAAUCACCUGGCUUAGAGCUACAGGAGCGAGAAGAGGAGCUGCGGCGACCGGCCAUCUUGGAAUGGUUUUUUCCGGGCGCGAUCUGUUGGAUGCUUGCUCAAGGGAAGAAGGUGUGGUUUGGAUCUGAGGAUCCCCGUCUCUUCAAAUAGACGGUUAGCCUGCAGGGCCGGGGUGGCAAAUGUGAAAAUGCUCCGGCUCCUCGUAUUCGCUUGACACGUGGAGAUGGCCAUUAUUGAAGCACGGAAGCCGAGGAGUACAACAUUGAUGGGAAGCCGGACACUGUUUGUUACAAUAGGUACUUUGGAUUACGGAGAUGGAACCCGCCUUGCAAUGCUGAAGACAAUCUGCGCUCCGGACUCACCGUCAUUGAAGCCUGGUUCAGUGGCUACUGAGGGAGUCCUGGAUUAGGGGGUAUCCGGAUAGCCGGACUAUAUACUUUGGCCGGACUGAUGGACCAUGAAGAUACAAGACUCAAGACUUCGUCCCGUAGCCGGAUGGGACUCUCCUUUGCGUGGAGGACAAGCUUGGCGAUCCGGAUAUUAGAUCUCCUUCUUUGUAACCGACUCUAUGUAAACCCUAGCCCCCUCCGGUGUCUAUAUAAACCGGAGGGUUUAGUCCGUAGAGGAACAAUCAUAAUCAUCAUAGGCCAGCUUCUAGGGUUUAGCCUCUACGAUCUCGUGGUAGAUCAACUCCUCUAAUACUCAUAUCAUCAAGAUCAAUCAUGCAGGAAGUAGGGUUCUACCUCCAUCGUGAGGGCCCGAACCUGGGUAAAACAUCGUGUCCCCUGCCUCCUGUUACCAUUAGCCUUAGACGCACAGAUCGGGAACCCCUACCCGAGAUUCGCCGGUUUUGACACCGACAAGUUCCUCUCCUCAUCACCCACAAAACUGGUCUUUCCUGUCAAGUCAUUCCGCCAUGACCGGUAGGAGGAGUUUCGGGUGGACAUAUAACCAGGCAGCAAAGACCAAGGUCGUGGAAGCACUAGAGAGGUACCGCCGUGAAGCGGCAGCCAUGAUAACCCACAAGUAUAGGGGAUCGCAACAGUUUUCGAGGGUAGAGUAUUGAACCCAAAUUUAUUGAUUCGACACAAGGGGAGCCAAAGAAUAUUCUCAAAUAUUAGCAGUUGAGUUGUCAAUUCAACCACACCUGAAAGAUUUAAUAUCUGCAGCAAAGUAUUUAGUAGCAAAGUAGUAUGGAAGUAACGGUAACUGUGGCAAAAGUACCAGUAGCAGUUUUAUAGUAAUUGUAACAGCGGCAACGGUAAAGUAACUAAGCAAAGAUCAAUAUGUGAAAUGUUUUAGGCAUUGGAUCAGCGAUGGAUAACUAUGUCGGAUGCGAUUCCUCAUGUAGUUAUAACAUAGGGUGACAUAGAACUAGCUCCAGUUCAUCAAUGUAAUGUAGGCAUGUAUUCCGAAUAUAGUCAUACGUGCUUAUGGAAAAGAACUUGCAUGACAUCUUUUGUCCUACCCUCCCGUGGCAGCGGUGUCCUAUUGGAAACUAAGGGAUAUUAAGGCCUCCUUUUAAUAGAGUACCGGAUCAAAGCAUUAGCACUUAGUGAAUACAUGAACUCCUCAAACUACGUUCAUCACUGGGAGUGGUCCCGAUUAUUGUCACUUCGGGGUUGCAGGAUCAUAACACAUAGUAGGUGACUAUUGACUUGCAAGAUAGGAUCAAGAACUCACAUAUAUUCAUGAAAACAUAAUAGGUUCAGAUCUGAAAUCAUGGCACUCGGGCCCUAGUGACAAGCAUUAAGCAUAGCAAAGUCAUAGCAACAUCAUUCUUAGAACAUAAUGGAUACUAGGGAUCAAAACCUAACAAAACUAACUCGAUUACAUGGUAAAUCUCAUCCAAGCCAUCACCGUCCAGCAAGCCUACGAUGGAAUUACUCACGCACGAUGGUGAGCAUCAUGAAAUUGGUGAUGGAGGAUGGUUGAUGAUGAUAACGGCGACGGAUUCCCCUCUUCGGAUCUCCGAACGGACUCCAGUUCAGCCCUCCCGAGAGAGAUUAGGGCUUGGCGGUGGCUCUGUAUCGUAAAACGUGAUGAAUCCUUCUCUCUGAUUUUUUUCUCCCUGAACGUGAAUAUAUGGAGUUGGAGUUGAGGUCGGUGGAGCAUCAGGGGGCCCACGAGGUAAGGGGCACGCCCAGGGGGGUAGGCACGCCCCCACGCUCAUGGAUAGGGUGUGGGCCCCCUGGUCUUGAUUCUUUCGUCAGUAUUUUUUAUAAAUUCCAAAAGUAAUCUCCGUGAAGUUUCAGGUCAUUCCGAGAACUUUUAUUUCUGCACAAAAAUAACACCAUGGCAAUUCUGCUGAAAACAACGUCAGUCUGGGCUAGUUCCAUUCAAAUCAGGCAAGUUAUAGUCCAAAACAAGGGCAAAAGUGUUUGGAAAAGUAUAUACGAUGGAGACGUAUCAACUCCCCCAAGCUUAAACCUUUGCUUGUCCUCAAGCAAUUCAGUUGACAAACUGAAAGUGAUAAAGAAAAACUUUUACAAACUUUGUUUGCUCAUGUAGUUGUAAAUAUGUAAAGCCAGCAUUCAAAUUUUCAGCAAAAAUUACGAACUAACCACAUUCAAAAUAACAUCUAGGUCUCAUAUUUACUCCUAUCGAUGGCAUAAUCAACUAGCGAGCAAUAAUAAUAAAUCUCGGAUGACAACACUUUCUCAAAACAAUCAUAAUAUGAUAUAACUAGAUGGUAUCUCGCUAGCCCUUCCUGAGACCGCAAAACAUAAAUGCAGAGCACCUUUGAAGAUCAAGGACUGACUGGACAUUGUAAUUCAUGGUAAAAGAGAUCCAGUCAUAGUUAUACUGAAUAUAAAUUAAUAGUGAUGGAUGCAAAUGAUAGCGGUGCUCUACAAUUGGUGAUUUUUAAUAAGAGGAUGAUGACUCAAUAUAAAAGUAAAUAGAUAGGCCCUUCGCAGAGGGAAGCAGGGAUUUGUAGAGGUGCCAGAGCUCGAGUUUUGAAACAGAGAUAAAUAAUAUUUUGGGUGGCAUACUUUCAUUUCAACAUAACAACCAAGAGAUCUCGAUAUCUUCCAUGCUACACACAUUAUAGGCGGUUCCCAAACAGAAUGGUAAAGUUUACUCCCCCACCACCAACAAGCAUCAAUCCAUGGCUUACCCGAAAUAACGGAUGCCUCCAACUAACAACAAUUCUGGGGGAGUUUUGUUUGCAAUUAUUUUGGUUUGAGCAUGGGACUGGGCAUCCCGGUUACCGGCCAUUUUCUCGUGAGUAAGGAGUAGAGUCCACUCCUCGUGAGAAUAACCCACCUAGCAUGGAAUAUAUAGACAGCCCUAGUUGAUACAUGAGUUGUUCAAGCAUACAAAACAUAAUUUCAUUUGAGGGUUUAGAGUUUGGCACAUGCAAAUUUACUUGGAACGGCAGGUAAAUACCGCAUAUAGGAAGGUAUGGUGGACUCAUAUGGAAUAACUUUGGGGUUUAUGGAAGUGGAUGCACAAGCAGUAUUCCCCCUUAUUACAAGUGAAGGCUAGAAAGAGACUGGGAAGCGACCAACUAGAGAGCGACAACAGUCAUGAACAUGCAUUAAAAUUAAUCAACACUGAGUGCAAGCAUGAGUAGGAUAUAAAGCACCAUGAACAUAAAUAUCGUGGAGGCUAUGUUGAUUUUGCUUCAACUACAUGCGUGAACAUGUGCCAAGUCAAGCCACUCGAAUCGUUCAAAGGAGGAUACCACCCUAUCAUACCACAUCACAACCAUUUUAAUAGCAUGUUGGCACGCAAGGUAAACCAUUAUAAACUCCUAGCUAAUUAAGCAUGGCAUGAGCAACUAUAAUCUCUAAUUGUCAUUGCAAACAUGUUUCAUUCAUAAUAGGCUGAAUCGGGAAUGAUGAACUAAUCAUAUUUACAAAAACAAGAUAGGUCGAGUUCAUACCAGAUUCUCUCAUCUCAAUCAAACCAUCAUAUAUCGUCAUUAUUGCCUUUCACUUGCACGACCGAACAGUGUGGAUAAUAAUAAUAGUGCGCGUGCAUUGGACUAAGCUGGAAUCUGCAAGCAUUCAAUUCAAGGGAGAAGACAAGGUAAUAUGGGCUCUUGGUUAAAUCAAUAAUAAUGCAUAUGAGAGCCACUCAACAUUUUCAUCAUGGUCUUCUCCUCUCGACCCCCAAAGAAAAGAAAAGAAAUAAAACUAUUUACAUGGAAAGCUCCCAACAAGCAAAAGAAGAACGAAAAAUCUUUUUGGGUUUUCUUUUAAUUACUACUACUACAGGCAUGGAAAGUAAACUAGCUAAAAGCUAUAACUAUUUUUUUGGUUUUUCUUAAGGUUUUUCAAACACAAAAGAAGAAGGCUUAGAAAAGAAAAUAAUCUAGCAUGGAUAGUACAAUGAAAAAGUAUGAGCACCGACAACUAGAAUGAGUGUGUAAACAUGAAUGUAAUGUCGGUGAGGAAUACGUACUCCCCCAAGCUUAGGCUUUUGGCCUAAGUUGGUCUAUGGCCACUGCUGGCCUGGAGGAUAUCCAAAGUGGUAGUUGGGGUUCUACUGAGAUGCAGCAACUACUGCCUCAAGAGCUGCAGCUCUGAGACGAGCUGCCUCCGUCCUCCUCUCAUAUUCGUUCGCCUCCUCCCUAGUUAUAGCAUAUCUCCUUUUUGCCUGAAAGUCCAAGAAAGCAAGAACAGGAAGGGCAACAUGGACAGUGCGCUGUGUGUCAAAGAUUAGUCGGUAUUGGUUGGACUGUUCAUUCCUCUCAAGAAACUGAUGGCGAACCAUAGCACUAUAAUCUAGGUAAGCAGGAGGUAACUCUAUAUCAUUUUCAUGUAUGGGUACAUCAAGAUAAGUAGCUACACGAGUUGCAUAAAUUCCACCAAACAAAUCUCCACUUAUACCAUUGAGAUGCAACCUUCGUGCAACAAUGGCCCCCAAGUUAUAUUGUUUAUCACCUAAGACCGCACUCUUGAGGACACUAAGAUCUGGAACGCACAUAUGACAAGCUUCAUCUUUACCGUUAAUGCAUCUACCUAUAAAGAGAGCAUAAUGUAUGGAAGGAAAUGAAUGCUCCUAUGGUAGCUUGUGUGAUUUCUCUAGAUUUCCCCACAGUGAUACUAGCAAGAAAGUCUUUAUAUUCAGAUUAGCGAGGUUCACUAACACUGCCCCACUGCGGGAGUUUACAAGCAGUAUUAAAAUCUUCCAAGUCCAUGGUAUAUGAUUUAUCAUAAAGAUCAAAUAAAACAGUGUGAGAAUUGCAUGAGGAUGUAAAUUUAAACGUUCUCACAAAGGAAUCAGUUAGGUGGUAGUAUUGGGAGCACUUAUCUGACACGAAGUCCUCAAGAUCAGCAUUACGAACAUACGCGUCAAAUUCAUCCUUAAUGCCUACCUGGACCAUAAACUCCUCUGACGGCCAUUCACAAGACCGGACUUGAGCUUCCCUCGGUGGUUCAUAGUCCGGCUCACGUAUCGCGAGCCUUGGUCCUUGCUUUCUCAAGGAACCACCUUGGUAUGUUUUCCUAUGCAUUUUUCUUUCUCUGAAAAAUUCUGAAAUUUUAGUGAAUCAAAAUAAAAGUGAAGCAAACUCAACAAAAUUGAUAGCAACUAUUCCCACAAGUGCCUAAAGACUAUAUCAUGCAUUAAAACUACUUUGGGCCAUAUAAAUUUGACAUGCAAGCUCAAGAACAGGGUCACCUUAGCAGCAAAAAUUUGCAAUGAAUAAAGCACUAGAACAAAAACUAAUUGGACCAUUGGAGGAGUCACAUACCAAAGAACAAUCCCCCAAAAUAGUUUUGUGAAUGAAGCUUUGAGCAAGGAGAUCGAAAAUCGCAGCAAAACGAGCUAGGACACGAGUUUGAGCUGUGAGGGGAUUUUUUCUGGAGGAAGACGAAGUGUCUAGGUGCUGGAAUAAGUGGACGCAGGCCACAUGGGGCCCAUGAGGCAGGGGGCGCGCCCCAGGGGGGUGGGCGCGCCUUGGACCCCCGUGGCCAGGUGGUUGCUGAUACGUCUCCAACGUAUCUAUAAUUUUUUAUUGUUCCAUGCUAUUAUAUUACCCCUUUUGGAUGUUCAUGGGCUUUAUUUUACACUUCUAUAUCAUUUUUGGGACUAACCUACUAACCGGAGGCCCAGCCCAUAUUGAUGUUUUUUGCCAAUUUCAGUAUUUCGAAGAAAAGGAAUAUCAAACGGAGUCCAAACGGAAUGAAACCUUCGGGAACAUUAUUUUUGGAACAAAUCUUAUCCGGAGAGCCUGGAGUGCAAGUCAAGAAAGCUUCGAGGGCCCCACGACAUAGGAGGGCACCCCUCCCCCCUGUAGGGCGGGCCCCCCUAUCUCGUGGGCGCCUCGGGCGUCCACCGACGUACUUCUUCCUCCUAUAUAUGUCUACGUACCCCGAAAACAUCCAGGAGCACCACGAAACACAACUUCCACCGCCGUAACCUUCUGUAUCCGCGAGAUCCCAUCUUGGAGCCCUUACCGGCACUCUGCCGGAGGGGGAAGCAACCAUGGAGGGCCUCUACAUCAACAUCCUUGCCCCUCCGAUGAGUUGUGAGUAGUUUACCAUAGACCUACAGGUCCAUAGUUAUUAGCUAGAUGGCUUCUUCUCUCUUUUUGGAUCUCAAUACAAUGUUCUCCCCCUCUCUUGUGGAGAUCUAUUCGAUGUAAUCUCUUUUUGCGGUGUGUUUGUCGAGAUCCGAUGAAUUGUGGGUUUAUGAUCAAGUUUAUCUAUGAAUAAUAUUUGAAUCUUCUCUGAAUUCUUUUGUGUAUGAUUGAGUUAUCUUUGCAAGUCUCUUCGAAUUAUCAGUUUGGUUUGGCCUACUUGAUUGAUCUUUCUUGCCAUGGGAGAAGUGCUUAGCUUUGGGUUCAAUCUUGCGGUGUUCUUACCCAGUGACAGAAAGGGUUGCAAGACACGUAUUGUAUUGUUUCCAUCGAGGAUAACAAGAUGGGGUUUAUAUCAUAUUGCAUGUGUUUAUCCCACUACAUCAUGUCAUCUUGCUUAAUGCGUUGCUCUGUUCUUAAUGCGUUGAUUUUUCCCAAGACAACGCAGCCGAGAUGAGAAAUAUUCAAAAUAAGUUGGGGAAAGCCAGCAACAAAAGCCCGAGAAAAACUGAAAUGACGAAGAAAAUAUGGCGAAUAAAUUAGAGUUCCAACAUAAUUAUACAUAGACUCAUACAUGAAAGAUAAACCACAUGCCAGGUUCGACUACUCUCAUACAGGAAACAAAACAUCAUGACUCGUACGACUACAUCCGUACAGCAUCCUGACGACUGCGAAUACUCAGAAACUCUACUGAUCUGCUGGUGCUGCGGGGUCCUCUCCUGAAGCGAACUCGGAUCCUGAACUGACGAGGUUAACUAAGACCUCCGGGUUAAAGGUAACACGAUGACGCUGCCUCGAGGGCUCUCCCUCAGGGCAGGUGUAGGGUGAAGCAUCGGGGCAAUAGGAGUAGUGAGAAGUGAAACCCACUCAGCAGGAGCACUGAGGGGAUUCACGGUCGAGGCGCCUGAGCUACUCGGGGGAGUAACCGGUGAAACAGGGGAACUAGAACUGGCUGGAAUAUAAGGAGUAAAUCCCAUAUAUGCUGGAGCAGUGACAGAUCUAAUAGAGGCUAAAGCAGUACGAGCACGAGUCAGCUCUUGAGCCAGCUCGUGGAACAUAAGAUAGCUAGCAGUGAUAUAACGAGAAAGGUGGCUAACAACACUAUCAGACUCCGGAUCAAUGAUAGGGAAACGGACACGGCCAUUGUCGUGUAGAGAAGGAUAGUAGUAGAAACCUGGGUGGUUCUGCAUCCAGACCUCGUUGUAACGAAGCUCGACAAGGACCUCGGAUGCAGCAAACUGGACAGCCUGAGAAGCGGUAGAAGCGUAAACAUUCUGAGAGGUACGAGUGUAAGUGCUGGAAUCGGAACUGGUGCACAGAGUAAUCACUAUGUGAUACUCAUACACUGAGUCUGCUAGACGCUCCCGGUACACACGAUAGGCUGGGUCAUCACCGAGAGGAUACAACCGACACCACACGUUACGAAGGAGAUGCGGCGACGUGUACGACAUCAGCUGCAACUGGCACGGAUACGGUACUGGAGCCAUCUACACUCACAACCAUUAGUAGGUUAGCAAUAAAACAAGUGCAUGCAAUGCAACAACCAGCUACAAAUGCUACCGGCAGUCAACUAAAACUCAUAUCUAACGUCCAGUUAACACGUUGUAGUCUAGCAUCGCCUACAGUCAGCACGGCUCUGAUACCAAGCGUUGUGGCACCCCAGCUCAGAGCAACAGGUUUACCAUGCAUUGCCAGCCCAGAGACCAUGUCUUCUGGCAACACACAACAUCUUGGUACAGAAAACAAUCGCUUUAUUGAUGCUAGCGGAUCAAAUUUUAUAUUACAAUAGGUGGCGAGGCCAAGCGGCACACUUGGUGCGGCUGAACAAUAUGUACAUUAUUUAGUGAACAUAAAGGGGCCUCGAUCAUAACAACUACGCGGCAGCGGAGCAACAUCGUAGCAGAAACUCCAUACCACAGGGACACCACGACGUGGACACGAUCUAGACUCGGACAACACUCCUUUCCCACGAGACUUUCCUAAAAUCUGGCAUACACUACAAAAAAAUACACAUCCGUGACAUUUUGGGCCGAACGAAAUUUUUUUCUGUCAUACAUAUGACACUUCUAUGACGAUAAUUGUGACAAAACCCGGUAUUAUCAUAGAUGUGGUGGGCUCCUACUUCUAUGACAAAAAAUCAUGACAGAAAAUGGGCUUUUCGUCCUAGGCGGGCCGGAGACGUAACUGCAUGACAUUCUUUGGGCCGUCCAUGACGGGAAAAACCGUGGUAGAAGCAAGGGGGAGGAAAAUUUCGUGGAGUUGCCGGUUACGGUGGGAGGUCGGGGGCCGAGCGAUGCGCGUUUCUCUCGUACACGUACGCGCGUGUGUGCGAGGCGUUGGCUCUAAUUGAACCCGAGCGAGGCGUUGGGCUCUAACUGAACCCGAGCGACUGCACUGCAGGCUACGCGUUACUGAACCCGAGCGUUCGAUCGAUGGAUAUUAACUGAACCCAAUGGAGCGAUUCCUUUGCUACUGCUGCUAACUGAAGCCGAUCGAUUGGAUGAACAGUGAGCGUUGCCGGGGGGGUUGGAUGAACAGUGAGUGAUGGCGUUGCCUCUGGAUGAACAGGACCCCGUGGUGUGGAGGGCUGGAUGAAUAGUAGACGGUGGAGGGGUGGCCGUGGAGGGGUGGUUGAACAGAACCCCAUGGUGUGGAGGGCUGGAUGAACAGUAGACGGUUGAGGGGUGCCCGUGGAGGGGUGGUUGAACAGUAGCCGGUGGAGUAGCACGCGGUGGAGGCUGGAUGAACAGGAGCCCGUGGAGGCUGGAGGAGGUCGACGGUAGCCCGUGGAGGCUGGAGGAGGUCGACGGUGGAGAUGAACAGUAUCCCGUGGAGUCCCGUUUUGCGGUACGCCACACCCCUCCUGAUGAACAGGACCCCUGUUCGACCGUAGCACUCCAACACAAGUCCGUUUCGUCCGUUUUGCGGUACGCCACAUCCCUCCCGAUCAACAGGACCCCUGUUUCGACCGUAGGAGGUCCGUUUCGUCCGUUUUGCGGUACGCCACACCCCUCCCGAUUAACAGGACCACCGUUUCGACCGUAGGAGGUUCGUUUCCUCCGUUUUGCGGUAUGCCACACCCCUCCCGAUCAACAGGACCCCGUUCCGAACAUAGGAGGUCCGUUUCCUACGUUGUGCGGUACGCCAGGCCUCGUUUCCAUCGCCUGUUCCGUCCAAGCCCUCCCAAUGAACACGACCACGCAUUCCGUUCCGACCCAGCCGGUUGGUACCCAUGAACACGACGACAACGCUGUUUCUCCGUUCCGACCCAGCCAUGUAUGUAUGCGCGAGUAGGCGUUCGAGACCCUGCCCGUAUGUACGUAUGUGGCCAUAUUUUCUUUCUUGCACCCUCGCCGUUGUACGUACGUGUACAUGCUACGUGCGUGCCUCUACUACGACAUGUGCGCGCCUCUACUACGACACGUGCGUGCCUCUACAUCGACCAGUAUGUACGUACACGUUCAAGACCAGAAUGACAAUGCUACGUACGCUUCGACCAGGUGGGUCCCGACUAUUAGGCACUUUCGUGCCUGCAAAGAUGUGGCUGGUGGGUCCCAGCAGUCUGGGGGGCGAAUCAUUUUUUUUGCCCAGACGCACUUCCUUGCGUCCGAAGAUGUAGCUGGUGGGUCCCAGCAGUCAGGGGGGCGAAACAUUUUUCUUCGGACGUACUUCCUUGCAUGCGAAGGUGUAGUUGGUGGGUCCCAGCAGUCAGGGGGAAACAUUUUUUUCGCGAAAUACGGUGGCCCGUCCGGUGGGUCCCAGCUGUCAGGUGGAGGAAUGAUUAUUUUGCAUGUGAUAAGGAGGCUCUUCCUUGCAGUCGUCGUGGACCCAGCUGUCAGCCUCUCCACGCAGAGUACUCUUCCGAUGGAAGUCGGUCGUUGACCACAUUGACCAUGCCGCGCCGAGAGCACCAUGGCGGUGGACGAUGGCGAGGCCUAGGAAGGGGACGACGCGGAGCCGGGGAAGAUACAACAGUGGAUGCCCACGCGAAGAGGAGUACGAGGGUGAGGCUGCCGUCGCUGCAGAAUAAUAGGGGGUGUGGGUGAGUAGAGGGAUGGCCUGGCCAGCGGUGGGAGUAGUAGGGGCGGUGAGGCCUCCGCGGCAUCAUAGCCGGCCACGGGAGGCAGGAACACGCGGCACGACCGGCGCUGCUUUGGGCGGCUGGAGCACGAAGACCAAAGGUUGAAGAAGCACUACGGUCGUUGGAUGGACAUCGUACGGUCACUGGAGCUAGAGUCGUUCAUAUUGACUAAGUUGACAAAAGCCCUCCAUCCCCGUAAACUUAGUAGGCCCACAAGUCAGCCUCCCACCAAGGUGAGUCCCAGCUAGCGGGGGGAGUAUUCAUUUUUUUGUGCGUAAUAAGGAGGCAUUUCCAGUGGGUCCGAGCUGACAGCGGGGGGAACAUUUUUUUCGCGAAAUACAGAGACCCUUCCGGUGGUCCCAGCUAUCAGGUGGAGGAAUCAUUAUUUUGCAUGUAAUAAGGAGGCAUUUUCCUGUGUGGGCCCCUACUGUCAGCCUCUUCCGAUGGCUGUUGUUUGUUGACCAUGUUGACCUUGCCGCGCCGAGAGCACCAACGCGGUGGACGAGGGCGAGGCCCAGGAAGAGAACCACCCGAAGUCGGCGAAGCCACCACAGCGGAUGCCCACGCUGAGGGGAGAAUGAGCGCUGACUGGUCGGCUGCGGGGUGAGGCUGACGUCGCCGGAAAAUGACAGGAUGUGUGGGUGGUUAGAGGGAUGGCCUGGCGGCAGCACAGCCAGCAACGGGAGGAGGGAGUAGGCAGUCCCGCCGGCGCUGGUUUGGGCGGCUAGAGCAGGAAGAUCAAAGAUUGAAGAAGCACGGCGGCCGUUGGAUGGACAUCCAACAGUCACUGCUGUGUGUUGACUAAGUUGACAAAGCCUUGCAUACGCGUCAAAAAAAAUUUAGGACAGCGUCAUCGUCAACCUAGUAGGCCCAGAAGUCAGCCUCCAAAUCUGUGGAAAACAGCAUACAGCCCAUUAGCCAUUAUUUUCAAUAAUUUAUAGCCCAUUUGCUAAUUCUUAAGGAUAUUUGAAGCCCAUAUUCUUUCUAUUAGCAUUACAGACCAUAUAUUCUGGGCACUGCUAAAAAAUUCAACGAAAUUUUGCAUAUUUUGGUUGGGUCCGAACUCUUUUAAUCACGAAAUUUCAAGUCACGUUAAAAAUAGUUUUCAAAAAAUUAUAUCAAAAUAAAAUUCAAAAAACAAUUCUCCGCAAAAAAAUGAAUGAAAUUUAGAAUCUUAACUAGCAAGAUGCCCGUUCGUUGCACGGAACAUGAAGAUGCAUUUGUAUGAGUAGUUUAUCUUGUGGGAGAAAAGAUGAUAUUUUAAUGUAAUUGCCAGUUGGCUUUGGUUUUUAUAAGAGUAGAGAGUAGAGAAAUCCUGAAAAAAUGAUAUUUUAAUGCAAUUGCCGGUUGGCUUUGGAUUAAAAAUUUACAGCCCAUUUCUUACAGCUUAUAGCCCGUUUUCUGGGGAAGCCCAUUUCUUAUCCCUCCUCGUCUUGAAAGAUUUGCAGCCCAGCAGGGCUGAGAAAAGCAAGUAGGCCUCGGUUUUGGUAUUCUCCAAAAAAAAAGAACUGGGCUAGCCAAUUUCAGAAAGAAAAAAUAUAUCAGCUGGGCUCAUCAUGUGCUUAAUAAAAGUGUAAGCGUGGGCUAGACGGGCCACAGCCCCCGCACAGCGCGCAGUUGAGCUCCGUCUCUGAAACUAAAAAACAACUGGGCGAGCUGCUGGGUCCCUGGUGUUAUCCGCUUGUUGUGUAAUUUUCUCGUUUAUUGACUACAUUGACAAUGGUGUGGAACCUAGUUGUCAAACAAUUAGGAGGAAGUAUUUUUUUUGGCUUGUAAUAACGAGACACCUGCUUGCGAAAUGCAAUGAGCCUGGUGGGUCCCUACUGUCAGCCUCUCGACGUACAGUCAUCUCCUGAUUCCUCUUGGUUGUUGACGAUGUUGACAACGCCAGACGGCGGCAGGCACAGCGAGCUAAGCAAGGCGAAGAACGACGGCAAGGCCUCGGACAGGAACGAACAGCAGCCAUGGAAGAUGCGGCAGUGUAGUGGCAGGUGGAGGGGAGUACGAGGGCAACAACAUGCAAGUCAAGCAUACAAAUGGUACGAAAAGCCCGAGGAUUAAUUGUUCAUCAAAUUUUUAGACAAAACCCAGAUUGAACAUGAUAGUAACAUCUAACCCAACCACUCUUUUUUGCAGUCACAAACAAAUGGAUUGGUCUGAUCCAUAAAAUCAACAUCCUGUGCAAAAAAAAUUAUUACAGGAUGUCUACAACUUAUUGUAAAUAUAAGCCGAGCACGUUUAGAAGCCCAUUUGUCCACCUGAAACUUCUUUUUUUGCUGUUCAACAUGUUCAUCUGUGAGAAAUCUCUUGCUGUAAAAAUUAAGCCUCAUGGACAAUAGUAACCUCGCGUUCAACAGGAAGAAUGUGACAAAGCUUCUGUUUGCCUGGUUGGAUGCAUAUCGUCCCAUCAUUAUUGUCCUCAAACAAAUGUCAUGAGAACUGAGAAAAUCCUUGUGCUUGUUACGCCAACAAUUGGUUAUAUGUUUUUCUCCAUGUGGUUCUCCCUAAGUAGACAUGAAGAUUGAAAACAGUUAAGGUCUAAAAAAAGAGUAUGUCGAAAGAACGACAACUGAAUAGUUAAUUCUAGUAUAAUAUAUACGGGCUUUCAAUGUGCAUGAAAUCAUCACCUCUAUGUAUAAAUUCUCCAGAGAUCGAAAGCAUCGCAGCAAGCCAAUAAUUAUGUCCAGAUCAAAACUAUACAUACUGAUAUAUAUGAUCUUGACAGAAUCCAACAGCAUUAAUAGGCUAUCAAUGGACGAACUCUUCAUUGAGCAUAUAACAUAAUAUUAGUACCCAAAGUGUACUCAAGAUGAUUAAAACUUAUGUGCACAAAUGAAAAAUGCAGCAUUUGAUUACAAAUGUGUAGAUGAUCAUAUACGGUACCUGAAAAAGUGAGGAGCCAAACACCAACUCCUUGUGAUUAUUCAACGGGUCACGAAUUACACCCAAGGUCUCCAGUUUGGGCGCAGAGACGACAAUUAUUUCUGAAGAUGUAUAACAAUUAUGAAGGAGCAACCUUUCAAGUGAAGGGGCAUCUUCGAUGAUGAGCUGCUAUCCUUUAAAACAAAUUCCAAUGCUUUUAAGGUGAGGCGACUUUAUUUGGAGACAACUGAUACCGAUUUCUAUUCCCAAAACAAUCAGCAAGCGCUCCAGGGCAGGGCAACUGGAGUGGAUGAUGCUGUGCAGUGAGGCCUCCGACAGAUAAACCACCACAAGCGAAAGUUUUUUUAGCAGUGGGAGUCGAAUCAUUUGUACCAGAUCGUAUGGUAGAUGGCACCGGGCAAAGGUGGCAGUGUGGAGAGAGGAGGAAAACCGCGAGAUGGACAACGGUGGUGUAGGAACGUAUUUUUGGUAUGUUCGUGGCAUGAAACUUUCGUGGUAAUGGUAGAACUCAAACUGCUGGAGUUUUUUGAAUUCAGGGGAUGUCAGCCAAGCAUCCACCUUGCCGGGUAUGGACAGCAGGUAGCUUGUCGGGAUGCAGAGGCAUUGAACGAGGCCCUGCUGGCGAGAAGAGACGAUGGCUCUGAUGAGAUCAAAUUCAGGAAGGACAGAUAUCUGACGACAGUCUAGAUUGAGGGGCGCGGUGCCCCAUAGAGGGCGCCAACGAGUUGAGAGGACUUGUGUGCGGCAGCAAUCCUUGGUGGGGAGAAGCGAGAUGAUCUCCUCAAGGAUAACGCCCGGGAGAACGCUGAUGCGGUCCACCGAAGAUUCUACCGGUUCCUCAGAUCCGGGUGGGGGGGCUCGCCGUUUCUCCCUGUGCUACCGGGUGUGGGAUCUACAACCGGCAUCGCCGCUGGCGGGAGCCUCAUCUUCUUGGCGCUAGGGCCAGCCGACUCCAUUUUCCUUGUGGGCGUCGCACCGAGCUCACGGGUUUGAGCAGAGUAGCCAGAGACGAGCCUAGUGGCAGUGCGAGUGGGGAAGAAGGAGGGCUGGGGAUUUCUGUAGGAGUGGAAGAAGAGGAGCAGGUGUUUUCUAUACGAGUGAGGAAGAAGGUGAGCGGGGUUUUCUGGACGAGUGAGGAAGAUUGGGGAGCAGGGAGAAUUGGGUGGGGAGACGGAAGCGGGAGAGCGAGCUCUUCAUGUUUAUAAGGCCCGCUGCACUAACUACUCGCUUUUUCCCAAGAACCGCUCUCUUCUUUUGCGUUGGUGCAUGACUGGCCAUGCAUGCAGGAUGCAUGUGCCCGCCAGCCACUGCAUGCGCCUGGUUUGUUACUAGGCCUAUUUAAUAGGGUGGUUAUGGAGUAAAUUAAGGAGAUUUAUUUUCUCUGUGUGCAUCCACCAAAUUAGAGGAUGCGGUACUGGAUGCAGACACUCACAUUAAACUAACAUUCAGAAGAACAAAAGUUCAGCAUGUCUAUGCAUCUCAAUGAUUCACCAUACUAUAACCAAUAUACAAAGCUGUGAGAAGGUGUGGAAUAAAGAAAAUUGUCAAUGCUUCUCUGAGCAAAGGGCCUCCCUGCGCAUGCAUUAAUUUCCUAGGCAUGCUUGUUUCUUCUCAAUGUCGCGAGCACUUUGAGUAUGUUGGCAACUCCACAGCUAGCUAGCUGCCUCAUCUUGCAAUUGAUGCUGACACAUUUGCAGCAAACACAUGAGGCAAUAGAGAUGACUCAACAUGGGUCCAUAUUGUGCAGUUCCCCUGAUAUCAUAUUCAUUGUCCUGAAUCUGAAAAGAUAGGAAAACAGUAGCUAUAAUUAAAUGGUGUUGCAAAAUAGUAGCACAUAUCAAUAGCUCGGCGUGACAAAACACGAUCAUCUGGACUAAGGGGAUACUGACCUGCCUGAGGAAGAUUACAUAUAAUUUCAUAAGUCCUUGGUUGAUUUCCAACUUCGGCUGCACUGCUUGUUUGCUCCUCCACACAUGACAGGAUCGUUCCGCACUGCAUUCAGCAAGUCAACGUACGAAUAAGCUAAUUUCAUCUUGCGGUGGUCAUUGUACCUAGUUACGAAUGUAGGAAUACCUGGAGCACCAUGAGGUUAGCUGACAUCAGGUAGAUGCAGCCAUAUAAAUUUUGUGCGGUGCUACCAAAAUUGAUGUUUGUAUUCCUUCCCGUUAUGAGAAUUCUUCUUGAAGUUGGUAGAAUGUGACGGCUUGUUCUUUGCAUCAAACUUGCCUUUCCCCUGAGAUUUGUUCUUGUUGUUUUUGGGCUGGUUGGGCUGGAAGGUCUUCUCGUGUACCAUGUGGGCACUAGAAGCUCCUUCGGCAACCCGAGCACGUGUGUCUUUUGCUCUCGCCUUCUCCUCAAAAUCAAGAGUGCUAAUGAGAUACAAAACAGAAAACUCAUGUCUCUUGCUUUUCACAUAAGUAGCAAAAUCGUUCCACGAAGGUGGAAGCUUGGCAAUGAUGGUCCCAGCAACAAAUUUGUCCGGCAACACACACUUAAAGUACUCAAGUUCCUUAGAGAGUGCUUGUAUCUCAUGAGUCUGCUGAACAACAGAGCGCUCAUCAGUCAUCUUGUAGUCACAGAAUUGCUCCAUGACGUACAACUCAUUGCCAGCGCCCGAGGGCCCAAACGUGGCCUCGAGCGCAGCCCACAUGUCUUUGCCGCUGUCAAACGACAUAUAUGAAUCCACAAUGGAAUCGUCAAGAACACUCAGUAGGGCGGCUUUGAAGAGGUGAAAGUGCAACUAAUCCCCGGGUGGUUUUGGUAAUUAAUAACAACAUAUAUAUCAUUGAACUAAUAGUUACUUGAGAAUCAUUUCAGAAAGUUCAGUGAUAUGGGUAUGGCAAGGACUGAAGAAGUGGACCCCUCAAAAUGCUAAGGCAAGCAUUGGCAAAAGCUCAAGACUCCAUUUUUGGUUUAGUGAUCCAAGAUCACAUUGAGUCCAUAGGAAAAGCCAAUACUAUUAAAAGGGGAUGAGGUUAUGAUGAUGAUCUGGUUGCUCAAGUGCUUAGUGAUACAUCUCCUAAACUAUCAGCAAUUUUCACUGCUAUAUACACUCAUAAGUAGUCUCGGUCCCACCGAUAUUCCAAACUCAGUCACACCGAGAUGAACCACCUCAGCCAUAAGCCAAACCCAAGAAAACUCGGAUUUUCCGAUUCUGAACUCGGUCUCACCGAAACAUGAGUUGCCAAGCUUCUGUAACCUUCUGUCAUCAAAUCGGUGUCACCGAGAUGAUGAAGUCGGUCCCACCAAAACUGGCAUGCUCUUGUCAUUGCACGAAUCGGACUAACCGAGAUUGUAUUUUCGGUCCCACCGAAAAUCCCAACGUUCACAUUAUUUGAACUAUCGGUCUCACCGAGUUGUCCACUUCGGUCCCACCGAGAUUGCUCAAAUGUGUGUAACGGUUGGAUUUUGUGUGGAGGCUAUUUAUACCCCUCCACCCCCUCUUCAUUCGUGGAGAGAGCCAUCAGAAAGAACUACCACUCCUAUCUUAUAUUUCUGAGAAGAGAACUACCUACCCUUGUGUUGAGAUCAAGUUGCUCCACUCCCACCAUAUGAAGCUUGAUCUCUAGCCUUCCCAAGUUGCUUUCCACUCAAUCCUUUCUUCCACCACAGCCAUAUCAGUGAGGAGAGUUGAGUGUUGGGGAGAUUAUCAUUUGAAGCACAAGAGAAAGGAGUUCAUCAUCAUCUACAACAUCUAUUACCUUUUGGAGGGUGGUGCCUCCUAGAUUGGUUAGGUGUCGCUUGGGAGCCUCCGUCAUCGAGAUGUGGAGUUGAACCAAGAAGUUUGUAAGGGCAAGGAGAUCGCCUACUUCGUGAAGAUCUACCCCGAGUAAGGCUAGCCCUCCGUGGGCGUAGGCCAUGAUGGAAUAGACAAGGUUGCUUCUUCGUGGACCCUUCGUGGGUGGAGCCCUCCGUGGACUCGCGCAGCCGUUACCCUCCGUGGGUUGAAGUCUCCAUCAACGUGGAAGUACGAUAGCACCACCUAUCGGAACCACGAGAAAAAUCACCGCGUCUCCAAAAUUGCGUUUGCUCUUCUCCACCUCUCUUUACUACAUGUGCAAUUUACUUUCCGCUGCCUAUACUCUAGAAUUGCAUGUGUAGGGUGAUGCUUGACUUGAUCAUAAGUGUGAAUCUGCCAAAAACUGUUCUUUAUCAAAAGGCAGAAUUUUUAUAUUGUCAAGUAGUCUAAUCACCCCCCCUCUAGACAUACUUUCGAUCCUACAAGUGGUAUCAGAGCUUUGGUCUCCGUUGUAUUGGUUUCCAUUGCAUUGGACUCCAUAAGCUUGGUUUCACAACCUAGGAGAGUAUGGCGUCUAGUGAGGGUAAUUUUCGUAGAGGUCCUUACUUUGAUGGUACAAAUUUUGCUAGUUGGAAGCAUAAAAUGAAAAUGCAUAUUCUUGGUCAUAAUCCAGCCGCAUGGGGCAUUAUUUGUGUUGGUAUGCAAGGUGAAUUCUUCGAGGAAGGAAAAGUUCCAGAUCGCGAAGCUACAACUGAAGAAUUGCGGAUGUUGCAAAACAAUGCUCAAGCUUGUGACAUUCUCUUCAAUGCCUUGUGUCCCGAGGAGUUCAACAAAAUCAGCCGUCUUGAGAAUGCAAAAGAGAUUUGGGAUACUUUGGUUGAAAUGCACAAAGGUACCGAGUCCGUGAAGGAAUAAAAGCUAGAUAUUCUUCAAGGUCAACUUGACAAGUUCAAGAUGAAGGAUGGUGAAGGAGUCGCUGAAAUGUACUCUAGGCUUGCUCUCAUCACAAAUGAGAUUGCCGGCUUAGGAAGCGAAGAAAUGACCGACCGAUUCAUCAUCAAAAAGAUUCUCAGAGCUUUGGAUGGAAAGUAUGACACCGUGUGCACUUUGAUCCAAAUGAUGCCAAACUACAAGAAUCUCAAGCCAACCGAAGUCAUUGGAAGAAUUGUUGCUCAUGAGAUGACACUUAAGGAUAAGGAAGAGCUUCACAACAAGUUAAGUGGUGCUUACAAAGCUACAAGUGAUGCUCCCACAACCUCAAGUGACAAGUUAGUUUCCAAUGAAGAGAUAAGCCUAAUGGUCAAGAACUUCAACAAAUUCUACAAGAAUAGAGGCAAAGAGAGAAGCUCAAAGUCUAGAUCAUAUGAUGAAAAGAGAUCUUCUAGUCGUGAUCGAAACUGCUACAAUUGUGGAAGACCCGGACACUACUCAAAUGAGUGUACGGCUCCCCACAAGAGAAGAGAAGAAUCUCCAAGAAGAAGAAGCUCAAGAGAUGAGUCACCUCGGAAAGAGAGAAGGAGCAGAGAUGAUCGUUAUGAACGAAGACUCUCUCGGAGAAGCAAGGAUUCGGAGAGGAAAGACAAGUCAUCAAGGAGCUACACAAGAAGAAAACAUCAAGCUCAUGUAGGUGAAUGGGUCUCCGGCUCCGACUCCGACAAUCAAUCCGAAGGAAGCUAUCACUCCGACUCCGACUACAGUCAAGAUGAAGGUGUUGCCGGUCUUGCUCUCGUAUCCUCCAACUCCAACUCCUACGACUUAUUUGAUUCACCAAAUGAGGGAAUUGGAAGAUGCUUCAUGGCUAAAGGCCCCAAGGUAUCACACCCUGAAUUCAUUGACUUCAAUAGUGAUGAGGAUGACUUGCUUGGUGAAGAUGAGCUCUUGCUUGAUAAAUCCAGUGAGCCUAGUAAUGAUGAACAUGCUAAUAGUCUUUAUAGUCGAGAAGAGUCGAAUGACAAUGCUAUGAAGGAGAUUGAGCGUCUAACUAAAGAACUAAACACUCUUAAGUUAGCUCAUGAAACAACUCAAGAAGAUCAUAGAGAGCUCCUAAGAUCUCAUGAGAAGCUACGCUUCGAGAAGCUCACUCUAGAGCAAGAACAUGAGUUUCUAAAAGCAAUCAAUGACGAUCUUCGAAAGAAGAGUUCUUCAUAUCUUGCCAAACGACUUCUCUUGUCUAAUUUCUUGCCACCCAUUAAGACUAAGCAUGACAAGCAUAAGAAAAAUUCUUCCUCUAGCAGUAACAAUAACCAUGCUAAAUCCAAUGUUGUUGCUUCUAGUAGUUCUCUUGAUUCCACUAACAAUGUUUCAAGCCAAGUUACACUUGAGCAAGAAAAUAGUUUAUUGAAAGGGAUUAUAGAGAAAGGUGUCUACAAGAGCCUUGCCGGAAGCAAGAACUUUGAGGAAAUUGUUCGCAAGCAAGGAAGGCACCGGAAGAAUCAAGGAAUUGGUUUUGAGCAAAAGUUCAAUGCCGAAGGCGUUGAGUGGGAAGAAGGUCAAUAUCCUACUCCAUAGUUUGUUCCUCAAAAGGAGAAGUACGAUCCUACUUCUUCCAAUGCGGAACAAGCUCAAGAUGACCUUCCACCACAAGACCACAAGCUAAAAGGCAAGGACAAGCUUCAAGAGGAGAUUGAUGCAUUUGUUGAAGCACCUCAAGCCAUGGUCAAGUGGGUUCCCAAGGAAACGUCAAGUUCUACUUCGUCAAGCUCAACUACAACCCCAAGGAUUCCCAUCAAGAUGAUGUGGAUCCCGAAGAAGAAGAACUAGAAAGUUCUUGAGGGUGACUCCGCCAACAUACUUCACUCACAUUCAUUUUGGAAAAAACUUGUGCAAUCAACUUCCACAUCGUGCACUAGUUCAUGGAGUCACAAACCCUCUUGUUGGUAUGUCAAGGGACAAGGUAAUCAUUGCUUUCAUGGACAUCAUAUGUCGUGAACUUCAAUCUAUGUCCAUGGAUAUCCUUGUUUGUUCCUUGUGGGACUAACCCAUGUAGGUAUUGAAAGUGCCCGAAUCCAAAGGAUAGCUCCCAACACUUGAUGAUCUCCAUCAACAUUGAGCAUCUACAUCUUCAACAUCUACAUGAAGUCUUCUACGACAACCCAAGGUUAGUUUGACCCUUUAAAAGGGGUUCUCACAUCUAGGGGGAGCUUUGCUCUAAAAAUUGAGCUAAAGCAUCUUCAAAUGAUGUGAACACAUCAAUGCUUUAUGUAAAAGUGGUAACCCCACUUGUGCUUAAACGAUGAGUAUGACCUAUGAUCAAAUGUUCUCAUUUGGCUCCUAAGUCAAUAUACUCAUAUAAAGAUGACCUAGUCAUCGACAAAUUGUGUGUUAGUAGCUAGAGUUUUGGUUGUGCAUGUUUGACACAUAUUUCAUUUGCUAUCUUAUUGUGUGAGCAUGUUGGAUGCAUGAUUUCAUCCAUUCGAGGACAUCCAUUUGUUGUUUUGGUCGUUUUGAUUUUUCUGACCAAAUGGAUGGACAAGAAUGCCUAAGUACCUCCCCUAGCUAUCUAUGUUUUCUUGUCUCAAAUUCUAUUCAUGCUUACAUCACAAACUUUGAACAAGUCAUUUUCGGACCCUCCGGGUGAGGAGCACUCGGAGCCACCGAUCCGUCAAGGGCUAACUUCCAAAACCUUCUAAUUGAUUUCGGUCAGACCAACUCACUCAAACUCGGUCGAACCGAAAGCAUUUAGACUGAUCUAGGUUUUCACCUCGGUGAAACCGAGUUGUGAUUUUCGGCGUGACCGAAGUGCAUAACUGCCUAGCAGUUAUCCAUCUCGGUGCCACCAAGUUUUACAACUCGGUCCCACCGACAGCGAAGGGGUAUAUACUCCGAGGGCCGCGCGCGUUGAUUCCUCCUUCAAACGUUUCGCCCCCACACCCCUUGCUGCCGUCGCCUUGGUCUCCGGAUCGUCACCGUCGUCGCCUGUGCGCCCUCGCCGCAGGUCUCCGUCGCCGUCAACGGACAUCUCCUCCGCGCCGUUGCCGCCGUAGAAAAACUCCACCAAGUUAGGGUGAGUUUUGAUCCCACUCGUGCUCCCAUCUCCGAUUCAAUGCACGUUUGGAUUGCCUAGUAUCUUGCCACGAUUGAAAUCCUCCUGUACACCAGAUUAGUUCGUUUGGACUAGAUUCGAGUAAAAGUUUUAGGGUUAGGUUUCCGCCGAACACAUCUCGGUGAGACCGAUUUUAUAAUUUCGGUAUGACCGAUUUGGCCUAUGGCCAUUGCACUGCACCUUUUGGUCCAACCGAGUUGUGCAAAAUCGGUGUGACCGAAGUGAAGAUUCUGUGAAACCCUAGUGUUUUCGGCAGGACCGAAACCCACUUCGGUCAAACCGAAAGUGGUGUGCCAAGCUCCUGUUUAACACUUCGGAUUCACCGAACCUUAAACUCGGUCUGACCGAAAUGUCUUCUGUGAAAACGUAAUACUAGAAUUUGAACUCAUUUUUUUUGCAAAAACUUCUGCAGUUUGUGAUAACUCUUCUUCUCUGCCUACACCUUAUCUAUUCACAGGUUGUCAGCCAUGUCAGAUGCCAGUGACAGUCAGAACAGCUCAAAAACACCCAUUGCAGACAUUCCAGAGGCGGGCACUAGUCCUGAUCCUAGCAUCUCAUCAGAUGAUGGUGAGAGGAGUACACCAAGUGGAUUGCCUCCUGCAGCCACCAGAGCUAGAAAGAAGAGGAAUUCAGAUGAUGAGGAUUCAGAUUUUGUUGUUGAGGAAGAGGUAACCUCAAAGCCCAAAAGGAAGGUUGUUGCCAAAGAGCCACAGGGUCAACAAACUAAGAAGGGCACCAGCAAAGUCAAGCAGUCAACUGUUGCUAAGAAGCUGAAUUUGGGAGAGGCAGCUGCAAGCAAAGUGAAGAAAACCUCCAAGAGAAAGAGGAUAGUGCAUUAUGCAGUAGUAGAGAAUGAGGAUGAGGAAGCACCCCAGCCUCCUCAGAAGCCGAAGCUCAUGGGUGAUGCCAUUAAGGCUGGAGCCACAUCAAAGCCCAAGAAAUCUGCUCCAGCUAAGGCAGCUCCAGCAAAGCCUGCUACCAAGCCCAAGAAGACCGUCAGAAACAUUCCAGCGUCUGAAAAGAACAAGGAUGAUGUGCCACCAGCUGAGUCAGACGAUGAAGGACCAGUUUUGCUGAAACUUCGUCCAAAACUGCCACUCCAAGAUGAUGCUAAUCCUCAAGCUGAGGAUAUGAAGGCAAGGAAAGAUAGAGGUCUCAGGCUAUGGAGACAAACUGACCCAUAUGCCGUGAGGAGAAGAACUGCUGUAGAUCCCAGAUUUCACACCAGAGAGCAGCAGGACUUCUAUGAGACCGUGCUGAUGGACAAGAAGCCCAUAGUCGCAGACACCCGAUAUGUUGACUGGAAGUACAUUGACAGCGAAGAGCACAGAGAUUUCUUUCCACAUGUGCAUGAAAGUUUCACUGCAUGUGGCGUUGCAGACUUUGUAGGUCAGAAAUUGACCAGUUGGAAUGAUGAGAUGAUAAUGCAAUUCUAUACCACAGCUCACUUCUACCCUGAUGGAAAGAUUACGUGGAUGACUGAAGGUCAAAGGUUUUCUUCUUCUGUUGAAGAAUGGGCAGAAAUUCUGAAUGCUCCAGUGCAACGAGAAGAUGAUAUUGAUGUAUAUGGGAUUCCAAAGAAGAAUCAUGAAUCCAUGAAGAACAUGUAUAAAGAGAUUCCAGCAGAGGAUUUGGGAAUCUGGAAGCUCGGCUCAGUCUACUAUCUCCAGGCAGGCCUACCUACCACUAAUACCAUUUUGAGGCAUACCUUGAUGCCCAAGUCUGGAGAUCAUCGCAUGAUCAGAGGAUACUCUAUCAACAUGCUGCACAUACUUGAUGAGAAAGCACCUUUCAAGGUGAUGGACUUGAUGGUAGAGACCAUUAAGAGGACUGCAGCUGACCAGAAAAGGUCAUGUGGAUUUGCCCCGCAGAUUCAGAUGCUUAUCAAUGCCAAGUUUGGCACGGGCACAUUCUUGUUGGAUAGAGAACAUUUACCGUUGCAGCCAGAGCAUGAAGACAAUGUUGUUGUGAUGGAUGAGGAGGAUCCAACAUCUGUUGAAGGUCAAGCCAAGAUUGAAGCUGCCAAGAAAGCCAAAGCUGACAAGGAAGCAGCAGCAGCAGCAGCUAAACCAAAGAAUUUCGGAGAGCAAAUUCUUGAAGCUACCCAAAGGAUUGAACAACGCCUGGCCAGCAUUGUACAGUCUCAGGAGAGCUUAGAGAGGAUUGUUGAGGACAAGAUCCACGCUUUGGAUGUGAAGCUGACUGAAGUGCAAGUGACUGUCAACAAGCUUGAGGCAGACAUUGAGGAAGCAAAGCGGGAGAAGGAAGAGCUUAUGCGUGAGAUGCAGGAUGACUUAGUCCAGGAUGCUUAUCAACAGACUGCUCCGGUUCCCACAGGACCCCGAUCAGCUGCUAUUCCAGUGACUGACACCAGGACUACAGCUUCAGCACCUCCCACAGUUCCAGCAGUUACUCCAACUCCAGCUCCAGUGACCACUCCUCCAGCACAGACAUCAGCUGAAGUCUUCGCCGAUGCUGUCAUAUCCACUCCAACAUCAACCCAGACGGGAGCCGCCAGCAGAGUCCACAGUGACGCUUAGCUUUAUGCUUUUUCGAACUUUUUGGUAACUUGUUGCCAAAGGGGGAGAAAUUGUAUAGAUCAUAGGACUUCGAGAGAGAGAGUGUUGUUGUCUUUUGCGCUUUCGUUCUUUCAUUCUUUUGCGGUUUCUUUGAGUUACUUUUGGUUUCCGAGACAUUCAGUGUGUUUGAUACUCCGUUUGAUUCUACCUUAAUGAGUGCUUGGUCGUACUAUGCUUUAAUGUGUGCUUAAUGCUUAUCAUAUGCCAUUCCUAUCUCGUAUGACCAUUUACUCAUGUCUUGGUGAUUGGGUGCAUGCUGUUCAUUCUUAUCAUUUUGUGUGCUCCACCAAGAUGUAUGUGACAUGGAAGAGUGACCCAUGAUCCUAAUCAAUUGUGCAUUUGCAUUCAAACGCAAAUCUUAAAUAAUGCACAAAUUUAGGGGGAGCUCUUGCUUAUCACAUACUUCUCAAAGCGACGAUAUUAUUCAUUGAUUAUAUCCUUUGUCGAAGCUUUGAUCUAUAUGUUGUCAUCAAUUACCAAAAAGGGGGAGAUUGAAAGUGCAACUAAUCCCCGGGUGGUUUUGGUAAUUAAUAACAACAUAUAUAUCAUUGAACUAAUAGUUACUUGAGAAUCAUUUCAGAAAGUUCAGUGAUAUGGGUAUGGCAAGGACUGAAGAAGUGGACCCCUCAAAAUGCUAAGGCAAGCAUUGGCAAAAGCUCAAGACUCCAUUUUUGGUUUAGUGAUCCAAGAUCACAUUGAGUCCAUAGGAAAAGCCAAUAUUAUUAAAAGGGGAUGAGGUUAUGAUGAUGAUCUGGUUGCUCAAGUGCUUAGUGAUACAUCUCCUAAACUAUCAGCAAUUUUCACUGCCAUAUACACUCAUAAGUAGUCUCGGUCCCACCGAUAUUCCAAACUCAGUCACACCGAGAUGAACCACCUCAGCCAUAAGCCAAACCCAAGAAAACUCGGAUUUUCCAAUUCUGAACUCGGUCUCACCGAAACAUGAGUUGCCAAGCUUCUGUAACCUUCUGUCAUCAAAUCGGUGUCACCGAGAUGAUGAAGUCGGUCCCACCGAAACUGGCAUGCUCUUGUCAUUGCACGAAUCGGACUAACUGAGAUUGUAUUUUCGGUCCCACCGAAAAUCCCAACAUUCACAUUAUUUGAACUAUCGGUCUCACCGAGUUGUCCACUUCGGUCCCACCGAGAUUGCUCAAAUGUGUGUAACGGUUGGAUUUUGUGUGGAGGCUAUUUAUACCCCUCCACCCCCUCUUCAUUCGUGGAGAGAGCCAUCAGAAAGAACUACCACUCCUAUCUUAUAUUUCUGAGAAGAGAACUACCUACCCUUGUGUUGAGAUCAAGUUGCUCCACUCCCACCAUAUGAAGCUUGAUCUCUAGCCUUCCCAAGUUGCUUUCCACUCAAUCCUUUCUUCCACCACAGCCAUAUCAGUGAGGAGAGUUGAGUGUUGGGGAGAUUAUCAUUUGAAGCACAAGAGCAAGGAGUUCAUCAUCAUCUACAACAUCUAUUACCUUUUGGAGGGUGGUGCCUCCUAGAUUGGUUAGGUGUCGCUUGGGAGCCUCCGUCAUCGAGAUGUGGAGUUGAACCAAGAAGUUUGUAAGGGCAAGGAGAUCGCCUACUUCGUGAAGAUCUACCCCGAGUAAGGCUAGCCCUCCGUGGGCGUAGGCCAUGAUGGAAUAGACAAGGUUGCUUCUUCGUGGACCCUUCGUGGGUGGAGCCCUCCGUGGACUCGCGCAGCCGUUACCCUCCGUGGGUUGAAGUCUCCAUCAACGUGGAAGUACGAUAGCACCACCUAUCGGAACCACGAGAAAAAUCACCGCGUCUCCAAAAUUGUGUUUGCUCUUCUCCACCUCUCUUUACUACAUGUGCAAUUUACUUUCCGCUGCCUAUACUCUAGAAUUGCAUGUGUAGGGUGAUGCUUGACUUGAUCAUAAGUGUGAAUCUGCCAAAAACUGUUCUUUAUCAAAAGGGAGAAUUUUUAUAUUGUCAAGUAGUCUAAUCACCCCCCCUCUAGACAUACUUUCGAUCCUACA
This 102538-nucleotide long non-coding RNA is filed under the name Triticum aestivum (bread wheat). RNAcentral describes it as "long non-coding RNA (TAES_LNC007471)". The record is from RNAcentral. Lineage: Eukaryota; Viridiplantae; Streptophyta; Magnoliopsida; Poales; Poaceae.